UCCACAUAAGUCCAAAUUGAACUUCCGUAAGUUUUCUUCCAAUAGUUCAGGAUAAAAACAGGAAAUCUCAACAUCUGAAUAUACCGGCUGAGUGGUGAGAUUUACAAUGGAGUAAUCAGGGAUGUCAGUUGUGGUUGAGGUGGAAGAUGGUGGUGAGGAAGCUGUAGAAUUGGAAAUAAGGAAAGAUGUGAGUUCCGGGACCGAGAGAGAGGAGUAAUGGGACCCAUAGAAUGGGUUAGUGUCAAGGUGAAGGACAGUUUUUCCAGAAGCAGAAGCUGCAGCAGCAACAAUGCAUUCUGCUAAACCAGUGCCCACAGCAAUCAGGUCGAAGGUAGUUGGUUCAAUUUGCGGAUAUGGUGGGGGCUCACCCAUGGUCGCACUGGAGAGGAACAGUAGAUUUACUGCUGUAAGUGAACAAGUGAGUAGCUAAAAAUCACCUGGCACAAGAAGCAAGAGAAAAAAAAAAAAAAGUGUAAUCAAGGAUGAUCAAGAAGUGAAGUUUUUGCACUUUCUUUUAAUAUUUGCACACCAGCAAAAAUGACGUGGAAUUACCUGUACAUCUACAAGAUCUGGGGUUUUUGUUCUAAAAGAUCUGAGGUAUUUUUACGGUGCUUCAGUGUUCAUAUUCAUGUGCUUAUAAAUAUUUUUUGACGUAUACACGAAUUUAUAAAUAUUUUUUUAAAAAAAAGAAUUAAAAAAUAACAUUAAUGCGUUUUCGGUGAAGUUAGCAUCAAUUUUUUUUUUCAUUGCGCUUGGAUUUUAACAAUUAGUUCAACAUAUUUUCUAGUUUUUAGGAAUUAAUAUAUACCUAAAGUGAUAUUUUUAAUCUAAAAGUAAAUUUAAAUAAGUUGACAUGUUUUCUUCAAGUUAGUAUCAUAUUUUAAAAACUUGAAUUUCAAGUCAAAAUUAAUAAGUCUCCUUAGAGCAGGGACUAACACAGGAUAAGCUUAGUAUUAUGUUGAAUUUUUUAUUUUUUAAAAAGUUAAUAAUAAAAAAGAGUUGGGAAAUAAUAAAAAAAAUAGUAACAUGUAACUAGAAAUUUCAAGAAUUUUUUUUAAAAAAAAUCCGUUAAAAUUUCAGCAGAGUUUCUUUGAGGUUUCAAAUUAUCGACAAUAUUAUAUUUACAUUUUCUAUGUCAUUUCACAUCCCGAUCCAAUCAUCCUGAAUCUCAACCAAACUCAUCAUCAUCAACAUAAAACGUCUUAUUCAAUAAUAUUAUAAAAUUCAAGUUCACAAAAAAAAAACAAUGCAUAAUUCCAUUGCUAUAUAUUAUCAUUGCAUAAACUAUAUCAUGUGUAACAAUAUUAUAUAAUGAAAUUCAAGUGAAAGAUUCAAUUUCAACUAUAAACAUGCAUGAUUAAAGUAGAUAUUUAGAAUUACAUCAUUAGAUUAAAGUCAUACAUCCGAAUUUACAUAUCAAUAUUACUUUUUAAGUUUAGAAAAUAAUUGUCUUUAAUAACAACAUAAUUACAUAGCAAAAAAUACCUAAACUAAUAUCACUCCUGACGUGACCUCAAUGGACCUGAAAAUAACAAAUAAAAUGUACAUAUAAAUAUAAAAGAUAACAACAACAAUAAUAAUAAUGAUAGGUAAUAAUUUUCAAGAUAUUUCUUUUGACACAUAAAAUUUAAACAUAGAUUUCUUUACAAUAUGCAUUUUUCAUCUUGAAAAUCACAACAAGAAUAAAAUGAUUUUGAACGUCAUCUUUUUAUGGAUCAAUCUUCAUUUGAUAUCAAGAUAUUAUUCUAUCGAUAUCAUUAACAUAUCUCAUUCUUUUGGAAUAAUUAAUUAACAACUCUUAUCGUAUUUUCUGGAAGUUAAUUGUUGAUAUUAAUAAAUUUUUUUAAUAUGAUUAGUCUUUUUUUACCGGGUUACACUGAAAAAUUCAGCUUGAAAGUGAUUACAUAUUAGUGAGGACAGUAACAUGGAUUGAGGGGUCUCUAGCCUGAGACGAGGGAUUGACUUGGCCGAUUAUGGUGAUAGAAAAAUGAAAAUGAAGAGCUUCAUCUACAUUUUACCACAGCUUCUGAGAAAACAUUCCUUGGACUCUAACUAACAAAGACAAGGUACGAGGGAAAAAGUUGAUCGGAUGGGAAAUUUAUCAAUGGAAGAAUCUAGCAUUCAUCAUUACGGUAUGCAGAUCUCUUAACAGAAGACUAAUUAUUUUGAACCUUGUUUAGCUCGACCGGCCUUGCCGAUUGAAUCAAAGCCUAGCCUUAGAUUUUAUUUUAAACCUGUUUGAAAGUUAACCUUUGUAAACACAAACUGACAGACCAAACGGGAUAACCCAAUUUCAAGAAUAGUUUUUAUUUUUUUUCCAAAACAUCAUUAUAAAGCUGACCUGACGUAUGAUGAAAAACAGUACUGUUGGCCGUAAUUAUAAGGCCGGCUUUGCAAGAAAACUACGUUGCUGCAAGCCUUAUCAUUCAAAUUACUUGAUCUCCCUAUAAUUAUGAGACGGUGCAGUUCAUUAUGUGGCAGGCAGUCCAUGCACAAACCACCAUGUAGGAUGUGUUCUACCAGUGGAUCAUGAGAAGGAGAACAAAUUCUCAAGAAAAUAUUCUGCAUUAAACAGCAAUUCUAGAAACAAUUUCUAUUCUCUUUGAUCGAAUGAAACAAAAUGGAUAAAAAAAAAAAAAACAAAAUUUCCUCAUUGAAGAUGACAUCAUUCUAGUUAAGCGGGGGAAUAAUUAGAUAGAUAAAUAGAGGGGGGGAAGAACUACACUAGCUUGUAGAAAUAUUAUUAACUCAUGAUUAAUGAUCACUAUUAGCAGUAACCUAAAAAAAUUUAAUGCUGAAUAGGGGUUAGUGGAUCCUGGGAAAUGAAGCUGAAACCAAGAUUCCAACAGCAUAUAUACAAGGGGUUGAUGGUAGGGUACAGUAGAGCGCAGCAGUUUCAUGUUGGUAUUAGAGCCAGUAUUUGCGUCUUUAUUCUUCCCAUGCACAUUUGUAUCUCUCUAUAUAUUGGCAGAUUUUGUGGACAGCAUGGAUGCAAGCUAGUAACAGCAGAAUCAAUUAUCUGGGCCACAUCAGAUGGGGGAUACUGUCGUUCAGUGCAUGUCUGCGUAUUAUUAAAACAUGAUGAGCAUGAUAUUAUAGGAAAUCAACGGGAGUGAACAUUUUCCAUCCAAGAGAGAGCACGGUGGUACAAAAUGUCCAAGUUACCUGUAUCAUGAGCAAAGCAGCGACACAUGAUGAUAUGAGCUCUGAAGGAAUUGCUGUCUCAAUUUUUUCAGAAUCAUUUGAUUGAGGCCCAGAUACAUUGCAGUUAACCUGAGGCUCUGGUGUGCUGGGAAUCAACUGAUUUUGAAGGCCUAAACCGGUAUUGGCCUCCUCCUGGGACCUGAUCAUUUGUGCCCUAGAUUCUGAUCCCAAAUGACUUCUAUCCAUAGAAUCUAAUGCCUCUCCGAUUCUCGCAAAGGCAUCUUCCCCUUCUUUCAUGGAUGAAAUUGCCUGCAAUAGUUAUUGCAUCACUAAGUGAUAACUAGAUAAUGGAUGCAUGCCUCUGGUUAAUUCUAUAAUGAAGAGAACAUCAAGCUAGAUAUAUUACUAGCAACCAGCAGAUAUAAGACAAUGAACCUCCAGAUAAGUAUCUAAGAGGACUUGAACAUGAGUUCGCUCAAAAUUUAAUAUAUUUUUUUUAAAAAAAGUUCCCAACAGGCCCAACUUAGGAAUUGCUGAGUUCCAUCUAAUGGGUUGCGUAACAGGCUCAGUCUGCAGCACCAAUCACCAACGAGUAUAUAAUGAGUUGCAGAGAAAUGGAAGAACCAUCAAUCUUAUAUUGAUAUAAUGUAUGAGAACCACAGAAUUUUGUUUUCAAGAUUAAAUGGAUGGUCAUGAUUAAGGGAUCAUAGAACCACUUUCAUCAGUAAUAGCAGAAUUAAAAAAUGAUUACAUUCAGAAUUUCUGCAAACACAUUUCAGAUCGGUGUGCAGGCAUGGAAGAGUGAGGAGAGCAAGAAGACUGAAUGUGAAUACCUGGACAGCAGCAUCUACCAUAAUAUGUGCCUUUAAUCUCAACCCUCUAACAAUCUCGAGAACAGCAGAUCCUGAAUCUUGAGAAACACAAGAACUUUGCGGUCUUAGCAUACCAGAGAAACAGGAAUUGGCUGGAGGUUUCAGCCAAGCAGGCACAUUGAGUAAAGCAGAAGAGGCCUGUCAGAUAUAUAAAGUGAUUAGAGGUUGAAGCAAGAUUGCAGCACAUAAAUCUGAAAGUGAACAUGCAAAUCAUAUACAGCGUGAGUGCAAAUAUAAGCAAGGCACAUGACUGGCCACUGGCUUCCUUUAGUUGUACAAGUACUGUGCCCAAGUGCUUCUUGAAAGGUUCAGAAUCUUUUAAAGAGUUAUCUCCAUUUUUUGGGUUUUCCAUUACAUCAUUAUUUGUGUUUUUAAGCAACACCAACCACAAUUCCUAUAAUUAUAAAACAGGGGAAAAUAUGGUCACAAACUUGAUGCAAAUCCAAGGCAACUCCAUUUGUAUACAAGAUCAUGAAGAAGUACGGUGUUGAAUCAAGUAUUAAGGAUAAAAAUGCUAGCACUGCAAAAGCCAGGAGACCAAAAUGGUGAGUGCACAUUAUGAUUUUAUGUUGUGCUCUUCCAAAGGAAAUGCCUAGCCAGCUUAAUCGGUGGUGUGUAAUUUACAAUCCAAAUCCCAAAAGACAAUAAUGAGGACAGUCUGAAAAUGGAAGGAACAUUGAGCCAAAACCGGAAGUGUUGCAGAAUUAAAUCAUAGACCAAAGAAAAACAAAUCCUCCCUGUAAAAUGGCAGACAGUGACAACCAUCUGUGCCAUAACUGAGCAUCACAAGUAUUGCAGGUUGUUCAACUGAAUAUAGCAGGUUGCAUAUAGCUGCAUCUUGUACCUUUUUAUCAAGAGCACAAUUCAGCUCAGACAGAGCUCGAAUAUCAUAUUUCUUCAGUUGGAUCUGUGAUACCCUAGAAGGUUGACCACAGGCUCCUUGUGCAUUGACAAUGUCAGUGGAUGUUGCCUUGGCAAGAAGGUUGGCAUGGUUUGCCUCAACCUGAAUAAAAGUAAUCAUAUUGCUUGAAAAUAACAAAUUUUGUAAUACCGUUAUUCUGAAGUUUAAUGGAUAGCUAUUCUUACUUGUGCCUGCUUCAUCAAAGCAUUCAUGGGACUCUGUGCAUUCCUUAGUUUUUCAAUUGCAGUGAACUCUCCGAUGCUUGACUUCCCAUUCACUGGCAGUUCCUUGGGCAGAACAGAGGUUUUCUGUCUCCUAAGAGCUUCUGGCAUGUUAUCCAGCGGAUUUGAAGGCAUGCAAUCUAUAUCCUACAGUAAAAUAUUUAUUGUCAUUGUUCUGAAGUAGGAGAGAUGACUGUGCUAGUUUUUAAAGGAAAAAAAUAAAUGGAGGAGAUGUCUAUUCCUAGAAUAAAUUCUGCAGAAAAUAUAUUUCCUUCUCAACAUGACUUGGGAACAAAAUGGAUGAAUCAUUAGCGACUGAAUCAUGAGAGGAAAAGUAGAAGAAAGGCACAAGUUGGAAACAAAACAAUAGCAAAAUUCAAAUAAAUUCUUAAGAAGAAAUUUUACUUAACUAAACAAGACUGUUUGGAGACAGUUCAUUAACAAUUAGGACAUGAAAUUUGCUAAAUUACACUUCCCAAAAAAAUAAAAGUAAUUUAAUAGCUCUUAACUGCCUAACAAUUACAAAUAGCUUAUAGAAGCACAAAAGCUCAAACAUCAGGAGGAUUAAAGACCAUGAAAGCUUUAUAAUCCCAGCCAAUAAAUCAUAAGUACUAACCAGAAAUUGAGUAACCAAUGACUUGCAGCAGAACCAGUAUGACCCAUGUUACGGGCUACAACCACUCAUCUUUGUAGUCAAUAAGACUCUUGGCAUUACAGCAAACUACUAUGAAAAUUGAUCAUUUUUCACUUCAUAAACUAGGAUGUCGUAAGGUUUCUGGGGCACAAUUCAUAGAGGGCAACCAAAUUGAUUGCUGCUUGUUAUUUUACAAACCAAUGAACUAUGAGCAUAACAUUUGAAGCCAAUUUCUGAAUCAGCACAGCAUAAGUAAAUUCUACCAAAACUUAAUAGAAUAUUCAAGUCUUUCACAUUGUUCCAACUUCCAAAAGAUAUUUUCAAAUGCAAACUAUUUAUGCCACUGAAAAAAGCAAAACACAAAUAACAAAAUCUGAAAAACUGUAAACACCACAUGAAAGUAAGAAAUAUAACACACAUAAAUUCAAGAAUGCAAUUACCUUGACAAAUUCAACCCCUAACUCAGCACGGUCAAACUGAACCCUGCACCGGUCAUGAUCCACGGUGAGCACACUUCCAUCAUGAAGAUCUCUUGUUUUGGGAUGAAUAGCAAUUACUCGCUGUCCAACUGAUAAAGGUCUUGCUAAAUCUGUUGGAAGUCCUUCCCUUAAACCAGUACGAAGCUCCAUAUAAUGUUUUCUCACAGAUUCUCUAUAUUGCUGGAGUUUCUCUCUUUCUUCGUGUAAAAAACGCUCAGAAAACCUCCGAGGUUUGCCAAGAGAACUGCAUAAAGAAGAAAGUUACAUUAGUUUACGCUCCAUGAAUGUAGCUAUAAUAUGCUUGACAGAGAUUGAAAAACAAAACACACCUUCUUAUGACACCCCAUUCUACUCGAGUCAGCCUUGGAAUGUGCCCAAGUCCAACAUGAUUCAAAUAUUCAACAAACUCCCUUCUAGAAAACCAAGGGUAGUCAACUGCACUGUAAAACCAUUCAUAUGUACACCAUCUGCGAACCAUAGGAGAUGAUACUACACAAGAAAGCUUGUCCUGUAAUUCCAGAAACCAAUAAGAACAUCUGUAAAUGAGACUCUAAUAAUUGGUAAACUAUGAUAAAUAGAAUUACACAUGGAGGACUUCACCUUUAGAUGGGUUGCUUCAUCUUGUAGGGAGAUGGAGUAUUUACUAAUUUGAUUCUUCAGAACGUUCACCUUUGGAAUCAUUGCUCUCUUUAGAUCCAUCUUGCGUCUACUUGUUUUUCUGGUUGGUAAGAUAACUUGGCUUGCAACAGGAACUUGUUCAGUUGACGUUGCUAGAUCAUUUGAUAUAGUUUUCUGAUCACCACUGAAAGAACCAUCUGGCAAUUUUAAUGAUUUCAAUUGUUUUGAAGGAGAAGAAAUUUGAGCACUGUGUUUUCCUUUAACCACAGAUGUAUUCUCCUCUUCAUCCAGAACCUGUGCCAGGGUUCAUAUGGAAUGGAGUCAAACACCAAUUAUGACCAAAGAGAAAAAGAAAGAGCAAGGAAUAACCAGCGACACUAGUAUCUAACAAAUUCCAAACAUGUUUAUGCCUUCAAGCAUUCACAUGUCCAUUUAUGUAGAGGGAAAAAACUAAACUUUCAUUAGCUGGGACCUGAUGAAUACACCUAAACCAAAGCAAUCAAUAACAGUUGUGUAUCAAAAUUGCAAGGGAAAUUCAAACAAUAAAUCAAAGCAUGCUAACAGGUAUUAAUGAAUGAAUGAAUGAAUGAAAGAGUUACAUGAACAAAUGGGUAUACCUUUGCUACCAAAGCCUCGCGUUUUCUUUUCAGCAUAUCAUUGCUGAUGGACUGAGGCCGUUUAUUUGCUUCAGAGACUGAUUUAGCAGAACUUUGUGGAUAUCUUCCGAGCUUAGAUUUUCUUGAGGUUGCACCCUCAACAUCACUUGUUGCCUUUUCUUUCUGCCUUGAGAAUUUAGUUUUAUCUCUAUGAUGACUAGUAGAUGCAGAUUCAGGUAUGCUACUCUUGUGGUCCCCAUUUUGUGUGGUUCUUUCGUCAUCCAACAGGCAAGAUGAUUCUAAAACAAAUAUUAAAAGAGAAAAAAGAAGGAUUUAUAUUUUAAGCACAUAUGAAAAGGAAUAGCACCUCAGCUACAACAAACUAAGACCUAUAUGCAGCGCAGACCAAAGCAUAAAGUAUGUCAAAAUAGAUUGUAAUCCUUUUAUAUUAAUAAAAGAAAAUAACCAGUUUGCCAAUAUCUGCUUACAAUCAUUUAGAGAAGCCAAAACUUCAUAGAAAAAAUCAAUGCAGAAACAAAAUGCAAAAUGGAACCAUAAGAAAAUGCAGGAGAACAUUUAAUAUUUACCCAAUAUGCAACGUCAAAAUAUCAAAUACAUGAAGUAGAUAUCACAGUCCACUUGAUAACAUAUCCCUUAGACAUCCUCCUCGUCCCUUUUACUCAUAACAUCAUGUGUGUAUGCGUGUGCACAUGCACCUGCAUGCUUGUGUGUGUGUGUGUGUGUGUGUGUGAGUGAGUGAGUGAGAGAGAGAGAGAGAGAGAGAGUAACAUUCUUCCAAAGAUUAAAGAAACAAGGGAAAUAGGAAGGGAAAUAAGACAAAAGUAGUGAUCUGUUGUUUCAGCUGAAAUUGAAGAAUACAAAAUUGAUUAAUAUUCUACAUUAGGAUUUCAGUAUAAAUAUUUCUAGGAAUGAUUUCAGCAGUAAAGUUUUCUUGAAAUUAUCAUCUCUAACAAAGCAAUAUUGUACAAUAAUUCAGCAUGCAAAUGGGAUGUUGUUUGACAAGUGAUGCAAUGUUACUAAAUUAAUUACUCAUUGUACUUCAAUAUAUUUUGUCGUUUCACACAAGUAUGUACAGAACCAGAGAUGCAUUUAACAUUUACCAAAUUCCAUUGCAGAAACAAGAGCCAACGUUUGAAGACCAAUCAAGUCAGCAGGUUCAUCUGCAAAUAAAUAAGGAAAAUGUAAUACAUCAGCUGUGGGAGUACAAAUGGUUGGAUAAGUUCGUUAUCAUUGACAUAUCAUGAACAUUCUACAAACUUAACAGGAUUACAGCUAGGAGAAGCAAAUCAAUUCACAAGUUAAAAACUGUCACGUGUAUUUCCCUCUAGUUUUGCCCCAACAACAGGUUACGCAAUGAUUAUCACUACUUCACCACCCCAUGCAUUGGUGAAAGUUGAAGUCAGUUCUAGAUCUCUGGUAACUCUUCCGAAAGAUUUACCAGCUAUGCUAAUUGGUAGAAUUUUCUUGAAUGGCUGGAUCAUUCAACCAAACCAAGUGCCAGGAUGUGAAGAGGAGGGGAGGGAAAAUAUUGCAUCAUAAAACAACAGUUUAUAUCGCACCAACCUAGUGAUAGGAGAUAAGUUCACUUAACCAGGAACCCUCUCCAAUACCUAAAAAAGGCUAUCCAAGCUAUCAAUGAUAUAAAAGAGUUGAUAAUCAGGUCUGAUCUCACCUUUCAAAAAGUUGCUUCUUCAAAGACAAAAUCCAAAGCAUAUGAAGUUAUAAAAACAAGCCCACACUCAUUACAGUUCUCCAAAUAAUCCUCCUGAAUGAUAAUCCUCCAAUAGACUCCAAAUAAUCAGGACAUGGUCCAAGCAUUAACUAUUAAUAGAGCCAUAUUAAAGGAAACAACUUUCCUGAGUUCCCACAAAUUUCUUUUUAAGACAGAAACUCCAUAGUCUCCACUAUAAGCAUCAUCCUCGUUGUAUAUUAGUUUGUAAUCUGAGAAUUGAAUUCAAGAGCCAUAUCUUCCCAUUAUCUUGGGCAGACUUGCUGUAUUGAAUCCCAAAUCCCUAACAAAACACCUAACCAGAUAACUUCAAAUACACAAAUGUCAACAGAGGAAAAAAUACAAGGGCCAUAACAAGAUUUACAAUUCUUAGGAGAUGUAGCACAAAUUUCACUCCAAUGCAAGGGCAAAAGACUUCAUAAUUCACAACUUCAGAAGAAAAUGAAACUGCAAUUCUAAAAAGUCUUUUGAUUUAACGAAUGAUGAUCUCAGAUGAAACAUGCAAUGAAGUGACUAUAUAACUCUCGCCCAUGAAAAGGAAAGAUGAUUGCCAAUCCAUAACACUCAAGAUCAAGUGUGAAAGAACAGAAUUACCGUCUGAAAAAAGUUUCUUGCUUCUCUUCCUUUGGCUCCGGUGAAAGGUCUCAUCAAUUUUUGCAUUUGACAUCUCAAUUUCAACUUUUCCCUUCAAAGUGCUGGCCUUUUGCUCUUUUUCAGUGCCACUGCACGCUUCUCCACCAUCAUCAGACUGACUGUUCCCAAUCUUCUCAACUUUAAUUUUAUUUCCAUAGAACUUCUUGCCUUUUCGAUGAACUUCUACAGUACCUAUACCUUCCAUUUCCGCCAAGGAGCUUGCAUCCCUCACACAAGCAAGAUCAGGCCCCCCACGUCCUAUGCCACUUUCAGACCAAUUUUCAUUUAUGGAAGCAUCACAAAGAUUUGCUGGAGAUGAUUCAGACUGCAGAAUUCAAUUAAGGAGACAGAAAGUUAUGAUAUUGCAUAACCAAAGUAACAAUAGCCAUGGAAAAUUGGCCUACAGUAAAAUACCAUCCUAUCCCAGCUUUGAACAGGUGAUGAUUUCAUAUUUUCUGUUCUUCUACAGGGUGUUUGAGACAUUUGGGGAGAGUCUACUCUCUGCAAUGCCUCGGUUAAUGCCAGUACAGCAGCAUGCUCAUCGUCAUUAUCAUCGGCAUUGAUCUCUAACUUUCUGCGCUUCUUCUUUGGUGAAACAUAAUUUUCUCCAUCAUCUUUCUUACGCAGAUAUGAAACAGGGAAGCGAGGUGUCCUUUUCCCAACUGCAUGAAGUGGACGGCCUAAAUAUGAAUUUGAAUUCAUCAGAAACAAAAACAACACUUCAAAAGGUCAUCGCUGUUGUUAGAAACAUUUAUAUCACGCAUUAACUAUUCUGUUGAGUUCAAAUAUUUAUGAGAAAACUUAGAAGUAUAAAGGAAAGGAACAAUGCACGAAAAUAAAAAUAAAACAAAAUUGAGUUGCAUAAUCACACUAUCAAAUCAAAUUCAAUACUAAACCUUGAUGGAAAAAUCUCAGGAAAAGAAAUUCCAUGUCAGACAAAUUAAAUCUUUUGUUGUUGUAAUUCCAGUUCACAGAAAAUUACAAGAGUCAGAUUAGUUGCCUAUUCUAUCCAAUCCCUAUACAAUUGUAUUUGGACAUCAAAACCAUUGGAUUUGCAUCAUUUUCAAUAACAGGAUAUGGAUAUCGCUCCAUGUAGAUGACCACUGGGGGGAAUUCUAUACCUGUAACAGCAUCUGAUUCAUACAGUUUUCUGUUCAGCCCUAUUCCAACUGAGGAAAUAGAUUUCACUUUCAUCUCUUUUGACUCAAUUGGAUCAAAGCAAGACUCCUUCUGUGUGCUUCUUUUUUAUGCUGUCUUAGAUAACAUUGUCUCCAAUAUUUGUGGAGUGUUUGGGUGGGAGGUGCGGUAGCUUUUUUUUUAAGGUACCACCCUUUUAAAGCACACACCACACUUUCUAAAAGCAAAAAAUACAUGCUUUUUAGUAGGAGGUGUGGUAGCUUUUUGAAAAAAAACAACCACACCUCCCACCCAAACACCCACUUGAUAUUUCAUUCUGCAGCUAAAAAAUCUAAAAACAAGGGAAAGAACCAUCCCGUUUGUAUUGCUACAAAGUUUGGACCAUACUGAUAUUUCACAAUGGUGGCUUUCUAUCCAUUUACAUUAAUAAACAAAGACAGGAGGUGGAAAUUGCCUCUCCACCUUAGUAUCUUACUAAACCACUUAGAUGUCAUUAGCAUAACCCCAUAAAAGGUUACAGUUUAUGCAGUAAAAAGUAUAAAAGAAUACGGGUAAAAGAGUGAUUAGAUUAAAUUCAUUGAAAGUUUUUAGAAAAUAAAAUAGUGAAGGACAAGGAAUGUUUGGACAACAAAAAUAUAGACACUGACAGCGACAGCUGGAAUGCAUGAGCCAUCUAAUGCAUGCAAGUUGGAGACCUAAUUAAGGAAAACAAGUACGAGUACUCCUCAAAUCAUAACAGGGUGGAGAAAGGAAAAACUGGAAACAAACCAGAGUUGUGUUUUCCAUAAGCAAAGUAUAUUACCACAUCCUCUUUUUAAUAAUGAUAAGCAUCCAUCAGUUGAUCCAACCAUGCGAAAAUGUUGGGGAUCUUCUUUUGAUGCACUAAGCAGCACUUUUGGCCGCUUGUGUUUCUGAAGCUUCCUGAGUACUCCAGGCAUCUCAUUGCUUUCUCGUUCACUAUCACUUGCUUCCUGCAAGUUCAAAAUCCGGAUACAAGCAAUCAGCUUUUGAUUUAUCAGCAGACAAUAAGACAAAAUCAGGAUUUACAGCAAUUCUACUAGGUAAAUCAAAAUGCAUCUUAUAAAAUGUUUUUCUGUAACCAUCUAAUUAUCAGAUUAUGCAACUUAAUAAUGAUAAAAGACAAAAUUUAUGGUCCCUUCUUACUGUGAACACCCAUAAUGCAUCAAAUUAUCUGUCUCAUUUUCAGUCAAUUGCUGUAAAGUAUUCUCCAACAUAUCUGCUAUAAACACCAUGGCUACCAUAAAUCUAAAAGUAUCUGAAUAAUUAAAUUUUCAAUUUGCACUUCCCUGAACUCCCCUUCCCAGAGGGGAAAAAAAAAGAAAGGAACAAGAACAAAAAAUAAGAACAAUGAAGACAAUCAGAAAUUAAGUUGAACUUCCAGAUGUCAAAUGCAAUCAUACCAGAACACUAUAGUGAUCAAUCAUCAUAGCUAUAAGCCCAACUACAGAAGCUGUUCCCUCUGGAAGAGACAAGUACGCCUGAAAAAAUAUAGAACAUGGAAGAGCGACAAUGUUAACGAAGGACACCAAGACUAACUAAGGCUUCAUCUACCAUAUAAUAACCGAGAUUUAACACAGGAUACAUAUUACUUAUUCUGACGAUAUUUUCCUUUUGCAAGUUGAAGAAACUUUUUAAAAAAUAUUCCAUCAUUUUUUUUAAGCUUUUAUAUUACCUCUGCAAUCCCAUAACAUAGGCCCAACCAGGGGCCAAAAGGUAGUAUCAAGUUGUCUGGAAUCACUCUUCUUGCACUGCUAAGGCAAUGCCCAAAAUUUUACAAUGACAUCCACCUUUUGUCUUGAAAUUUUGGGUUUUGUUACCUCGUUGAAUGACAUGCGAAUAAGAAGCAACUUAUAUAACAUUCAAAAGUUCACAAACUAUUCAAUAGCUUUAGACUACAAAUCCAAAAUUAUAGAAACAGCUGACUUUAUGUCCUACUUUGGACACAUCAAAAUUCCAAGAGCUAAGGUUCUUAACCAUAUUCUAAGGAAGCCCACCCAAUUGUAAUUCUUCCAGUAAAAAUGUUCAAUAGCAUAAACAAAUUAGAUAUGAAUUGUGUUCAAUUAAGGACACUCGACACCAAAGGUUAAGAAGAUCCCGAUUCCAAUAACAAAACCACAUAAAAAAUUCUCACAGUAUGACAAAACUGUAAAGACAGAAACAACAAGAAGGACGUGUAAGCAGUGAGACUAGUGACUGAUUAAACUAGCUGAACACAAGGUACCCGAUUCAUAUUGUAAAGGGCCUCCACCAUUUCCACAGAUCUGUUGCGCACUUCAGCAGCUACCUGAUCAUCAACAACAAUAAAAAAUUAAGAUGAUACUUAAAGUGUAUGAUGAACUUAAUUUGCACAAAUUAAAGUUCAUGGAAAAUUAUCAUGCUGAAUAGAACCAAAGAAAGUAUAAUGAUGAAAAGGAGUCACGAUAACACAUAAGGCAUACUUUCUUCCAGUUCUUUCCAUUGUCCCGAUAUGCUUUGUAAAAUCGUUCAAGUUCUGCCUUCUUCCAUUGAGGUCCUAACUUAUCAGACAAUUUCUUCUUCUGGGAGAAAGCAAAAUAGUCAAUGCAUUAAAAUAUCAUUAUACAUUACAAAUUUUCUGAACGAAGAAAGUUCUUUGGAAACUCUUUGCCAUUUGUUUAAGAGAAAUAUACUAAGUCUCAAUUUUGCUAUCAUAUCUAUAUCAAGAUCAAUGAACCACAAGGCUAUGAAUAAAAAUAAAUCAAGUCUUAAAAUAACUCCGCGAGCAAUUUAACUCAGCCAACAGCUGGAUCAUAAAGAAUGAAUCAAACCAUUAAAAAACUGGUGUAAGUACACAAACACAUACAAAGCCAAUUCUCACCCCAUUCACCUGCUGUUUACUUUUGCCUGAACUCUUGACUUCUUUUUCAGGUGAUACCUCAUUCAGAAACCUCUUAUUCACACUUUUUUUCCUUGCUGGGGCCAUGGAGGACCUAUCUAUCUGAAACAAUCAAUGAACAAAUUAGCAACACCAAUUUGCUUAAAGCUUUAACAUGGACAUCAAUAACCAUCAAAAUUCACAAAAUACAUUACAUUAAUAAUAAAAAUAUAAAACUCUUCGCAAAGCAAGACGAUCUUCCACCCCAGAAUUUGAAAUAUAAUACAGUCCAAAUAUUAAAAAAAUUUCCUUCUUUUGUUUUUUUUGGUUUUUCGGAUACUUAGACUCGAGUUGGAGUUUACUAAGCUGCACUAAUUGUGGAGAAUAUUUUCCCACUCGGAUUAUAUUUAAAACCUCAGUCAAAACCCACCACAAGAAUUCAACUUUUACAACAUUACCAAAAUCACAUCAUUUUAUCAAAGUAUCAAAAGAAGCAAAAUACAUAUAUGAAAAAAAAAAUCAAUUUUAGCAAAUAGAAACAGAGGAAUCACAACAAAAUACGCAAGGCUAUUAAGGAAACACUUCAAAAGAGAAUCGAAAGGAAAAAACCACCCAGUGCCAUUACCAUAUAUCACAGUUUUCAAUCAAAAAACAAAAAAUAGACCCCCCAAAUUUCAAAUUUUCAGAUUUUUUUUUUUAAAUGAAUUUCAGAAACAACUAAAAUAAUUCAAAAAUAAACCCCCCAAAAUUGAAAAAAGAAAUUCAAAUUCAAAACAUCACCAAAACCCAAAAUUUCAAAUUUGACUAAAAUUCAAGCUACAAUUCAAAACCCAUCUCCAAAAUCCCCUCAAAAAACAACGAAAACGAAUAAAAAAACAAAAAUCAAAUUUUGAAACCAAAAAAAAAAAAUUCAUAGUAAAGCCCCAACAAAAAUCUCAAAAUUACUCCUCUAAAAACCCUAAUUCACAGAUCCGAUACUGUACACUUACAGAUUCAGAGUAAUUGAUAUCUGGGUAUAAAUCAUACAGUGAAACAAAGGGCUGUGAAGAGAGAAAAAUGCAAGCUUUAAGUUCAUGUGUUAUAGAGAAGGGUUUCUUAGAGAGAGAAAUAAAAGAGAGUUUUCAAAGUUGCGGAAAAGAGAGGCUCUUUUAGAGAGAGAAAGAGAGAUGUUGCCGCGAAACUUGAAUAUAAAGGUGGGCUGGCCAAUCAGAUGUUUUUUCUGUAUAUAUUUUUUUGUUUCGUUUUGUUUUUCUUGUUUUAUACAGUGUUUUUUGUUGUUAAUCACCGUACACGUUGGUGUGUGGGGUAUUGUAUGGUAUGAUCUUGUGGUUAUUGGUUGGGGUUUGAAGGGAUAAUUAUAGCAGAUUCAAUUUGAAAUUUUUUUUUGUUUGCUGUGGGAAUGGCCCUUGAAUUUAUGGGUAUUUGUACUUGGUUACCAUAAAGUUUUAGAAAAAUGGGCCUCGAAGUUUUCUAUUGAGAGAUGGUCCCUCAUUUGAAUCUUCUGCACAAAGUUUUUAAACCGCACAAUCCAUGACACAACCUAAGGCUCGCAUUAUGGGUUAGAUAAAUUUAUAUAUGUGAAUUUAAAAUUGUGUUAUUUUAAUUAUUUAUAAAAAAAUUAAAAUAAUAUCAUUUAAAAAAAAAAUCAGAUUGAGUUUUGACAAUGUUGUAAGUGGGCUCAUUGAGUCAAUCAAGUUUUAAUUGAAUUGAUUUUUAUAUGGUUUAAUGUAAAACUCGAUCAACACCAAGUUUUUUAUUGAGCUUGUGUAUCGGUUGAGUGGGUUAAGUCGAGUCAAUUUAAAAUGAUUUAAAAAAACAAAAUGAUUUUUUUAAAAAAAAAAUAUUAAUUUGAUAUUUUUUAAGAUGAAAAAUAAUUUUAAAAACAGAAACAAACAAAAUGCCAAAUAGAAACUUAGUAUUGAACUAAUAAACUCCUCCGUAAAUUUAUUAGCCUUCAACAUUUAUUCUCGUAAAAGAAAAGAAAGGACACCAAUAGCACCAAGCUCAAACUCCUCGCUCCUUGCCAUCCCCAGCAUUUUCAGCCCUGCCUUGCCUUGUUACACACCACCCUCAUUAUUAAUGUCAAUAGGAACCUAUUUUCAGGAAAAAUAAAUAAUUAUAAGCUAAUUCAUUUUUCUUUUUUUCCCAUAACAAUGAUAAUUAUUAUUAAAUUCACCAAUAAAAAAAAUUACUGAUUUGUUACCUUUUCAAUCAGUAAAGCUAAGAUCCCAUUUGGACCAAGAUCAGCAUGGUAAAGUGACCAACAAGCAAUUUUGUCACCAACUUUGAAGUCACUCUUCACAAGAACUUCAGCCCAAGCAAUCUUUUCCAAUCUGAAAUUCUUGACUGCCCUAUCAUAGUAAAUUGCCACCCAAAUCUUAUUCCUUGGUGGUGUGUAGAUCUCAAUUUCUAGUCCUUUGAUCCCAAUUUCAUCGAGCAUGGGUUUUGGUAGAGUUGUUAAGAAGCUUUUUGAAUCUCCAACAAGAACUAAACCUAGCAUGCCAUCUUGAGUCAUGGUUUCUGUGAAUAAAUGUUCUAGCUCCCCACCAAUUGGAUAGUGUUGAAUCUGGUUAGGUUGAGGAGUAGCCAUGUUCUUGAAUUAGGUUUUUUUUUUUUUUUUUUGGUAUGUUACCCUCUUGAAAACCACCUUGAUGAUUUGAAACUAAAUAUAGGUAAAUGAAUGUUGGAAUACUUAAUAGAAUGCAUGACUAACAUAUAUAUGAACUGUGAAGAAGGCAUGACACAUAAAUCAUGACAUUAAGAGGGAUGAUACCUUGUCUCAAAUUCGAUAAAUAUUAAUAAUAAACAUUAUCAAAUUUGAUAUAUCAUAUUUAAAUAUAUAGAGAAUAAUUAUAUUUUUAAUCUUAUAGUGUCUGUGUACUUUAUAUUGACAUAAUAAACACGUGUGUGUGUGUGUGUGUAUUACUUUAUUAUUUUAUAUUAAAUAGUAAUAUUUGGGUAAUGGACAUCAAAAUAAAUACUCGAAACUUAAUAAAUAAAAUUUAAAUUUUUUUUCUUGAUAAAUAAUAAAUAAGAUAUAAAUAUAAUAAAAACAUGAUCUAUGAAUAGUAUAUUCAAUCUUCAUCGAACAUUACUAAGAAGACAUUUGUUUCUUCAGCAACUCAAGUUCACUAAAAUCACAAUAAAAAAUUCCCUACUAGUAGCAUAUUUGACAAUAAAGAUGGCUUAGCCAGUUAUAAUUUUUUUUUUUUUUUAAAUAUUAAAUAACUAUAUUAUUAUUUUUGCUUUAAAGGAGUGUGCUAGACUGGUGGAUAAUCACUGUACACGUGUUAAGUGGAGUUUGUGUAAGUAGUGGUGAUCAUUUUCGGUUCGAUUUGGUUUUUAUAAAAAAAAAUAAUCAAACCAAUUUUUUUUUAAAUCGAAACCGGUUCAAAGCGACCGGUUUCGGUUCGGUUUGGUUUUUUAGGACAAAAGCCGGUUCAAACCAGUUUGGUUCUGUUUUUUUGGUUUGGCUCGAUUUUUUCUGGUUUGGCUCGGUUUUUUUCUGGUUUUUUUUGUUUGGGUUCGGUUCAGUUUUUUCGGUUUCAGACUUAUAAAACCGAACCGAUCGGUUUUUUCAAAAUUUUAAUCGGUUUUUUUUCACGGUUCGAUUUUUUCAAUUAUUUUUUUUAAUUUUAUCAGUUUAAUCAGUUUUUUAGUUUUUUAGUUACUCUCAUUUACUCCCAUGUGAGUAUUAUGUGUAUGGCAUGAUCUGUGGUUGUUUCUGGCACGAGUGAAUAAUUAUACCAGAUUUAAUUUGAAAUUUCGCUACACAAUGUUCCCUGAAUUUAUAUGUAUUGCAUUUAUCUCCCUAGAGUUUUGAUAAUUAACGACUUUUACACUUUGUUUGGACUUAGGCGUUACUGUAAACUAAGGACGUGGCAAAAUAAUCACCCUACGAUUGGUAUUAAAAUACGAUCACCACAUUAUAUAUUUUCUCAUGUUAAUUUUUUUUUUAUGUAAUUCAAGAUAUUGAUGGUAACGGUCAAGAAAAAAUUAUGAAGGCAAUUAACGUUAUCUACAAUGAUAUUAAAUUAGGUAUAUAAUCUCAUUAUUAGGAAAAGUAUGCGUAUAAUCCAAUCAAAAGAGUUAUAAAUAUAUAAUCUCAUUAUUAUUAUUAUUAUUUUCUCGUGAUUUCUUGGAUAUCACUUGUAAUAUUUUAGUUGUUUUAUUUUCUUCUUCACUCUUUGAUUUUAGAAGUUAGAUUUUUUCUUCUAUUGCCACUUUUAUUUGUAAGAGGAUUACUUGAUGGUAUAAAUGCCACAUUAAUUUUGAAAAUUAAUAAAAAUUAAUGGCUUGGCAUUUUCAAUUGAGUUUGUCAAAGACAUGCAUGUUUGUAUUACAAAACUACUAACACCAAAACUUUUAAUCAUAAUUGUUAGAUUUAGGGUGUGUUUGUUUUUGCAGUUAAAUCCGUUUUGUUUUUCACUUGAAAAUCAUCAAACUAAUGAUUUUUAAGUGUUUUUCGAUGGAUUUAAUAGAUAAAAAAAAUAAAACAACAUUAUUUUAAUGUUUUUUCGAUUAAAAAACACCUUUUCAAAAAAACACUUUACACCGCAUUGCCAAAUAUACACUUAGGCCAUGUUUAUCUACUGAAAAAUAAUUUUAUUUUGGAAAGUGAUUUCUAUGCAAAGUGAAUUGCAGAAAAGUGAGUUAUUUUUUUUUAUAUGUUUGCUAGUGCAAUGGAAAAUGAGUUUAAAAACAAUUUCUAAUACUUGGUUAUGUCAUAAAAAAUAAGCUGGAAAAUAGCUUAUUAAUAUUUUAUUAAAAGAAUAUGAAUCAAAUCCAACAAAAAAAAAGUUAAAGGAUGAUGAAAUUUAAAAAAUUUAAUUUCAUAAACUAUUUCAAAUAAAAAAAUCAAAAGAAUGGAGACGAAAUCUAAAAGAUAAAAACGUUGAAAGAGGAUAAAAUUAAAAAAUAUAUAAAUUUUAUAAAUUAUUUCAAAUAAAAUAAAUAACAAUCAAAAGAAUAAGAAUAAAAUUUGAUAGAUAAAAAAAUUUUAAUUAGAAAAAAUGAUAAGAGAAAAACAAAUAACAAUCAAAAGCACGACAAUCAAAAUUGAUAUAAAAAUCAAAUUCUGAGGGACAAAAUUGAAAAAAAAAUAUUAAAAAAAUAUAACAAUCAAAAGAUUAAAGAUCAAAUUUGAUAUAAUCAAUAAAUAAUAACAUAGUUUUUAAUUUUUCACAACUUUUAGAAAAUAUUUUUUUGUCCAAAAUAAAAGAAAAAAAAAGUUUAAAUUGCUAAGUUGUAAUUUUAACUUACAGGUUAAUUGUUCUGUUUGGGAUUGUGGUUGCGAUUGCUUUUUAAAGUACUUUUCAUGCCGAAAUGCAUCAAAAUGAUAUUUAAAAAAAAAUUAUUUUUGAGAUUAAUGCAUCAAAACAAUUCAAAACAUAAAUAAAAUUAACAAAAAAAAUUUUUGAAUUUUUUGAAAACCAUCCCCGUUUAGGUUUUGGAUCAUAAAUUUUUGAAUCGACCUGUCAUGCCGCGCUAAGUUUAACAACCAUGUUAUUAACAUAUCAAUGGUUUCAACUUAGCCGACAUGUCAUUUAAAGAUUCAAGAUUGAGUACUUGCGAGGCUAUUAACUAAUGUUUCUUUAGUUUUAAAAUAAUCUUUUCAAUUCAGUUGUUGUAUCUUGCAUUUUUAUAAGCAAGCCCUACUUCUUAUAGUUUUUAGACGAGUCCGGUCUAAGAUCAAGGUUCCGGAUUUUGAUCGGGUCAUCGGGUUGCCCGGAUCAAUUCUUUUUUUUUUUUAAAUCAAAACGAUGUCAUUUUAGUAAAAAAAAAAAGUUAACGGGUUGCAACUGAGUUUUUGACCGGAUCUUGCCGGGUCAACUGGGUCGCCGGGUCAGCCGAGUCACACCGGGUUUUUCCUUCCCCGGUUUUUUCUUCAGCUUGACCCGGUUCCAGCCCCGAUUCGGUCGGGUCCCGGGUUGACCCUCCAGACCGAGUUUUAAAACUAUGCUACUUCUUGAAUUUUUAAAAAUGUUGUUAUGCAAAUUAAAUAUGAUUUUAGAAUUGAUUUUUUUACUUCAAAUCAUAUUUUUUUUUUCAUAAGCAAUAAACUGCAUUACAACGUAGAAAUAAUUAAAAUUUAUCUUGAAUCAAGAGAAAGUGUGCAUAAUUAACCAGGAUAUCAUAGAGUAAUAAUUUCAUGUACAUGCUAUAAAUCUUACUUCAAAUCGCAUUUUAUCAUUCAUAUUGAUGUUUAUAAAUUAGAAAUCAAAUCAAUACACUUCUUUAUAGUUAUAGAAUUCUUAAGAACUCUUGCGUUAACCUAACUUGCGUAGUAUUGACUAGCAAUAAGAUCAAACUUAACUAUGCACCCAUUCCCAAAAGACGUUUCUUUGACCUGAUUUAUUACAUGGCUAAGAUAUAUCAAGCAUUCCAAUAUUUACACUAUUAUUUUAAAAUGUUAGUUAUCAAAUCUCAAAUAUAUCAUGAUCUACAUUAUUAUUUUACUUUUUUAAAAUGUUAAUUAUUAAAAGAAAUUAUGUUAUUAAACUUUAUAAAGUCCAUGAACAUGUUUACAAGUUUGGCUAGUUGAUCUAGUUUAUGGGUUUGACAAGUUUAACUAUUUUAUUUUUUUCAUCCUUAAAUAUUGGAUUAAUUGAGAAUUUAGUUUUAUAAUUGGUCUCGUUUCACCUUUUAAUUAUGAGGUUAUCACGGUCUAAAAAACAAAUCUAGGUACUGGGUUGAUAUUUGAUUUCGUAAUUGUCUAUUUUUGUUAUUAUAUAGUUAAAUAAAAAAAUAGUUUCGAAAAAAAAACAAAUUAUAAUCCUAAUGGAACCCUUAACCCGGUUCACAGUUUGACAUGCUAACCCGGGUUACCCGAUUCAUAUGUUUGACGAGUUUGCCCAAUAAUAGAAUAUGUUUUUUUUUUGUUUUGGUCUUUUAAUUGUUUUUUUCUCGAUUUUAUCUUUUAAUAUUGAGUUGAUUGAGAAAUAGACUGCACUGAUUUUUGUUUUGCUUUAUAUAAGGAUAAUUGUCUCAAAUAAAUAUCUAUUUUUAGGUUGGUGUUCAAUUUUAUGAGCAUCUAUUUUUAUCAUAUAAUUAAAUAAAAAUAGUUUAUAAAAAAAGUUAUUAAACCCAAUAGAGUUCAUGACUAGGGUCGCGGGGAGACCGAGGUAGAUUUAAUUUGUCAUUGUCUCAACAUUUUUUUGAAAAAAAAUAUGUCAUCUUAAAGUUUUUUUAAAAGUUAAGUAAUGUUUUUACCGAUUAUCAAUGUUGCAUUUGGACCCAUGAAAUUGAUCAAUUUAAGUCGAGCUAGCUCCCAUGUGGUUUAAUUAGAAACUCAAGUUAGACAAAGAAUUGAGUCAGGAGGUUUUAAAAUUAAUAUUAUAAAAAAAUCUUCUUACUCUUAAUAUUUUUUAUAUUUUAAAAAUAUUAAUCCGGUUUAUGGUGGAGCCCGAACCAAUAAACUAGUGUAAACUAAAAGGAAGAAAAGAAAAUCACAUGAAUCAUGCAUAUAAUAUUUAAGAACAAUCACAUUAUUCUUGCUGAUAAUGUUUAGUGCCCAAAUUUAAGUUCAUUGGUGAUAUCGAUCACAAUUAAGUAGCCUUUCGUUGAAACUUCGAAUAUAUAUACUACGGUACCUAACAUAAAUCUGCCCAACUCCCUGCUAAUCAUGAGCCAAUUAUCAGUAAUUAAAUCCAUCUAGGCCUAGAACUUUAAAAACCAUUUGAUCAAUCAUCAAAGAAUAAACGAUUGUAGUCAUGUCAAAAGGGAUUCUUCCUCGAAAAAGCACAAUUUUAUAUGGUUAUAAAUGAGAUUAUUGCUCACAGCAAGAUUGCAUUAUCUAUGUAUAUUAAUUUAAUUAGAGAAAAAAAUCAUGUCCCCAUCAAAAAAUGGAAAUUAAAAAGCAUGUUAUAAAGAUAAAAAAAUAAAAUAAAAAAUAAAAUCAGUUCCAUGAACUUGACUACAAAUAAGCAAUGCAUAUAAAAUACGCCAACACUGCCUUGCAUAGAUUAAUUAAUGGUAUGCAGGGCCAAAUUACACUGAACCACUAUACACGCAUCACUUAAAAAGAAAGAGGAUGCCGAAACAAAUCAAAUGAUAUGGGAGAAUUACAAUUACAACCACUGAAGCCAGUCACACGUGUUGCAAGAAAGCGGCGGAGCAAUAGACGCGUGCAAGGCACGCGUCAACAGCUUUUUUGUUAUUUUCCUUAUUUGUAUAAAAUCAAAAAGGCCAUUGAGACUAAACAAUAAUAAUAUACAAAACCACGAUGAAAUUACAAUUAAACCCUUGGAGUCAUGGUUAAUAAAUUUGAAUGAUAAGGAUAAUAUGAUACUUUUACUGUUCUAUCAAAUAUAAAAAUACAAAAACGUCUUUAUACAUGUAAUAACCCAAUUUUGGAUUCUUCAAAUUUUCUUUAAAUGUUAUUUUAUUUUUCAAAAAAAAGAAAAAAAGCUUAAAAUUCAAAAAUAUAUUUUUCUCGGGUCAACCGUCAUUUUCCAUAAAAAACGAGCCCGUCGGAUCAAUACGAGUCAAACCAUGUCGACCGAAAUAAAAAUUGAGUUUCAGGCCGUUUCGGGUCAAACCCGUCAUUUUUGGUCAAAACCGAGUCCGUCGGGUCAAUACAAGGCAAACCAUGUCGAUCGGGAUAAAAAUUGAGUUUCAGGCCUUUUCGGGUCAAAAUCGUCAUUUUUGGUUAAAACUGAGUGCACCGGAUUUAUACGGGUCAAACCUUGUUGACCAAGAUAAAAAUUGAGUUUUAGGCUAUUUUGGAUCAAAACUGUUAUUUUCUAUCAAAAUCCGGUUCACCGGGUUGAUACUGGUUAUUUUUUUUUUAUGGUGUUUGAAAUUAAGUUUUCGGUAAUCAAAGUUAAUUUUUAGCGGUUGAACGGGCAUUUUCUAAUACUAAUCUGCGUUUUAGUUUUACCCACUAUAUAUAUAUAUAUAUAUAUAUAUAUAUAUAUAUAUAUAUAUAUAUAUAUAUAUAUAUAUAACAAAUCAAUAAUGCAUAAAUAUUUACUGUAGUAGUUGGUGCAGUUGAGGCAUGUGAAAUCUUUUCUUCGGACAAAGCCGUGUCUCCUGGUUAUAAAUGCCCUGUUCCCCUAGGCCCUAGUCAUUGGCUAUAAAAGCCAGUAAAAGAGAACAGAAAGGAAGAAGUGAAUCCUAAUGCUGAUACUAUUAAUGUUUUUUUAGUUUUUCUUCACGCGAGUAAGGUAUUGAUUUUUUUUAAAAACAAUUUAAAAAAUACCAAAAAAUAUCCUAACAAUUAAAUCAAAUAGUAUUUAGUUCUGGAUCCUUGAUUAGAUCUGAUCAAAUAGGGCAAAGUACACUGGAUUAAAACCCAAAUCCAUCUCAGCUCUUUAAACGGUCUGUCCUUUGAUCCUGUCUUGCCACAUCACCUGGUGUACCAAGCCUCAGGUGCAUCCUAUCACACUAUCACACUGAAGCAAAGAUCUAACAAUCGGGGCCGUGUAUUAAUUUUCAGAUCAAGCAAACCGUAGCCGUAUGAUCAAUUCAUAACUGAUCAACGGUCCAUGAGGUCCGAUGCACCUGCUUACCAUGCUAACGUUCGCACCAUAGCAGAUCUCAGAGAUUCUCCCUCCUCUCGCCGGCGAUCCUCUCUCUACACGGAUCUCCCAACUCCGGCCACCUAAAGAGUCCGGACCACCACAGAAAGGUUCCUCACCUCCUCGCUAGAAAACCCCAGGUGUUUUUCAUCGCUUUCUCCGCCGUAUCUUUUCGAAAAAAGACCGCGACAUCUUCAGCCACCCGAAGCUUCAAACCGUCGAUUCUCUCUCAUCAGCCAUCAACAGCCAUCGAAAACACCCUCAUCAGAAUCCUCUCCCCCAGAUCUACCAUAAUCUACCCUUUUUUGGCCCGGAAUCUCGCCGAAGAAUUUCACAUCUCCAACAGUGGCCGCGCGUGAGCUAUACGCGCCACAGGGGUAUUUUCUUAAUUUUCUGAGAAGUGCAAGGGUAUUUCAGUCUUUUACCUAUACAGUGGCACUCAGGUGAUUUUGGGGGUUCCUAGUGGUAUUUUAUUUAUUUUUUAUACAAGUAUUUGUAAAAUUUUCUACCAUAAAUAAAUAUAAAAGGAAUAACAAUGCUGGUCCAACAUCCAUUUUAUCCCGUCAUCGUGCGUGGGUUCGAAGCCCAAUUCUCAAGUAUGAGUUAUACUCAUUUUUUAGGGAUACCAACAUAAUAUUUCUUUUUAGGAUUGAACAUUGUUUGUUGAAACGUUUUUUUUUUACAAAAAAAGAACCGUUGUCAAAAGUUUAAAAACAAAAUAUGGAUUAUGUCCAUUGUUUUUUUUUUUUUUGCAACUCAGACUUAGCUCUUUUUUUUAGGGUUAAAUGUCAACAUUUUAGACAAGUUUUCUAUUUUUAGGGACUGAUGUCAUUUUUUGACGUGUUUACUAUUUUUAGGGACCUACGUUAACCAUCUUUAAAAACAAAUUGCAAAUAAGUUCAAAAAAUAUUAUAGCAUUUGAAUAAAAUAAAAUAAAACACAAGUAAGGGUAACCUUUUUCUUGAAAGGAUGUUUUGAGGGUGAUGUCUACCUUCCCUUAAUCAUAAAUAACUCAGUACUUGAAUCUCUGGGACCAAUGUCUAAUUUUGAAUUUCUAGUUCCUUCAAAUUAUUAGAUGGCGACUCCAAUUAAAUCUUUAUUUUUCCCGAUUAUUUUUUUUGUUAAAUAGAAAAAGUGGAGUCGUCGCGCGACGUCGUGUAUCGACAAAAACAAAUGUAUUAGAUUAUUUUAUUCAAGGGUUACAUUAGUAAUUUUAUUGUGCAUUAAAAAACAUAACCCCAUACAAUCCUUAAAAGACAUUUAUAUCAUGGUGAAAAGACCAACCUAACCCCAAAACCAAGUUAAAAGAUUAAAUGACUAAUGAACAAUAUAAUAAUUAUAUUAUUGUAAUGAAUAGUAAAUUAUGCUACGGGAAAUUGAACAACCGCGUACAAUCCUUAAAAAAAAUUUAUAUUAUUGUAAUCGACUAAUCUUACGGGUCCUGAAGUUAAUGAUCAUGUAAGUCUUUCAGUGACCCUUAGGUUUGUGAGACUCAAACAAGUGACCUCUAAGAUGAAGUACCUGUUUGGCAUUGCGGUUGCGGCGGCGAUUAGAAAUAACAUUUUUAUUUCACAUGGGUCCCACUCACAUGUCCAAUCUCAGUUUUUGAAAAGCAAUUUACAAUUGCUUUUCUGUCCGUGUUCUCCUCUCUUUCACCGACACUGCUAAUUAAUUAACACAACUUUCCCAACCCGAGCUGUUAUCCUCUGUUCCCUUCCCCUCUAUUCCUUAUGCAUGAGUUGACCGAUUCUAAUUUUUCUCAUCACUUAUCUAUUAUCACUAUUAUGUUUUUCAUUUUUCUUUGGUUAACACCACAAUAAGCUCUCGUAUCAAUAUCACUAUUACAAUUUGAAAAGUCAAGACCUAUGCCAUAACCAACACGACAACAUCUCCCACAUUAAAGCUCUCUUAUUAUUUAAAAAUGGACUUGUAUAUAUAUAUAUAUAAAAUGUUCUUUUCAGUAAUUUUACAAUCAAACCUCAUACAAAAAGCAUAUUAACCAAACAUAAUAAAUUAUUUUUUUUUUCAACCAUAUUUUCAACCGUAAUUUUAACAAAACACAUCAAAAUUAAAAACAAACCUUAUAGAAAAUACUUUUUAUUAAACUGUUUUUUUUAAAUUACAACCACAACCAACUAAAAUACCAAACAGACACAAAAUAAUCCAAAUGAGAGAGAAAAUCAAGUUUUUUUAAUCUUACUCUUCAUUUGGAUUAUUUUAUUUCCAGUAGAUGGCUUGUCUUAAUAAUGCAUCUGUAUGGGGAAUCACCCAAAUUACGCGUUCCUUGUCGUGGUUUCGUAGAAGGAAAGUGAAAAUCCACGGAAGAAUCUGUAGAAAUGACUUCUUACUUGUCAACUACAAGGGGGGAAAUAAAAAAGAGACGAAGCUUAUCAUUUCAGAUUUCAUCAUGCAGAGAAUACCCCAAACAUUGGGAUUUUUUUUUUAAUUUUAUAAUCAUCGUUUGAUUUAUUGAAAAGUAGUUAUUAGCUAUUUAAUUAAUGACUAAACAACCGAAAAUAAGAGUUAAUACGGAAGAAGCAAUAUAAAGAAAAACGAAAUACAAAAAUCUCUAUUUCCUUAACUACUUAACUUCUGGGAUUUAAUUAGACAAAGGAAUCAAUUUAGCUCCCCGCAAGUUAUGCAUUAAACAGUAAUGGGGUGAAAGCAACUCAACCUAUAAACAUAUUAAUCAAACUAAAUUGAUGUAUUUAGAAUCAAAUUACAGGAGACUCAGUUAAUCAAUUCAUGCAACAUUAACAUUAUUCUAAAAGGUGUGGGGAAAGUACUGAAGCCAUGUUUUUUUGUUUUUGUUUUUUCAUUUUUUUUGUUUGUUUUUUUUAUAUAUAUUUUUUUCUUCUUUUUCCCACAUUUUUUUUUGUUUUUUACCCUUUUUUUUCGGGCUUAAAAUGUUUUUUUUUCUUUUUUUUUUCCAAGAUUGUCUUCUUUUUUUUUUUAAAUUAUCUUUGUCGAUUUUUUUAAUAUGAAAUUGGUUGAAAAUUUAGUUAUGUAGUUUUUUUCUUUAAAACAUUAUGGAUUCCUACAAUGUUUCCUUACAAGGCUUUUUUUAUUUAUUUUUUUAUGAAUCUUCUUCUUUCUUUUCUUUUCAAAAUGGUCUUUGUCAAUUUUGUUUUAUAGUUUUUUUCUUUAAAACACUAUGGAUUGUUACAAUGUUUUCCCAUAAGGUUUUUGUUUUGCUACAGUGUUUUCCCACAUGUUUUUUUCAAAAUUAUCCUUGUCAAUGUUUUUUUAAUAUUGAGCUGGUUGAGAAUUCAGCUUUAACUUUCCCCACAUGUUUUUUUUUUCAUUUUUUUAAUUUUUUUUCUUUUUUUUCCAAAAUUGUCUUCUUCUUCUUUUUUUUUCAAUUUUUUGUGUUUUUUUUUCAGAAUUAUUUUUGUUAAUUUUAUCUCUUUAAUAUGGAGCUGGUUGAAAAUUUAGCUUUGUAGUUUUUUUUCUUUAAAAUAUUAUUGAUUGCUACAGUGUUUCCCCGCAUGGUUUUUUUUUUAUAUUUUUUUAUGAUUUUUUUGUUUGUUUUCCAGAAUUGUCUUUGUCGAUUUUUUUUUUCAUAUUGAGCUGGUUGAGAAUUUAGCUUCGUAGUUUUUUUCUUUAAAACAUUGUGGAUUGCUACAGUGUUCCUCCACAUAAUUUUGUUUUCUUAUGAUUUUAUUCAAAAUUGUCUUUAUCGAUUUUAUUAUUUUUAAUAUUAAGCUGAUUGAGAAUUACAACUGUAAAUUUCCUAAUGAAAUACUAUAGAUUGCUACAGUGUUUUCCUGCCUGGUUUUUUUUUCCUUUUAUUUUUUUUGUUAUGAUUUUUUCUAAAAUUUUCUUUGUUCAUUUUAUUUUUUAAAUAUUAAUAUGGUUAAGAAUUUAGCUUUGUAGUUUUUUCCUUGAAAACAUUGUGGAUUGCAACAGUUUUUUUUCAUAGAAUUUUUUUUUAAUUUUUUGCAUAAAUCCAUAAUAAUACAUAAACAUACCACAAGCCCGCAGCAUCGCACGGGCAUGAUAUAUAGUAAGUUAACCAAUUCACGUAACAUAUAAGAUAAUAUUGAUGGAUUUGGGACCGCAAGAGGGACAGGGACCAAGCCGAUGCAGAGGUAGAAUUAAGAGGAGGCAAAAACGGGUCUCAAAGAAAAAAUAUAUUGACGGAUUCUGUAGGUUAGUUUUUUAUUGCUUAGUAAUUAAGAUGUAGUAUUUAAAUAGGUGGGCCCUUCUAAUGUAAAUAUAUUUGUUAUCUUUGAUUUAAAAACUAUCUACGUGGAAAGAAAAAAUAUGAAGUUAUAUGGAUUUUGCUGUUUACUCUCAGCUACAGCCCUAAUAUAAAGAGUAAAAUAUAGAAAUAAAAAUAUAAAUUGCGAAUAGAAAGAUUGAACUAAAUCGCCAUCAAUUAAUUGUUCUUUCAUCAAAUAAAUCAAGGUAAUUAAGCAUUGCUAACCCCAAAUUUAAAAUUUAUUUUUGUUUUGUUUUAAGAUGUAUGAAGUAAAUCGCUAUCAAUUAAUUGUUCUUUCAUCAAAUAAAUCAAGGUAAUUAAGCAUUGCUAACCCCAAACUUAAAAUUUAUUUUUGUUUUGUUUUAAGAUGUAUGUUAAGAAUUUGAUGAUGAUUUUUUAUAAUUAUAUUAUUUUUGCUUCUUUUUGUUUUUUUCCUCACGAUAUAUGUUUUGAUUUUAGGUUGAACCAUGAACAAAAUAAUAAGAAUUGAUUCUUUUUUUUUUUGAGAAAAAGAGAACAAAUAUUGAUAACUCACAGCCUAGUGAACCAAUUCCAAUGUGUAUUGUUGAAGUUAUGGUUGAGCAACCUCAAUGUGCUUCAGUUUACGAAGAACCUACAUUGAUUAGUGAACAACCUUUUACUAGAAUCGACAUUGCUCAUUUAAUUAGAAAUCCAAGUAAUCGUCCUCAAAUUUAGGAAUACGGGGUUAAUCAACAAAAUAAAAUUCAAAGGGUAUACAUUUAAAAUCAAAUCAACAUAGUUAAUAAUAAAUUUAUGGAAGUUUUAAAUUAAAAGAAUUCACACAAAAGAUUGCAUUAUAAAAUAAUAUAAAAUCAUCAUCGAAAUAUUAGCUUGCUACCAUGAGACAUGGAGCAUUCAUUUAUGAUUUUCCAUCUACUUCUAUAAGUAUGAGAGUUGACCCUUCCCAUUGUACGUGGUCAUGACGUUUCAAUGAAAUUAAUCUCUAGUCAGUUAAAGUGUGGGAAAAAUAAAAAAGAGACGAAGCUUGUCGUUUCUAACUUGAAAAUGCAAAGAUUACCUCUAAAAUUUGGAAUUUAGUCGAAGGAAUCAAAUUAGCGGCGCCCUGCAAAUUAUGCGUUGAGCAUUUAUGGGCUGGAUUCAACUCAACCUAUAAAACAAAUCAAACUAAAUUGAUGCAAGUGGAAUGAAAUUAGUAGUGGGGACUAAGUCAAUCAAUUCGUGCAACAUAAGUUAAUAAAUUCACCUAACAUAUAGAAGACAUGCUGAUGGUUUUGGAACCGCAGGAUGAUAACCACUUUUUUUUUUAAAAAAGAAGAAGCUUAUUUGUUUUAUUUUUUAAUGGUAAAUAAUUAUUUUACCUUUAACAAGUUGUUUUGUUUUUAUUUGACGAGCUAUGUUCAUUCUAAAAUUUUAACCAGAUUUUAUUCAAUAUAUUUUAAGAUUUUUCAUAAAAUUUCAGCUCAAUCUGAUGGCUGGAUUGAAAAUUAUGCCAAAUAACGUAGAACUGGUCAAAUUGUAAUUUUUCAUCAAAUUUCUGAAUUUCUCCAAAAAUUAUAAAAUUUUAACCCAAGCUAAAGCAUCAUAUUAGAAGGCUCCACGCAAAUUUUCAGAAUUUUUUAAUAAUUCAAUCGAGAAUUAUAAAUUUUUUUUACAUAAAACUAGUAAAAAAAUAUUGAUAAAAUCUUGACAUGGGCUAUAAUUAACCCACCCAAGCCUUUAGCAUGCCUCCGCCCUUGUCUCUAGUAGCCCUAAGAUUUGUGAGACUCGAACUGGUAACCUCUAGAAAACAAACCUAAAAUCUGACCAAUUAAACUACACAUCCCUGUCAUGAUUGAUGGAUAUGAAUUAUUGUACACCAAAGCUGAUGCAGUAAUUAAGAUCUUGGAAGAUUAAAGUAUCAAUCAAAACCAGAUUCACAAUGCGUCUAAUCUGUAAUUGUUAAGUAUCGAAGAUAAAUUUUUUUUAUUAUAGUCAAAACUAAUACAAGUUUUGAAUAAUUCUCAAACCCAAUACUUACCAUAAUAUAAUAUUUUCUUGCUAGUUAUCUUUAUAGCACACAAGAACAUCAUGCAAUAUCAUCUCUAAAUUAAAAAAAAAAAAGGUCUAAGUACAGGCAUAUUUAUAAAUAAAGAACAUGUUUUAAUGGGAAAAUGAUUAGUAUAACACUAAAACCUAUAAGAAUUCUUUUUUCUAUACAAAAACAAUCUUACAUUUAUAAAGUCUUCAUUAUUUAAUGCGAAAUCUUAAUCCAUAAAAAACUAACUAUUACGUACAAGAAUACAUAUACCUUGUUAAUUAAAUCCCAACCACGUCUUCAACAUUUCCAAACUUGUUAAUUAGUUUUGCCAUCCUAUCAAAUUAUGAACGUAUUGACAUGUGUCCCUUGUUAAUUAGUCUAUUUGGGUUGUUACAUAGUAAUAUAAAAUAAGAAAUAUGAUUAGAUUCUUGUCCCACAAUUUAAUUCUUGAAUUGAGAUAACUUCUUAGUAUAAUAUUAUCAUUGAAUAAUUUCUACGGACACCACGAUGGGAGGAAUGUAGCAGGUGAAACACAUUUAAGAAAGAUCAAGAUAAAAAAAAUAACCAAUUAUAUAGGUACUAUUUUGUUAUUAUUUCAAGGUAAAAAAACAAAGAGAUAAUCGAAAUAAAAAUAAAAAUAUAAAAUAAAUAUAUUUUUAUGAUAAUUAAUUUUGCAGUAAAUUUUUAUAUUUUAAAAAUAAAAAUUACAAAAAAUAUAUCCUUUUUGUCUCUUUUAUUUUGAUAUAGUAAUCAAAUUCUACUGCAAUGAUUACAUGCAAUUAUUCAAUAUAUAUAUUGGUUUAGAUUCCUAUCAAAAGAAGAUGAAUACAAAUUUUACUUGAUCAAUGUCAAAGAACCAUCUCAAUUCAAUAGUUUAAGUUGUUAGGGAAGGUCCCAAUAUAUGAUUUAUAUUAUUUUUUAACACAUCCUCUCAAGUGAAAGCCCUUUGAGCCUGAAAUUUGCACAGACUCCAUUACUUUGUGCUUGAUUUUUAUCAAAUAAAUGGAAAUGGUAAGAUUUGAACUCGUGACCGCUUAAUCAUCAAGGCUCUGAUACCAUGUUAAAGAACCAUCUCAACCUAAUAGCUUAAACUGUUAGGUAAGAUUUUAAGAUAUGAUUUAUAUUAUUCUCUAACCAUCUAUAUACAAUUUAACGUGACAUGCAUGGAAUUCUAUAUAAAAUGGAGCCUACCUUGGGUACAAGAAACCAUCACUAGUCAUACACACAAAGAAAGAUAUGGACUAUGAAAUUGCAGGUCUGGUUCUAGCAGUCUUGCUAUGGGUUGCAUGGGCAGUGGUGACUCAACGUCGUUACCGUCGUUCAGAAGAGCAAGGGCAGCUACCACCAGGGCCUAGACCACUGCCAGUGGUUGGCAACAUCUUCCUGUUGGGUUGGGCACCACACGAGUCUUUUGCUAAUUUGGCUCGUGUUCAUGGUCCAAUCAUGACCAUUUGGCUCGGGUCCAUGUGUAACGUGGUCAUUUCCUCGAGCGAAGUGGCUCGUGAGAUGUUCAAGAAUCAUGAUGCGGUGUUGGCUGGGAGAAAAAUCUACGAGGCUAUGAGAGGUGAUUUUGGCAAUGAAGGGUCUAUAAUCACAGCCCAAUAUGGACCGCAUUGGCGCAUGUUAAGGCGCUUAUGCACCACCGAAUUCUUUGUGACUAGCCGCCUUGAUGCCAUGCAGGGUGCACGAACUAGGUGCAUCGAUGGCAUGCUGCUAUACAUAGAAGAUGGUAGCGCCAAUGGCACUAGCGCUAUUGACCUUGGGAGAUACAUUUUCUUGAUGGCUUUUAAUCUUAUUGGCAACCUCAUGUUUUCUAAAGAUUUAUUGGACCCAAAAUCGGAGAAGGGAGCAAAGUUUUUUCAGCAUGCAGGUAAGGUCAUGGAGUUGGCAGGUAAGCCUAACAUGGCUGAUUUUUUGCCAAUUUUAAGAUGGCUGGAUCCACAAGGUAUAAGGAGGAAGACACAGUUCCAUGUAGCAAGAGCCUUUGAGAUUGCAGGAGGGUUCAUCAAAGAAAGAACAGAGAGUACGCAAAAGGAAAAUAGUAGAGAUGACAAGAGGAAAGAUUAUCUAGAUGUCCUUUUGGAGUUUCGUGGUGAUGGCGUGGAGGAGCCCUCUAGAUUUUCUUCAACAACGAUCAAUGCGAUUGUCUUAGUAAGUAGCAUCUCUUUUCCUAUGGUUCUCUUUUCUGUCCUAUCUUUGCAUACAUUUUUGUGUUUUUGUUCGGAGGCGGCAAAGCCUGUCUUAAUAUAAUUGUCUACCUAGUAAUUAACAUCUCGUUUGACAGCUUUGUUAAGCUCAGACCUCUGUUAGUAAAGUACUCCGCCCCGCUGAUAGGUUUACCUUCAGCUCUAGCUUGUGUUGGCUUUUUUUUUUAAAAAAAAAUCAAUCCAGAUUGAAUUAGUUGAUUGGACAUAUUAAUCUGUUACUCGGUUAGAAUUUCAUUGAUUUUUUUAUCAAAAUUAUUGUUUUGAUCUUUAAAAAGAAUUUUAUUAGACUUACUUAAAAAUCAAUCUCAUGAUCCGAGACUUACUCUGAAUGCAACUCCGAGUUAGGUCUAAUUAUAACUAUGACUUGGACUAUGGAAACUAUAGUUCUUCAUACACGGUGGAACCAAAAAUUUUAUCAAACCCGGCCUGAAUCAGUAAUUAACCUAGAACCCAAUUGAUUUGAUCACCUGUAGUUUAAGUUGGAUUUUAAAAUAAAAUUAACUUUGAGAUGAUACUGUUUGGCUUGAUUGAACCCAAUAAAAUUAACCCUGAACCUAGUUAAUUUGAUCAAAUUUUAUUUGAUUUUUUUUUAUUUUUUUUUUAAAUAAUAUUGUUUUGAUUAAUUUUAUUUAAUUCACCCAACUCGUGAUUCAAAGUUUAAACCAGAUAUAAUAUCUUUACUUUUAAGUAAUGUUCAAAAACAAAAAUUAAUUAUAAUAUUUAUCUCGGGCCUGGGUUUUUUCCAAAUCAUAGUAAAGCAAUUAAUAAGAGAUAAUAUACAAAAUUAAAUGACUAACAUACUUAAUUUUUGUUAUGAUUUUUUCUUAUAGGAAAUGUUUACGGCAGGGACUGAUACAACAACAAGCACUUUGGAAUGGGCCAUGGCUGAACUUCUACGUAACCCUAAAGUAAUGAAAACAGUCCAAUCCGAGUUGAGAAGCACCAUUGGCCUCAAUAAGAAGCUCGAAGAUAAAGACAUUGAGAAUCUCCCAUACCUAAAGGCAGUCAUCAGGGAAACACUGAGACUCCACCCUCCUCUACCUUUUUUAGUCCCGCACAUGGCCAUGAACCCUUGCAAGAUGCUAGGCUAUUACAUCCCUAAAGAGACAACAAUUCUAGUUAAUUGUGGGCCAUUGGAAGGGAUUCAAAGACUUGGGAUGACCCUUUGGUUUUCAAGCCAGAAAGGUUCUUGGAACCAAACAUGGUGGAUUACAAAGGUCGUCAUUUUGAGUUCAUACCAUUUGGUUCUGGCCGUAGAAUGUGCCCUGCCAUGCCGCUCGCUUCUCGUGUACUUCCUUUGGCUCUUGGAUCGCUCUUGCUUUCAUUUGAUUGGAUUUUGCCGGUUGGUCUCAAGCCAGAGGAUAUGGACAUGACUGAAAAAAUAGGGAUAACACUUAGAAAAAGUGUUCCCUUAAAGGUCAUACCGACACCUUACAAGGGGUCAUCAAAUCAUUAUGGGUUCUGAGUAGAUAUUGGAUAUUCCAAAAUUUCUACGUACUAGUAUAACAAAACGUAGUUAUAAAAUGGGUAUAAUAGAUCAAUCUUGGUAUCCUAUUGAUUUCAAACUUAAUCCAAGUUAUAUUUUAUUUUGAAUUGGAUUUUUUUUUACCAAAACCAUAUCAUUUUAUUAAAAAAAAAAAAAAACAACAUUGUUUUGGUAAAAAAAAAUAGACUCGUAACCUAAAUUUUAGGCCGAGCCAAACCCAGGCUUGGAUUUAUAUCUAAGUUACAAAAUGUUGUAUUAGUAUUGUAUUAAAUUAAGCUGUUUGAGUCAUAUAUUUGAUUCUUAAUUUGUAUGUGUAUGUAUAUUAAUGUCUAUCUAUAUAUAAUCUAGUUGUGGAGAAGUUUUUUUAAUUAAUUAGCGUGUUUGGUGAUGCAGUUUAACCUAUUCUUCAAACUAAUUUUCAUUAAAAAAAUAAUUAAAUCAAUGUUUUUAGGUGUUUUUCGAUGGUUUUGAUGUAUUGAUGUUAAAAAUAAAAUCAAAUUUGAAAAAAAAUAUCAUUUUGAUACAUUUUUAAUUGAAAAACACUUUCAAAAACACUAUGCACUACAUUAACAAACACACACUAAAAAUGCCAUUACCCAUUUCUAGGUUAUUCCCUUAAAUUUACCUUUUUUUUCUUUUAAAAAUAAAAAUAAAAAUAAAAAUAAAAAUAAAUAAUAAUAGCAAGGAGACUGGCGAUGAGGAAAAAGCUAGAUGAGAAAGGAUUUUAAAUAUGCAUAAAACCAAGCUGCAAUUUUGGACGAAGUCGAAAGCCUAAUCGUACCCCUUUGUGCCCAAAACUAGAGAGACAAUGGAGAUUCAAUGUCAAAUUAAAUGAUUAUUGGAUGAAUCUGCAUAAGAAUUAAGUACAAGGACAUAAUUAGAUUUUUAAUAGGCUAAAUUGAUCUAAUCAUGGACCAAAUUAAAAGUUUAAUUAUGUUUAAGAAUUAAUUUGGGUCCAAUUAAAGGAUUUAAUUAGGCGCAAAGACUUAAUUAUGCUUUAAAUGGGUCAAAUUAAUUUUAUUAGGGGCUUAAUUGGAGAAAAAAUAAGUUUGAGAGUCUAAUUUUAGCUUAAUUGAGAAUGUUGGAAUUUUAGAAGAUCAAAUUUAAUUUUUUCUAAGUUAAUUGAUUCAAAUCAGGGGUGAAAUUGCGAGAAAAUUAAAAGUUUGAAGUCAAUUCAAGGCUAAAUUGAAUAAAUUCAUAGCCAUAGACCAUUUUGCAAAAGGCAUCGAACUACAAGGACUCAAUUGAUUGAAAUCAGGGGUGAAAUUGAAGAAAAUUAAAAGUUUAAUGGUCAAUUUGCAUAAAUCCAAGACCAAGAACCAAAAUGAAAAAGGCGUUGAAAUUUGGAAUGAUUAUUGGAUGAAUCUGCAUAAGAAUUAAGUACAAGGACAUAAUUAGAUUUUUAAUAGGCUAAAUUGAUCUAAUCAUGGACCAAAUUAAAAGUUUAAUUAUGUUUAAGAAUUAAUUUGGGUCCAAUUAAAGGAUUUAAUUAGGCGCAAAGACUUAAUUAUGCUUUAAAUGAGUCAAAUUAAUUUUAUUAGGGGCUUAAUUGGAGAAAAAUUAAGUUUGAGAGUCUAAUUUUAGCUUAAUUGAGAAUGUUGGAAUUUUAGAAGAUCAAAUUUAAUUUUUUCUAAGUUAAUUGAUUCAAAUCAGGGGUGAAAUUGCGAGAAAAUUAAAAGUUUGAAGUCAAUUCAAGGCUAAAUUGAAUAAAUUCAUAGCCAUAGACCAUUUUGCAAAAGGCAUCGAACUACAAGGACUCAAUUGAUUGAAAUCAGGGGUGAAAUUGAAGAAAAUUAAAAGUUUAAUGAUCAAUUUGCAUAAAUCCAAGACCAAGAACCAAAAUGAAAAAGGCGUUGAAAUUUGGAGUUGACAUUGAAUUUUGGAAAGGGCAAAAUUGCAUAAAAUUGGAAGUUUAGGGUCAAUUAGGGGUCUAAUUAAAAGAAAUUAAAAGUCGAUCAAAAUGAACUUUAGCUAAACUGCUAAAUUAAAACCCUAAAAAUUCCAAAAUGACACCAUUUUGAACAAUAAAAAAAAGGAUCAUACAACGUGUUGUCUAAUUAUUGUACGUUGUCUUUUUUAGGUCAAAAUGACUGUCAAUGAGGCCACUUUUCAGGGGCAUUUAAUGCUUCGUCUCUCCAUCAAAUUUGACAAAACAUAUAUGAAAAUGAUGGCCUGACAUUCGACCAUACCCGAAUAUGGUUUUUUCCGGCUAAUUGACACCAUAGCAGCUGCGACGCCGCCUUAAAAUGGCCAACCCGAGUAAGCUUUUAGCAACUAUAUUUACAGUUCAUGAUGACCACUUUGAGUCAAUGGUUAGGAUCCUUCUGGGUCGAAUCAAGGGUCAAGAUUUGACAUUAGUAAAGACAAAAUGUCCUUUUUCCACCCCGAAUAAAUAUGGGAGGAUUCCAUGAAUUGAAAUCAAGAAAUUUGAAGCCAAAUUUGGAAGAAAAAUCAGUUUUUUUCUCCGUCACCCUCUUCCACCUCCCUCUCCACUAUUUUUUCAGCCACCACUACCUCAAUAACACCGUGACCAAGAGUGGCCCAACCUUCUCCACCAACCCAUCUGCUCACUGGUAACAGUGACAACCACCACCACCGCCGCCAACUUCUUCAUCUUCUUCCUCUUCAUCGUAAUCUUCAUGCACCUCAGGAGCGUUAACUUCUCCACCUCAUCCUUUCCGGCAGCAACACCCCCAUACAGACCUCCCAACAAUGGCAGCAACAUCUCCUCCAUAUCAUGUAACCUUCUCGUCUUCCUGCACCUCAGGAGCGUUAACUUCUCCACCUCAUCCUUUCCGGCAGCCACACCCCCAUACAGACCUCCCAACAAUGGCAGCAACACCUCCUCCAUAUCAUGUAACCUUCUCCUUUUCUCCUCCCUCUUUUGUUUUUCUUCUUCUUUUUUUUCUACAUGCAAAUGUGCAGAGCGUGAAUUAUAAUUCAUGUUCUGCCAUUUGUAAGCACAACUUAGUCACUGGGCUGAGCCAAUGACUAAGUUGUGCUGGGUUAGACCCAUUCUGGCCCAGCUGUCAUAAUCCAAUUUUAAGUUUCUAAAAAAAAUGAUGAUAAAAAUAUAAUUUGGAUUAAUCAUCCAUGCACGAUUAUUCAGAACAACAUGUGGAUAGACAAACUGGGAUCUUAUUGAAGAAACAUUAAAAAAUGAUUUGAGAAUGUGAUCAACACAACACAAAUUGAAGGUUUUAGUACUAAUAAGGAUAAAAUUAUAAAAUUUAAAAGUUAAUUUGGCUGAAACUGAAAGAAUUGACAAGUCUAUGGAUUUGAAAAGCCAGUUAAAGAUUGAAUUGAAGAAAUUUAAAAUCAAUUACUAUUUUGAAAAUAACACAGAAAUUUAGGUCAAAAUUGCAUAGAUCAAGGGAGGAAAUUAAUAAAAAAAGAAUUUUCAAAGACAAGGGCUUGAUUGUAAGACUUCAACAGGGGUAAUUUUUAAAAAAUAAAAAGUUUGAAAAGUCAAUUAAGGAUUGAAUUGAAGAAAUUUGAUACCAAUGACUAUUUUGAAAGGGAAAUCGUUCGAAGAAGCCAUCCAAACGGCCCCUGUUAGACCCAAUCGUCGCACCAAAUCCAAGCCAAAUCUUAGACCAGAUUGUCUACCACAGAUCUUAUAAGUUGGUUCAGUGUUUCUCGCCCUCACAACUCUCCUCUGACGCGAAGAUCACUCAGGUCCAACAGCCCAACAAUGGCAGGACUGUUGGUGUUUUCAUUCCACCAAACAACUAGCGAACCUAAAGCAGUAGCUAUCCACCACUCCUUUAAUAUGCAGGCAGGGACAUAUGAUUCGAUGAAAGAUGUUUCUUUGAAAAUUUUGCAAAACAGCGUGUCAACAGUUCCCAUUAUUCAUUCUGCUUCUCAGGAUGGCUCAUUUCCGCAGCUACUUAAUCUUGCUUCCCUGUCUGGAAUACUAAAAUGUAAGCCUUCUUGGUUCGAUGCUUGAGGAUGUAUAAGUUGUUGCGAACUCCUGGACCUAAUUGUCAGGUAUAUGCAGGUAUUUCAGACAUUCUGCUGGCUCCUUACCCAUUCUUCAACAGCCAAUUUGUUCAAUUCCUUUGGGUACAUGGGUUCCAAAACUUGAGGAACCAAACAGACGGCCAUUAGCAAUGUUGGGACCGAAUGCUUCUCUUGGUGCUGCUCUGUCCUUGUUGGCUCAAGGUAAUUCACACGUCAAAAGAUUACCACAAGCUACAACUGUCCUCUUCUAUCUGUUUCUGAGUGUGCAUAUUGCUGAUUGAUCUUCUUUAACCUCUCCUAACCUUGUGCUAUAAUACCUUCCUGAUACAGCCAAUGUCAGUUCAAUACCAAUUGUAAAUGAUAACGAUUCACUGCUGGAUGUAUAUUCUCGAAGGUAACUUGUGCAUCUGUGAGUGCAUGUGCUUGCAUGUUCUGGAUCCUUGUUAUUGUUGAAUUGCAGGUUAAGCCAACUGUGACUUAAGUUUGUUGUUUCCUUGACAGUAAUAUCACUGCUCUGGCAAAAGAUAAAGCCUAUGCACAAAUUCAUCUCGAUGAAAUAAGUAUUCAUCAGGCAAUUAGUUUUGAUUACUUUAAGCUCUAUUUAUAUGCAGUUGUAUGCACAUUCUUGCAAUGGUCUGAACCAAUCCGCAGCUCUGUACAUGAAUAUCCAUUUGUGAAACAAUAAAUACAUUCAACUAAAUCAGGAGAAGAUAAAUGACUGGAAAUGAUAAAGUAAACUGCCUUUUUGAAUAAAACAUGCAUGGCAUGAACCUCCUGUAUUGAUCUGCUCUUUCAUACCCUUUUAGGCUCUGCAAUUGGGUCAGAAUGCAAAUUCUUCAAAUGCAUUCUACAAUGGACAGAGAUGUCAGAUGUGUUUGCGGACUGAUUCUACACAAAGUGAUGGAGCGUUUGGCAAAUCCCGGUACUCUUACAGCAAUAUGAUUUUUUUUUCUACGUCAACUUUUCUCCAUAAUUAGUUCUGACUUCGUGGUCUGGACUAGUAACACGUUUUCUAAUUGCUUUGUUGCGUGGUCUUUUCAGGGGUUAGGAGGCUUUGUUGCGUGGUAAAAAAACACUUUUUAAAUUAAAGUUAUAAAAUAACUAAAAAAAUUAUAUAUUAAUAUUAAAGAUUUUUAAUUUAAAUAUUAUAGAAUUAUAAACAACAAACUUAAAGCAAAUCGAUGUAAAUUGCUUAACUAAUACAACAUUCCAAGCUAUAAAUCAAGGUUAGAUUUUUAGAACUCAAAACAUUUUUUCCCUCUUUAUCUGCUCCUAACCCUACACUUUCUGUGGUGUUCAAUAAUGGAAGGAAAAACAAUAUAAUCUUGUAGUUAACGCAAUAUGUGUUUCUGAUCAAGAUAUCAUACAAGUCGCGAGUGCAGCUCUAUAGCACCCACCCAAAUUUUAAACCAGAGAAUAACUGCUUAACUAUAAAAGAAUUAACCUCCCAACUGAUGACUGGUAUAGAGCCAAACGAUCUAUUCCAUCUUUAGUCUUGAGCAAAUUUUGGCAAACCCCCAUGUCAUCUUGAUCAUAAUCUGCCAUAGCUAUAGCAUACAGAAUAAUCCUGCAGACAAGCAGAGAUAACCAAAAUCCAGUAAACUUUAGACCAAACAGGGAAACAAAACGUAACAAAUAUACUCUUGCUAACUGAUAGAGAAAGGCAACAGCAGUCUGUACGAUCUAAUCUUUGGAGGCAACCGCAUUUUUUACAAGUACUCAACAAAUGGCCUCUCCAAAUCCUCAUCUGGAAUCUUUGUCUUACCUUCCUCUUCAUCAUUCCCAUUCCCAAUCCCAUCAUUACCAGAAGAACCCGCCGCCACUGUGGCAUCCAAGUGCCCUUGCACCAGCUUGAAAAACCUCAUCAACUGAUUCUUUUCCAUCAGAGUCAAACUCUUAUCCUUAAAUAUGGCAGCUCUGGAAUCUGGCACAUUCCAUAACUUUCCAUUCCCAUCACCAACAAAACUGGCAUCAAUACUCUUGAACUCCACAUAAUUACUUGCUCCAGAUUUUAACAUAAGAUCAAUUGACUUGUCGGCGCAAAAUAACACCCUUAGUCCGCACAAGUCCAAAUUGAACUUCCGUAAGUUUUCUUCCAUUAGUUUAGGAUAAAGACAGGAAAUCUCAACAUCUGAAUAUACCGGCUGAGUGCUGAGAUUUACAAUGGAGUAAUCAGGGAUGUCAGUUGUGGUUGAGGUGGAAGAUGGUGGUGAGGAAGCUGUAGAAUUGGAAAUAAGGAAAGAUGUGAGAUCCGGGACCGAGAGAGAGGAGUAAUGGGACCCAUAGAUUGGGUUGGUGUCAAGGUGAAGGACAGUUUUUCCAGAAGCAGAAGCUGCAGCAGCAACAAUGCAUUCUGCUAAACCAGUGCCUGCAGCAAUCAGGUCGAUGGUAGUUGGUUCAAUUUGCGGGUAUGGUGGGGGCUCACUCGUGGUAGCACUGGAGAGGAACAGUAGAUUUACUGCUGAGAGUGAGCAAGUGAGGAGCUAAGAAUCACCUGGCACAAGAACCAAGAGAAAAAAAUUGUGUUAUCAAGUAUGAUCAACAAGUGAAGUUUUUGCACUUUCUUUUAAUAUUUGAACACCAGCAAGGUACUUGCUAAAUGGGGCAGGCAGGCUGGCUUGGCUUACGUUCAACAAUGUCUAGCUUUUACUUUUUUUUUAAAUUUAAUUUAUUAAUUGAUGUUUUUUUCUACAUGUAUUUUUUUAAAAAUAUUUUUUUAUUUAUAUUUAAAUUAAUAUCUCUUCUCUUUUUUAUUUUGUUUAUAUAAAAUCUUUCAAGUGACUAUUAUUUUUUAGUUAUUUUACAUGUAUUUUAUUUUAAAAAAAAUUAUUCUAAUUCAUGUGUAUUUAUAUAUAUAUAUAUAUAAAAUAUUCAUAAUUUUUUUUUAUAGUGCGAGUCAAAUAGGGAUCACAUGCUCUACUUUAGAGACUUUUGCUGCACCUUUUUGGUCUUGUAGCUCUAAGGUUAAUCCCUUUGUCUAUGGAAAUUUCAUUUUUAAGUCAAUUUUUUUAAAAAAUAAAUACUGUACUUUAGAAUUAAUGGUUGAUUGUAGCCCGUCAUUUCAUUUGCCCUGUUAGCUUUGUGCUUUCUUCUACUGCCCUCAAUUUUAUCGGCAAACAACUCCUUUUGUAGUGCGCCGCCGCCUCUUCUUUACUGCCCUAAAACAGAGAGAGCGAGACGCAGAGACAGAGAAGACAAAGAAAGGUAACCGAUAACCGAGAGAGAAGGCAAGAAAGAGAUGGAGAUAGGAAAAGACAGUAUGGUAAGAAUUAUAUUUUUAGUAUUUGUGAUAAUUUUUCAGUAUCAAGUUUGAGUUUUAUUGACUAAUCUGUGUGGAUUUGUUUUUAUAAAGCUUUAUUACAGGAUGUUAAGAUUUGGGUGAAUAUAUAUGCAUUGAUUUUGAUUUACAGUUCUUGAGAAAUUAACCGAUAGCUUUUGAUUUCAGUAUCAAGUGAGAUUUAUACUUAUUCCUUUUCAGGUGAUGCCUCAUUCAGAAACCUCUUAUUCACACUUUUUUUCCUUGCUGGGGCCAUGGAGGACCUAUCUAUCUGAAACAAUCAAUGAACAAAUUAGCAACACCAAUUUGCUUAAAGCUUUAACAUGGACAUCAAUAACCAUCAAAAUUCACAAAAUACAUUACAUUAAUAAUAAAAAUAUAAAACUCUUGGCAAAGCAAGACGAUCUUCCACCCCAGAAUUUGAAAUAUAAUACAGUCCAAAUAUUAAACUUUUUUCCUUCUUUUGUUUUUUUUUGGUUUUUCGGAUACUUAGACUCGAGUUAAGAGCAUACUAAGCUGCACUAAUUGUGGAGAAUAUUUUCCCACUCGGAUUAUAUUUGAAACCUCAGUCAAAACCCACCACAAGAAUUCAACUUUUACAACAUAUCAAAAUCACAUCAUUUUCAAAUUCACAGAUCCGAGACUGUACACUUACAGAUUCAGAGUAAUUGAUAUCUGGGUAUAAAUCAUACAGUGAAGCAAAGGGCUGUGAAGGGAGAAAAAUGCAAGCUUUAAGUUUAUGUGUUAUAGAGAAGGGUUUUUUAGAGAGAGAAAUAAAAGAGAGUUUUCGAAGUUGCGGGAAAGAGAGGCUCUUUUAGAGAGAGAAAGAGAGAUGUUGCCGCGAAACUUGAAUAUAAAGGUGGGCUGGCCAAUCAGAUUUUUUUAUGUAUAUAUUUUUUUGUUUUUCUUGUUUUAUACAGUGUUUUUUUGUUGUUAAUCACCGUACACGUUGGUGAGUGGGGUAUUGUAUGGUAUGAUCUUGUGGUCAUUGGUUGGGGUUUGAAGGGAUAAUUAUAGCAGAUUCAAUUUGAAAUUUUUUGUUGUUUGCUUUGGGAAUGGCCCUUGAAUUUAUGGGUAUUUGUAUUUGGUUACCAUAAAGUUUUAGAAAAACGGGCCUCGAAGUUUUCUAUUGAGAGAUGGUCCCUCAUUUGAAUCUUCUGCACAAAGUUUUUAAACCGCACAAUCCAUGACACAACCUAAGGCUCGCAUUAUGGGUAAGAUAAAUUUAUAUAUGUGAAUUUAAAAUUGUGUUAGUUUAAUAUUUUUUUAAAAAAAUUAAAAUAAUAUCAUUUUAAAAAAAUAAAGUUAUAUUGAGUUCUGACAAGAUUGUAAGUGGGCUCACUCGAUCCAUCAAGUUUUAAUUGAGUUAACUUUCAUAUGGUUUAAUGUAAAACUCGACCAAGACCAAGUUUUUUUAUUGAGCUUGUGUAUGAAUUUAUUAAAAUUAGUUUUGCCUAAAGCUUAGGUUAUAUGUUUAGUGGGUUAAAUCAAGUCAAUCUAAAAUGAUGUCAUUUUAAGAUAAAAAAAAAAACAAAAUGAGUUUCUUUUGAAAAAAAAUCAAUUUUAAUCAGGUUAUAAAUAGACGCAGCCAAAUCAAUCAAGUUUUAAUCGAAUUAACUUUUAUAUUAAUUUUAAACUCGUUCUUAAUUAGGUCUCGAAUCAAUAAUUUAUCAAGAUGAUUUAUUAAAUCAUAAGAGAUUGAAUAACAUUGGUUAUUAAUAUAUGUCUGGUAUUGUGGUGUAUGAUAUUUUUAAAAAGUGUUUUUUAAUUAAAAAUAUAUUAAAAUGAUAUUUUUUUAAAAAAAUAUUUUUGAUAUUAAAAACAAUUUUAAAAACAGGAACAAACAAAAUGCCAAAUACAAACUUAGUAUUGAAAUAACAAACUCCUCCAUAAAUUUAUUUUCCUUCGACAUUUAUUCUCGUAAAAGAAAAGAAAGGACACCAAUAGCACCAAGCUCCAACUCUUCGCUCCUUGCCAUCCCCAGCAUUUUCAGCCCUGCCUUGCCUUGUUACACACCACCCUCAUUAUCAAUGUCAAUAGGAACCUAUUUUCAGGAAAAAUAAAUAAUAAUUAUAAGCUAAUUCAUUUUUCUUUUUUUCCCAUAACAAUGAUAAAUAUUAUUAAAUUCAUCAAUAAAAAAAACUACUGAUUUGUUACCUUUUCAAUCAGUAAAGCUAAGAUCCCAUUUGGACCAAGAUCAGCAUGGUAAAGUGACCAACAAGCAAUUUUGUCACCAACUUUGAAGUCACUCUUCACAAGAACUUCAGCCCAAGCAAUCUUUUCCAAUCUGAAAUUCUUGACUGCCCUAUCAUAGUAAAUUGCCACCCAAAUCUUAUUCCUUGGUGGUGUGUAGAUCUCAAUUUCUAGUCCUUUGAUCCCAAUUUCAUCGAGCAUGGGUUUUGGUAGAGUUGUUAAGAAGCUUUUUGAAUCUCCGACAAGAACUAAACCUAGCAUGUCAUCUUGAGUCAUGGUUCUUGUGAAUAAAUGUUCUAGCUCCCCACCAAUUGGAUAGUGUUGAAUCUGGUUAGGUUGAGGAGUAGCCAUGUUCUUGAAUUAGGUUUUUUUUUUUUUUUUUUUGGUAUGUUGCCCUCUUGAAAACCACCUUGAUGAUUUGAAACUAAAUACAAGCAAAUGAAUGUUAAAAUAGUUAUGUUCGUGUCAAAUUGCUAGCAGAAUGCAUGACUAACACAUAAAUUGUGAAGGCAUGCUUUAAAGGAGGGUGCUUGCCUGGUGGUUAAUCACUGUACACGUGUUAAGUGGAGUUCGUGUAUGGGAUGAUCUGUGGAUGUUUCUGGUACGAGUGAAUUAUACCAGAUUUAAUUUGAAAUUUCGCUACACAAUGAUCCCUGGAUUUAUAUGUAUUGCAUUUAUCUCCCUAGAGUUUUGAUAAUUAACGACUUUUACACUUUGUUUGGACUUAGGCGUUACUGUAAACUAAGGACGUGGCAAAAUAAUCACCCUACGAUUGGUAUUAAAAUACGAUCACCACAUUAUAUAUUUUCUCAUGUUAUUUUUUUUAUGGGCAAUUAACGUUAUCUACAAUGAUAUUAAAUUAGGUAUAUAAUCUCAUUAUUAAGAAAAGUAUGCGUAUAAUCCAAUCAAAAGAGUUAUAAAUAUAUAAUCUUAUUAUUAUUAUUAUUAUUUUCUCGUGAUUUCUUGGAUAUCACUUGUAAUAUUUUAGUUGUUUUAUUUUCUUCUUCACUCUUUGAUUUUAGAAGUUAGCUUUUUUUUCUAUUGCCACUUUUAUUUGUAAGAGGAUUGAUUGAUGGUAUAAAUGCCACAUUAAUUUUGAAAAUUAAUAAAAAUUAAUGGCUUGGCAUUGUCAACUGAGUUUGUCAAAGACAUGUAUGCUUGUAUUACAAAAUACUAAAACCAAAACUUUUAAUUAUAAUGGUUAGAUUUAGGGUGUGUUUGUUUUUGCAGUCAAACCCGUUUUUCAAAGUGUUUUCACUUAAAAAUCAUCAAACUAAUGAUUUUUAAGUGUUUUUUUGAUAGUUUUGAUAUGUAAAAAAAAUAAAACAACAUCAUUUUAAUGUUUUUUCGAUUGAAAAACAGUUUUACAAAAAUACUUUGCACGUAUUACCAAAUAUACACUUAGGCCAUGGUUUUCUACUAAAAUAGUUUUAUUUUGCAAAGUGAUUUCCAUGCAAAGUGAAUUGCAUAAAAGUGAGUUAUUUUUUUUUUAUGUUUGGUAAUGUAGUGAAAAAUAAGUUAAAAAACACUUCUAGUGCUUGGUUAUGUCAUAAAAAAUAAGUUAAAAAUAACUUAUUAAUGUUUAAUUUAAUUUUAUUAAAAGAAUAUAAACCAAAUCCGACAAAUAAAAAAGUUAAAGGAUAAUGAAAUUAAAAAAUAUAUAAUUUCAUAAACUAUUUCAAAUAAAAAAAUAGCAAUCAAAAGAAUGGAGACCAAAUCUGAAAGAUAAAAACAUUGAAAGAGGAUAAAAUUAAAAAAAUAUAUAAAUUUCAUAAAUUAUUUCAAAUAAAAUAAAUAGCAAUCAAAAGAAUGAUGAUAAAAUUUAAUAGAUAAAAAAAUUUCAAUAAAAAAAAGAUAAGAGAAAAACAAAUAACAAUCACAAGUACGAGAAUCAAAAUUAAUAUAAAAAUUAAAUUGAAUCAAAUUCCGAGGGAUAAAAUUAACAAAAAAUAAUAAAAAAGAAUUAAAAAAAACAUAUAACAAUCAAAAGAUUGAGAACUAAAUUUAACAUAAUCAACAAAUAACAAUAUAUUUUUUAGUUUUUCAUGACUUCUAGAAAAAUAUUUUUUAUCCAAAAUAAAAAGAAAAUACUUUUUUAAAAUCCAAGUUAAAUUUGUCUUUGAUUAAAAAAUAUUUUUUUUAAUUAAUUUUUUUAAUACCAAAUAAUCAAAAAAAAAUUUAAAAAACAUUUUUCAAAAAACUAUAAAACACAAGGACUUAUCUGAAAGUCUAACUCUUAAAAAAAGUUUAAAUUGCUAAGUUGUAUUUGAAUCCUAAAUUUUUGAAUCGACCCGCCAUGCCGCGCUAAGUUUAACAACUACGUUCUUAACAUAUCAAUGGUUUCAACUUAGCCGACAUGUCAUUUAAAGAUUUAAGAUUUAGUACUUGCGAGGCUAUAUAUAGCCUAUUAACUAAUCUUUCUUCAGCAAUGAUGCCCGAAUUGAUUCUCACGUGGAUGUGUUUGUUGUUAUGUUUUAAAAAUAUUUUCAAAAAAUUUAAAUUGUUUUUUAGAAUUAAUAUUUUUUUAGUGUUUUCGUAUCAUUUUAAUAUACUGAUGUCAAAAAUAAUUUUUUUUUAAAAAUAUUAUUUUGAUACAUUUCUGAGUUAAAAACAACUAUAACCACAGUUUCAAACAUGCUAAAAAAAACCUUCGAAGAUAGUAACCUACAAAUUUAUUGUCAACUAUUCGAACUCCUCUUUUAACAUUUUAUUGAAUCAAGUUUUUUGUGAAUAAAUGUUCUAGUUUCCCACCAGUUGGAAGUGGUUGUACUUCCAUGUUCUUGAUUUUGAUUUGUUUCUAUUUCAAAAUCAUUAAACAUAAUAAUAAUAAAAAAAUUUCAACCAAUAGUUUUUUUCUCUCUUUUUUUACUCCCUGGAUCUGUUGUCAAGGUACAGGGGCUUCUUUGAAGUGGAAUAACCCGACCACAAAAAUGCAGUGAUACAAAAUGCAUAUGCUCUACCCAGUAUGGUAGAAAAUGCCUAAGUAUUAAAAUUAAAAUUUUAUAAUUAUGUUAAUAUUUAAAAGUGCAAUAACUUCUGUUUUUAGAUGCAUUUCACUUGAAAAUACAUAAAAUUGAUGUUUUUUAUAAUGUUUUUUUAAUAGUUUUGAUGUGCUGAUAUUAAAUAUAAAAAAAUAUAAAAAAAUUUUUUAUAAAAAAUAUCGUGCAUCGCAUUAUAAAACACGUACUAAUAUCAGCUGAUAUUCUAAAAUUCAAGAUAAUCUUGUAUUGUUCGGUGAAUCUAAGUCAUAAAAAUAAUUGAUCAUAAUUUAUAAUUUAUGGGUGAUUUUUUUGAUUAUUUGAUAUUUUUGAUUCUAUUUAAAAAAAAUACCUAUAAUUAUUAUCUUGUAAAAAUUUCAAGAAAAAAGAAAAAAGUAAGACAAAAUCUGUCAUGGAACCCACAUAAAAUAGCAUUUACUCCGAUAAUCCAAAGCCCUUAAAAAUCAAGAGCCCACGAUCAACUUGAAUGGGUACACUUAUCUCGCUUAGACGACCCCGAUUUUUCUUUAGUUUUAAAUAAUCUUUUCAAUUGUAUCUUGCAUUUUUAUAAGCAAGCCCUACUUCUCAUAAUUUUUAGACCCGGCCCGAUCCAAGAUCUGGAUUUCGAGUUUUGACCGGGUCACCGGAUCAAUUCUUUUUUUAAAGAAAAAAUCAAAACAACGUCAUUUUAGUAAAAAAAAAAAAAAUCAACGGGUUGCAACCUGGUUUUUGACCGAGUCUUGCCGGGUCAACCGGGUUUUUUCUUUCCCUGUUUUUUCUUCAACCCAGCCCGAUUCUAGCCCCGGGUCGACCCACCGCACCGGACCGGGUUUUAAAACUAGGCUACUUCUUGAAUUUUUAAAAAUGUUGUUAUGCAAAUUAAAUAUGAUUUUAGAAUUGAUUUUUUACUUCAAAUCAUAAUUGUUUUUCAUAAGCAAUAAACUGCAUUACAACGUAGAAAUAAUUAAAAUUUAUCUUGAAUCAAGAGAAAGUGUGCAUAACCAGGAUAUCAUACAGUAAUAAUUUCAUGUACAUGCUAUAAAUCUUACUUCAGAUCACAUUUUAUCAUUCAUAUUGAUGUUUAUAAAUUAGAAAUUACAAUCAAGCCCUUGGAGUCAUGGUUAAAAAAUUUGAAUGAUAAGGAUAAUGUUAUACUUUUACUGUUCUAUCAAAUAUGAAAAUACAAAAACCCCUUUAUACAUGUAAUAAUCCAAUUUUGGAUUCUCCAAAUUUUCUUUAAAUGUUAUUUUAUUUUUAUUAUUAUUCAUAAAAAAUCCAAAAAAAAAGAAAAAAAAGUUAAAAUUCAAAAAUAUAUUUUUCUCGGGUCAACUAUCAUCUUCCAUAAAAAACAAGCCCAUCGGAUCAAUACGAGUUAAACCAUGUCGACCGAAAUAAAAAUUGAGUUUCAGGCCGUUUUGGGUCAAACCCGUCAUUUCGGUCAAAACUGAGUCCAUCGGGUCAAUACGAGGCAAACCAUGUCGACCGGGGUAAAAAUUGAGUUUUAGGCCUUUUCGGGUCAAAACUGUCAUUUUUUGGUCAAAACCGAGUCUACCAAGUUUAUACGGGUCAAACCUUGUUGACCAUGAUAAAAAUUGAGUUUUAGGCUAUUUUGGAUCAAAACUGUUAUUUUCUAUCAAAACCCGGUUCACCGGGUUGAUAGUGGUCGAAUUUGUUUUUAAUGGUUUUUGAAAUUGACCUGUUUGUUUCUGCGUUUCAAAAGCACUUUUGAAAAAAUUUGAAUUUUUUUUAUUUUUUUAUUAACUUCAAAUUAAUAUAUUUUUAGUGUUUUCAAAUCAUUUUGAAGUGCUUAUGUUAAAAAUAAUUUUUAAAAAAUAAAAAAAAAUCAUUGACAUGUAUUUUAGCACAAAAAAUUAUUUUAUUUUUCGGUAAUCAAAGUUAAUUUUUAGCGGUUGAACGGGCAUUUUUUAAUACUGAUCGGCGUUUUAGUUUUACCCACAUAUAUAUUUAUUAUUAUACAAAUCAAUAAUGCAGAAAUAUUUACUGUAGUAGUUGGUGCAGUUGAGGCAUGUGAAAUUUUUUCUUCGGACAAAGCCGUGUCUCCUGGUUAUAAAUGCCCUGUUCCCCUAGGCCCUAGUCAUUGGCUAUAAAAGCCAGUAAAAGAGAACAGAAAGGAAGAAGUGAAUCCUAACGCUGAUACUAUUAAUGUUUUUUUAGUUUUUCUUCACGCGAGUAAAGUAUUGAUUUUUUUUAAAAACAAUUUAAAAAAUACUAAAAAAUAUCCUAACCAUUAGAUUAAAUAGUAUUUAGUUCUGGAUCAAUAAUUAGAUCUGAUCAAACAGGGCAAAGUACACUAGAUUAAAACCCAAAUCCAUCUCAGCCCUUUAAACGGUCUGUCCUUUGAUCCUGUCUUGCCACGUCACCUGGUGUACCAAGCCCCAGGUGCAUCCUAUCACACUGAAGCAAAGCAAAGAUCUGACAAUCGGGGCCGUCUAUUAAUUUUUUUAACCGGGUCGCCUGAGUUAAUUUUUUUAUUAAAUCAAAACGAUGUUAUUUUAGUAAAAAAAAAAUCAACAGGUUGCAACUGGAUUUUUGACCAGGUCUUGUCAGGUCAACUGGGUCGCCGGGUCACACCAUGUUUUUUCUUUUCCUGUUUUUUCUUUAACCCGGUCCGGUUCCAGCCCCGGGUCGGUCGGGUCCUGGGUCGACCUGCCGGCCCGGACCGGGUUUUAAAACUAUGCUACUUCUUGAAUUUUUAAAAAUGUUGUUAUGCAAAUUAAAUAUGAUUUUAGAAUUGAUUUUUUACUUCAAAUCAUAUUUUUUUUUUCGUAAGCAAUAAAUUGCAUUACAACGUAAAAAAAAUUAAAAUUUAUCUUGAAUCAAGAGAAAGUGUGCAUAAUUAACCAGGAUAUCAUAUAGUAAUAAUUUCAUGUACAUGCUAUAAAUCUUACUUCAAAUCGCAUUUUAUCAUUCAUAUGGAUGUUUAUAAAUUAGAAAUCAAAUUAAUACACUUCUUUAUAGUAUAAAUUAGAAAUCAAAUUAAUACACUUCUUUAUAGUUAUAGAAUUCUUAAGAACUCUAGAGUUAACCUAACUUACGAAAUAUUGACUAGCAAUAAGAUCAAACUUAACUCUGCACCCAUUCCCAAAAGACGUUUCUUUGACAUAAUUUAUUACAUAGCUAAGAUAUAUCAAGCAUUCCAAUAUUUACUCCCAUAAAUAAUAUCAAAUCUCAAAUAUAUCAUGAUGUACACUAUUAUUUUGUCUUUUUUUAAAAGUUAAUUAUUGAGAAAAUUAUGUUAUUAAACUUUAUAAAGUUUGUGGAUCUAUUCAUAAGUUUGACUAGUUGAUCUAGUUUGUGGGUUUGACAAGUUUAACUCUUUUUUUUCAUCCUUAGAUAUUAGAUUAAUUGAGAAUUCAGUUUUAUAAUUGGUCUCGUUUUACCUUUUCAUUAUGAGAUUAUCACGGUCUAAAAAAAUCUCGGUACUGGGUUGAUAUUUAAUUUCGCAAUUGUCUAUUUUUGUUACCAUAUAGUUAAAUAAAAAAAUAGUUUCGAAAAAAAACAAAUUAUAAUCCUAAUGGAGCCCAUAACCCGGUUCAUAGUGCUAGCUCGGGUUACCCGAUUCACAUAUUUGACAAGUUUGCCCAAUAAUAGAACAUGUUUUUUUUUGUUUGGUCUUUUAAUUGUUUUUUUUUCUCGAUUUUAUCCUUCAAUAUUGAGUUGAUUGAGAAAUAGACUGCAUGGUUGAUUUUUGUUUUGCUUUAUAUAGGGAUAAUUGUCUCAAAUAAAUGUCUAUUUUUUGGUUGGUGUUCAAUUUUAUAAGCAUUUAUUUUUAUCAUAUAAUUAAAUAAAAAUAUUUUACAAAAAAGUUAUUAAACCCAAUAGAGUUCAUGACUAGGGUCGCGGGGAGACCGAGGUAGAUUUAAUUUGUCAUUGUCUCAAUAUUUUUUUUUAAAUCUGUCAUCUUGAAGUUUUUUUAAAAGUUACAUAAUAUUUUUACCGAUUAUCAAUGUUGCAUUUGGACUCAUGAAAUUGAUCGAUUUAAGUCGAGUUAGCUCCCACGUGAUUUAAUUAGAAACUCGAGUUAGACAAAGAACUGAGUCAGGAGGUUUGAAAAUUAAUAUUAUAAAAAAAUCUUGAUACUUUUAAUAUUUUUUAUAUUUUAAAAAAUUUAACCCGGCCCAUGGUGGAGCUCGAACCAAUAAACUAGUGUAAACUAAAAGGAAGAAAAGAAAAUCACAUGAAUCAUGCAUAUAAUAUUUAAGAACAAUCACAUUAUUCUUGCUGAAUUAGUCACAAAUUUUGUAGCAAUUACGUACACAUCAAAUAUAAUUGCACUUGAUCACUUCAUGCCAUAUAUUUUAGUAUCUAGAGUCAUGCUGAUAAGGUUUAUUGCCCAAAUUUAAGUUCAUUGGGGAUAUCAAUCACAAUUAAGUAGCCUUUCUUCGUUGAAACUUCGAAUAUACUACGUACCUAACAUAAAUCUGCCUAACUCCCUGCUAAUCAUGAGCCAAUUAUCAGUAAUUAAAUCCAUCUAGGCCUAGAACUUUAAAAACCAUUUGAUCAAUCAUCAAAGAAUAUAUAAACGAUUGUAGUCAUGUCAAAAGGGAUUCUUCCUCGAAUAAGCACAAUGUUAUAUAGUUAUAAAUGAGAUUAUUGCUGACAGCAAGAUUGCAUUAUCUAUGUAUAUUAAUUUAAUUAAAGAAAAGAUCAUGUCCCCAUAAAAAAAAAAGGAAAUUAAAAAGCAGGUUAUAAAGACAAAAAAAUGAAAAUAAAAAUAAAAUCAGUUCUGCCUUGCAUAGAUUAAUUAAUGGUAUGUUGGGCCAAACCAUGCUGAACUACUAUACACGCAUCACUUAAAAAAAAAGGAAACCGAAAUGAAUCAAACGAAUCAAGAAGGCGGCGGAGCGAUAGACGCGUGCAAAGCAUGCGUUAAAAUCUUUUUUGUUUUUUCCCUUAUUUGUAUAAAAUCAAAAAGGCCCUUAAGACUAAACAAUAAUAAUAUACAAAACCACGAUGAAUUUACAAUCAAGCCCUUGGAGUCAUGGUUAAAAAAUUUGAAUGAUAAGGAUAAUGUGAUACUUUUACUGUUCUAUCAAAUAUGAAAAUACAAAAACACCUUUAUACUUGUAAUAACCCAAUUUUGGAUUCUUCAAAUUUUCUUUAAAUGUUUUAUUUUUAUUUUUAUUAUUAUUCAUAAAAAAUGCAAAAAGAAAGGGAAAAAAAAGCUUAAAAUUCAAAAAUAUAUUUUCUCGGGUCAACCGCCAUUUUCCAUGAAAAACAAGCCCAUCGGAUCAAUACGAGUCAAACCAUGUCGACCGGGAUAAAAAUUGAGUUUCAGGCCGUUUCGGGUUAAACAUGUCAUUUGUGGUCAAAACCGAGUCCAUCGGAUCAAUACGGGUCAAACCAUGUCGACCAAGAUAAAAAUAGAGUUUCAGGUCUUUUCGGGUCAAAACCGUCAUUUUGUGUCAAAACCAAGUCCACCUGGUUUAUGUGGGUCAAACCAUGUUGACCGAGAUAAAAAUUGAGUUUUAAGCUAUUUUGGGUCAAAAUUGUUAUUUUUGAUUAAAACCUGUUUUACGAGGUUGAUACUGGUUAAAAAAGUUUUAAGUGAAGGUAACCUUUUUCUUGAAAGGAUGUUUUAAGGGUGAUGUCUACCUUCCCUUAAUCAUACCUAACCCAGUAGCUGAAUCUUUGGGACCAGUAUCUAAUUUGUGAUUUCUAAUUUCCUUAAAUUACAAGAUAACGACUCCAAUUAAAUCUUAAUUUUCCCCUAUUAAUCUUUUUGUUAAAUAAAAAAAGUGGAGCAAUCGUGCAAUCCUCAAAAGAAGUUUAUAUGAUAACCCCGUGCAAUCCUCAAAAGAAGUUUAGUUUUUUUUUUAUUGUGCAUUAAAAAACAUAACCCCAUGCAAUCCUCAAAAGAAGUUUAUAUCAUCCUGAAAAGACCAACCUAACACCCCUAUGCCAAGUUAAAAGAUCAAAUAACUAAUGAAUAAUAUAGUAAUUAUAUUAUUGUAAUGACUAGUAAAUUGUGUAUAGAGACACAAUCGCUACGGGAAAUAGUUUUUGUAGAUAAUUUUUAUGAAGGUAUUUUUAUUCUUAUUGAUUACAUCAUUUGUUGUCUUGGUACAGUUCUACUUGAGGAUUUGGUCAAGUUUUUUGAAUCCAUUUGGAUUAUUUCAUUCCCACCAGAGGGCUUGUCUUAAUUUAUAAUGCAUCUGUAUGGGGAUUCGGAGGUCAUCGCGAAUCACCCAAAUAUUUACGCGUUCCUUGUCGUGGUUUCGUAGAAGGAAAGUGAAAAUCUACGGAAGAAUCUGUAGAAAUGACUUAUACUUGUGAAAUACUGAAACCAUAAACUCUUUUUGCUUACUUCUUGCAAGGGGGGAAAUAAAAAAGAGACGAAGCUUAUCAUUUCAGAUUUCAUCAUGCAAAGAAUACCCGAAACAUUAAUUGGGAUUUUUUUUUUAAUUUUAUAAUCAUCGUUUGAUUUAUUGAAAAGUAGUUAUUAAUUAGCCAUUUAAUUAAUGACUAAACAACAGAAAAUAAGAGUUAAUACGGAAGGAGCAAUAUAAAGAAAAACGAAAUACAAAAAUCUCUAUUUCCUUAAUUACCUAAAUUAAUUUUGGGAUUUAACUAGACAAAGGAAUCAAUUUACCUCCCUGCAAAGCAUGCACUAAACAGUCAUGCACUACACCAUUAAACAGUUUUACUUAGUCCGUCGGUCACAGGAAUGAAAUCCGUCGGUGAAAUAAUUACAGACGGCCUCACCGACGGAACACGUCCGUCGGUAUAACAGUCGUCGGUAAAAUCCAUUUCCGUCGCUAAUUCUAUCGCAAAUAAAAAAAAAACACACACCGACGGUCUUACAGACGGAUACACGCGCGCAAAAAAAAAAAGUUUCCCGCGGGAACAUUACCGACGGAAUAAAUCCGUCUGCAAUUUCAACGGUAAUCACCGACGGACUUACCGACGUAUAAUCCGUCGGUAAUUAUGGCAUGGCUGGUAAUUGUUUGGCAACUCUCUGUGGAAUACCGACGGAUACUAUCCGUCGGUAAAUCCGUCGGUGAUUAAUACCGACGGAUAUAUAUCCGUCGGUAAUUAUGGCAUGGCUGAUAAUUGUUUGGCAACUCUCUGUGGAAUACCGACGGACAUUAUCCGUCGGUAGGUAUGUAAAAUAUAUAUAAAAAAUAAUUUUGUUUAUAGUAAAAAACCUUAAUAAACAAAUAACAAUGGAUUAAACAUUAAAAAUAUAAAAGUAAUGUUAAAUAAUAUUCAUUACAAAUUUAAUGUGUUUUUUUAAAAAAUUAAACUAGAAUAGCGGCGGAGCUGGAGGAGGAGGAGGAGGAGGAGGAGGAGGCUGGUUGUUCCCGGGACUAUACGGCCAAAAAGAAGCAGCACAAGUAUCGUCACCUAUCUUUGAUCUCAUCUCCAUGACUAUUUGACGGAGCUCAUCAUAAUUCGUCGAGAGUUGUUGAUAUUGUUGUUUCAACGCAAUGAACUCCUCAGACUGGGUGUUCGAUACUGAUGGAGAGCUUCCAACAGUUGAGACACUACGAGCCGAACACAAGUUUUCAGCCGUAGUGUUGGAGAGCCCGUAGACCCGAUUUUUAUCGGUUCCACCAGACGAUCCCGCCUCCAUCCACAAAUCUGGAUCGAAAUCUGGAUGGGUCGACGGAAUGUCCCCAUAUCUCUCCCUCAACCGGCUAUUAUAGGUCUCCUGAAAAUUCUGUCGGUAAAAAAAUCAUUAAAUGCAAUUCAAGAUGCAAUUCAAGAAAAUAAUAACUUACAAAAUAAAAUGAAUGAACGAACAUACCACAAAGUGCUGAGCACGGUUGUCCACGAACUGCUGCACCCCCUUUUGGCGGUCUUGACUCCGCACAUGCGUCUCUACAAACAGCUCCAUUGGACUCGGUUCACGUCCAAGAGAUGCAGCCUGUAAGGAAAAAAUAGGUUGAAAGUUAAAUAUAUUAUAAGAAACGACAAAUUAUUUAACGAUAUAUUUCAUUGAAAUUAAUCUUACCAUCCGCUUUGCAUGUGCGCUGAAUGAGACUGAUCCGCCAGUGUGCGUGGUCACCGAACCAUGAAUUUGCCGGUUCCGGUUGUCGGCGCCGGACUGUGAGCGCCGUGAGAACCGCUCUGAGGUCACGUGCUCAAUAUAUGCCGUCCAUAUUUCCCCCGAGAUGAAUGGCGGUUUGAAUUCCUACCAAACCGCCACCUCAUUCCAUCCUUCAAGACCGUUAUCCCUCGCUUGUCUUUUUGAUUUUUUUUGGGUGUCAUACCAAAAAUCACGCAACCUACUUCCAUAGUAACAAAUUAGAAUUUAAAACAUAAAAUUAUAAAACAAAAAUAAAUAUUAUUUUCGAUGUUACCUAGUUGCCGCGUGAUUCUCCCAUACCCUCCUCACAACAUUGUUGUCCGCCCUAUCCCACUCAAAUUUGUUCUGUGUAUAUAAAUAAUUCAUAUAAAAUAAGAAUAGUACAAGAUAUAAAAUUAUAAAAAUCAUUUAUUAAAAAUAAGCUGGAAAUUAAAAAUUUACACCGACCUGAAAUCGCCUAAACCAUGCAUCGAUAUUAGGUUUCCACUCAGGAUGUCUGGAAACCUGGCUCCAUUGAAACAAUGGAAUCUUCAUCGACGAUUUAAACGCCAAUGUUAUAGUCCUUGCAGCCUCAAUGUUUGUGAACCUGAAAUUAAAUAAAAGUAGUAAUAUUAAUUAGUUGUUCAUAAAUUAUGUUAUAAGUAUAUAAAAAAAAACACUAAAACCUAAACAAACUUACAUUGAGAGGUCAUCCUUCCAUUGUGCCUGGUACUUACGGGUGAAUUGACCCCGCUGUGAAGGCACACCGCUUCUGCGCUGUGAAACCGCGCUAGAAUUAGAGGCAGCAUCACAAGUUGGCGUAGAUUCCUCGCCGUGAUCAGCACCUAAGGAUACGUCCUCCUCGUUGCUAGAAGAACUAGCUGCAACCGUCUGGUGACGACGUAUUGUAGAUUUCAUUCUACGCAUCUACACAAAUUUAUACGAAUAAUUACAUAAUUAACUUCGAUUAUUUUAAAAAAAAUUCGAUAGAGUCUCCCCUAUACUGAGGGGUCACAAGUUAUCGACAAAAUCAUAUUACACUUCCAAUUUUAUUUCACAUCCCGAUCCAAUCAUCCUGGAUCUCAACCCAACUCAUCAUCAUCAACACAACAUUUUAUUCAAUAACAUCAUAUAAUGAUAUUCAAGUAAAAGAAUCAAUUUCAACUAUGAACAUUCAUUGUUAAAUUGGUACUUAGAGUUACAAACAUUAGAUUAAAGUCAUACAUUCAAAUUUACGGAUUAAUAUUACAUUUCAAGUUUGAGGAGACAAGACUCUUAAUUUAUAAAUAAUUACAUGGUCAAAAACAAAAGAUAACUAAAUCAAUAUCAUUCCUAACACGAUCGACCCUAAUGGACCUCAAAAUAAAAAUUAACGUGUACACAUAAAUAUAAAAAUGUAAUAACAAGCAAUAACAAUGACAUGGAAACAAUAAUAUCCUAAAUUAAGAUAAACUAAUUAAAAGUAAUUCUAUAUAUAUAAAUUAACAUUUUUAACAUAAAUUCAACAAUAACAUUUAUAGCAAUACAAACAAUAAUAUCCUAAAUUAAGAUAAACUAAUUAAAAGUAAUUAUAUAUAUAUAAAUUAACAUUUUUAACAUACAUUCAACAAUAACAAUUAUAGCAAUACAAACAAUAAUAUCCUAAAUUAAGAUAAACUAAUUAAAAGUAAUUAUAUAUAUAUAAAUUAACAUUUUUAACAUAAAUUCAACAAUAACAAUUAUAGCAAUACAAACAAUAAUAUCCUAAAUUAAGAUAAACUAAUUAAAAGUAAAUCUAUAUAUAUAAAUUAACAUUUUUAACAUAAAUUCAACAAUAACAAUUAUAGCAAUGCAAACAAUAAUAUCAUAAAAUUAAUAAAUAAAAUUAAAAAACUAAAAAACAUUACACAAAACAACAUAAACACAAAACAAACAAUACACAAAACUAAAAAACACUAUAUCAAUUCAAAAUAAAUUUGGGAAUAAAAAAUGCUUACCUUAAUAGUGUGUUGAAUGUAAGAUUUUAUCUACAAACAACACACAAAACAAAGAACACCAAAAAAAAUAAUCAUAAUUAAAAUAAAAAAAUACAAAGAUAAAGAAAAAGGAAUACAUACCUUGGUAAAAUCACAACCACCAAAACAAAGAAAUCUCUUCAAUUUAACAAAUAGAAACGGAGAGGAGAAGAGAAAUGGAGAAGAAGAGAAACGGAGCUGAGAGAAAAAAAUGAACCAAAUGGGGGGGGGAGUGGGGAUUUAUAUGGCAAUUUUUCCGAUGGAAUUACCGACGGACAUUAAUUGUUGUCGGUGGCAUUAAAUUCCGUCGGUAAUUCCGUCGGAAAUUAAUUGAAUUGCGCACCAAAAAAAGUUCGAAAAUCCCGCCAAACUUUUUGAUCCGUCGGUAUUCGUGCAGACGGACACGUGUCAGACAUGCGUGCGCUUCGGGAAGUGCGUAAAUCCGUCGGUAAUAGACGUCGGUACAGCCGUCGGUAUGUGUGUAGACGGACACGUGUCAGACAUGCGUGCGCUUCGGGAUGUGCGUAAUCCAUCGGUGAUUCCGUCGGUAGUGUACGUCGGUGAAUGUGGCACAAUCCCGUAAUUAUUUUGCAACUCUCUGUGAGAUACCGACGGGUUACAUUCCGUCGGCAAUUCCGUCGGUGAAUGUGGCACAAUCCCGUAAUUUUUUUGCAACUCUCUGUGAGAUACCGACGGGUUAUAUUCCGUCGGUAAACCCGUCGGUGAAACCGUAAAUUUUUCUUAUUUUUUUAUGUAACGCUUUCAAAAAAUCUUGAAUUGCAAUAUUACAGCACACACAACACAAUAACAAGGGCUGACCAUUAAAGAAGAAUAAAUAUUUCAUGUUUCAAAUUAUUGCAUAAUUAUAAAAUAAGGCUUUAUAACAUGUUUAGUUAGUCAGAAUUUUCAAUUAAAAAUGAUCACGAGUUCAAAUUUUUACCACUUUAUUUUUUUUAUACUUAAAAUAAAAUCAACAUAGCUAAUAAUAAAUUUAUGCAAGUUUUAAAUUAAAAGAAUUCACACAAAAAAUUGCAUUAAAAAAUAAUAUAAAAUCAUCAUCAAAAUAUUAGCUUACUACCAUGAGACAUGGAGCAUUCAUUUAUGAUUUUCCAACUACUUCUAUAAGUAUAAGAGUUGACCCUUCCCAUUGUACGUGGUCAUGACGUUUCAAUGAAAUUAAUCUCUAGUCAGUUAAAGUGUGGGAAAAAUAAAAAAGAGACGCAGCUUGUCGUUUCUAACUUGAAAAUGCAAAGAUUACCUCUAAAAUUUGGAAUUUAGUCAAAGGAAUCAAAUUAGCGGCGCCCUGCAAAUUAUGCGUUGAGCAUUUGUGGGCUGGAUUCAACCUAACCUAUAAAACAAAUCAAACUAAAUCGAUGUAUUUGGAUUUCAAAAAAAAAAUAAAAAUGAUGCGUGCAACAUAAGUUAAUAAAUUCACCUAACAUUUUGAAGACAUGCUGAUGGUUUUGGGACGGCAGGAUGGGCCGGUAAGGGACUGAGCCGAUGGAUCUGAAUUAUUAUUAUUAUUAUUAUUAUUUUUUAUUAAUAUGGGUGUCCAGGUCAGCUUGCGCGCAUCUUAACUAAUCUCACGGACCCUGAAGUUAACGACCAUGUAAGCCUCCAGUCAUGGACGAAGCCAAUAAUUUUUCCUCUCCAGAGCUAUUAAAUAAAUAUAUAAUUUUUUUUAAAGAUUAAUUAUUAACUUAUGUACAUGAAUUUUUGAAGUUAACAAUAAAGUUUUAAUUCAAAUACACUACCCAAAAUAUUAAAAAAUAAAUUUGAAAGUAUAUAAAAUUAAAGUGAAAGUAAAAAUAAACCCAUUAUUGAAGUUAUGUCCUUCGAUAUUUUGUGGAAUAUAAUUCAUCUAUAAUCGAAUCUGAAUCGAUAUUGUAACAACCCCUCAACCGGGAUAAAAUAGCAAUCUCAUGUCAACUGAAAAAUAAAGUAAUUAAUUUUUUUUCUCUCUCAAUUCCUCUUUCCUUCACUUGAUUCUUCAUUAGAUUAGUGUUUUAUAAGUUGGAUUUUGUAAGUUUACAAGGUUAUUCUCUCACUUUUUUUAUUUUUUCUUUGGAUUUUUUUUAUGUUUUCUCUUAUUUUCUCUCUUUCUCUCUCGCCUUUUUUUUUCUUUCUUUUCCUAUUCUGCUUCUACCCAGUCGGCAACAUAUAAAAAGAAGGAAGAGCUGAUUUGUUUUAUUUUUUAAUGGCAAAUAACUAUUUUACCCUUAAUGAGUCGUUUUGCUUUUAUUUGACGGUCCUUUUUUUUUGUUAGCACUACAAAGCUCCGUUCAUUCUAAAAUUUUAACCAGAUUUUAUUCAAUAUAUUUGAAGAUCUCUUGUAAAAUUUCAGCUCAAUCUGAUGGUCGGAUUGAAAUUAUGCCCAAUAACGUAAAACUGGUCAAAUUGUGAUUUUUCAUCAAAUUUCUGAAUUUCUCCAAAAAUUAUAAAAUUUUAACCUAAGCUAAAGCAUUAUAUUAAAAGGCUCCAAGAAAAUUUUCAGAAUUUUUUAAUAACUCAAUCGAGAAUUAUAAAUUGUUUUUACAUAAAACUAGUAAAAAAAUAUAUAUUGAUAAAAUCUUGACCUGGGCUAGCCUUUAACAUGCCUUCACUCUUGCUUCCACUGGCCCUGAGAUUUGUGAGAUUCGAACUGGUGAUCUCUAAAAAACAAACUUAAAACGUGAUUAGUUGAGCUACACCUCUCAGAAUUGAUGGAUCUGAAUUGUUAUACACCAAAGAUGAUGCAGUAAGAUUUGGGAAGGUUAAAGUAUCAAUCAAAACCAGAUUCACCACGCGUCUAAUAUGUAAUUGUUAGGUAUCGAAGAUAAUUUUUUUUAUUAUAGUCAAAACUAAUACAAGUUUUGAAUAAUUCUCAAACCCAAUCCUUACCAUAAUAUAAUAUUUUCUUGCUAGGUAUCUUUAUAGCACACAAGAACAUCCAAUAUCAUCUCUAAAUUAAAAAAAAUUAGGUCUAAGUACAGGCAUAUUUAUAAAUAAAGAACAUGUAUAACACUAAAACCUAUAAGAAUUCUUUUUUCUAGACAAAAACAAUCUUACAUUUAUAAAGUCUUCAUUAAUAUUCUUACUCCACCCACCAACUUUCAAAACGAUAUUUUAAAUGGAAGACAAUUCUCUUAAAUAUGAAAAUAGACUCUUGAAUUAUGCCAUUAUCCAUAAAAAAAACUAACUAUUACGUACAAGAAUACAUAUACGUGGAUGGAUAGAUAAUUAUAUCCCAACCUUGACAUGUCCUCAAUAUUUCCAAACUUGUUAAUUAGUUUUGACGUCAUCCUAUCAAAUUAUGAACGUAUUGACAUGUCCCUUGUUAAUUAGUCUAUUUGGGUUGUUACAUAGUAAUAUAAAAUAAGAAAUAUUAUUAGAUUAUUGUCUCACAAUUUAACUCUUGAAUUGAGAUAACUUCUUAGUAUAAUAUUAUCAUUGAAUAAUUUCUACGGACACCACGAUGGUAGAUUGUAGUAGGUGAAACACAUAUAAGAAAGAUCAAGAUAAAAAAAAAAACCAAUUAGGUACUAUUUUGUUAUUAUUUCAAGGUAAAAAAACAGAGAGAUAAUCGAAAUAAAAAUAUGUUUGAUUAAAAAAAUAAAAAUAAAAAAAUAAAAUAAAUAUGUUUUUUAUGAUAAUUAAUUUUUCAGUAAAUUUUUAUAUUUUAAAAAUAAAAAUUACAAAAAUUAUAUCCUUUUAGUCUCUUUUAUUUUGAUACAGUAAUCGAAUUCUACUGCAAUGAUUACAUGCAAUUAUUCAAUAUAUAUAGGUUUAGAUUCCUAUUAAAAGAAGGGGUAUUGAUUAAUAUCUAAAAACCAUCUCAAUCCAAUAACUUAAACUAUUAAGUAAAGUUUUUAUAUUAUUCUCUAACAAUCAAUAUAGUUAACCUGACAUGCAUGGAAUUCUAUAUAAAAUGGAGCCUACCCAGGGUACAAGAAACCAUCACUAGUCAUACACACAAAGAAAGAUAUGGACUAUGAAAUUGCAGGUCUGGUUCUAGCAGUCUUGCUAUGGGUUGCAUGGGCAGUGGUGACUCAACGUCGUUACCGUCGUUUUGAAGAGCAAGGGCAGCUACCACCAGGGCCUAGACCACUGCCAGUGGUUGGCAAUAUCUUCCUGCUGGGUUGGGCACCACACGAGUCUUUUGCUAAUUUGGCUCGUGUUCAUGGUCCAAUCAUGACCAUUUGGCUCGGGUCCAUGUGUAACGUGGUCAUUUCCUCGAGCGAAGUGGCUCGUGAGAUGUUCAAGAAUCAUGAUGCGGUGUUGGCUGGGAGAAAAAUCUACGAGGCUAUUAGAGGUGAUUUUGGCAAUGAAGGGUCUAUAAUCACAGCCCAAUAUGGACCGCAUUGGCGCAUGUUAAGGCGCUUAUGCACCACCGAAUUCUUUGUGAGUAGCCGCCUUGAUGCCAUGCAGGGUGCACGAACUAGGUGCAUCGAUGGCAUGCUGCAAUACAUAGAAGAUGAUAGUGCCAAUGGCACUAGCGCUAUUGACCUUGGGAGAUACUUUUUCUUGAUGGCUUUUAAUCUUAUUGGCAACCUCAUGUUUUCUAAAGAUUUAUUGGACCCAAAAUCGGAGAAGGGAGCUAAGUUUUUUCAGCAUGCAGGUAUAGUCUUGGAGUUGGCAGGUAAGCCUAACAUGGCUGAUUUUUUUCCAAUUUUAAGAUGGCUUGAUCCACAAGGUGUAAGGAGGAAGACACAGUUCCAUGUUGCAAGAGCCUUUGAGAUUGCAGGAGGGUUCAUCAAAGAAAGAACAGAGAGUGUGCAAAAGGAAAAUAGUAGAGAUGACAAGAGGAAAGAUUAUCUAGAUGUCCUUUUGGAGUUUCGUGGUGAUGGCGUGGAGGAGCCCUCUAGAUUUUCUUCAACAACGAUCAAUGCGAUUGUCUUAGUAAGUAGCAUCUCUUUUCCUAUGGUUCUCUUUUCUGUCCUAUCUUUGCAUACAAUUUUGUGUUUUUGUUCGGAGGCGGCGAAGCCUGUGUUAAUAUAAUUGUCUACCUAGUAAGUAACAUCUCGUUUGACAGCUUUGUUAAGCUCAGACCUCUGUUAGUAAAGUACUCCGCCCCGCUGAUAGGUUUACCUUCAGCUCUAGCUUGUGUUGGCCUUUUUUUUUAAAAAAAAAAAUCAAUCCAGAUUGAAUUAGUUGAUUGGACAUAUUAAUCUGUUACUCGGUUAGAAUUUCAUUGAUUUUUUUUCAAAAUUAUUGUUUUGAUCUUUAAAAAGAAUUUUAUUAGACUUACUUAAAAAUCAAUCUCAUGAUCCGAGACUUACACUGAAUGCAACUCCGAGUUAGGUCUAAUUAUAACUAUGGCUUGGACUAUGGAAACUAUAGUUCUACAUAAACGGUGGAACCAAAAAUUUAUCAAACCCGGCCUGAAUCAGUAGAUUAACCUAGAACCCAAUUGAUUUGACCUGUUGUUUAAGUUGAAUUUUAAAAUAAAAUUAACUUUGAGAUGAUACUGUUUGGCUUGAUCGACACUACUAGUUAAUUUGAUCAAAAUUUUAUUUGAUUUUUUUAAUUUUUUUUUAAAAUAAUAUUGUUUUGAUUAAUUUUAUUUAAUUCACCCAACUCAUGACUCAAAGUUUAAACUAGGUAUAAUAUCUUUGUUUUUAAGUAAUGUUCAAAAACAUAAAUUAAUUAUCAUAUUUAUCUCGGGCCUGGGUUUUUUCCAAACCAUAGUAAAGAAAUUAUUAGGAGAUAAUAUACAAAAUUAAAUCACUAACAAUCUUAAUUAUUGUCAUGAUUUUUUCUUAUAGGAAAUGUUUACGGCAGGGACUGAUACAACAACAAGCACUUUGGAAUGGGCCAUGGCUGAACUUCUACGUAACCCUAACGUAAUGAAGACAGUCCAAUCCGAGUUGAGAAGCACCAUUGGCCCCAACAAGAAGCUCGAAGAUAAAGACAUUGAGAAUCUCCCAUACCUAAAGGCAGUCAUCAGGGAAACACUGAGACUUCACCCUCCUCUCCCUUUUUUAGUCCCGCACAUGGCCAUGAACCCUUGCAAGAUGCUAGGCUAUUACAUCCCUAAAGAGACAACAAUUCUAGUUAAUGUGUGGGCCAUUGGAAGGGAUUCAAAGACUUGGGAUGACCCUUUGGUUUUCAAGCCAGAAAGGUUCUUGGAACCAAACAUGGUGGAUUACAAAGGUCGUCAUUUUGAGUUCAUACCAUUUGGUUCUGGCCGUAGAAUGUGCCCUGCCAUGCCGCUCGCUUCUCGUGUACUUCAUUUGGCUCUUGGAUCGCUCUUGCUUUCAUUUGAUUGGAUUUUGCCAGAUGGCCUCAAGCCAGAGGACAUGGACAUGACUGAAAAAAUAGGGAUAACACUUCGAAAAAAUGUUCCUUUAAAGGUCAUACCAACACCUUACAAGGGGUCAUCACAUCAUUAUGGGUUUUGAGUUGAAAUGAGAUCUUCUAAAAAAAUAGACUCGUAACCUAAAUUUUAGGCAAGCCAGACACAGGCUGUGUCUUAUAUCUAAGUUACAAAAUGUUAUAUUAGUAUUGUAUUCAAUUUAGUUGUUUGAGUCAUAUAUUUUGUUGUUAUCCAUUUUUGGAUUCCCCACAAAAAAUAAAAAAAAUACAAAAAAAUACACAUCAAAAAAAUAUAUUCGGAAGGAAUAAAAAAAAAAUAGGAGUGAGAAAAAGUUGCUGGAACUACCAUAAAAUGGCUAGGAAUUGGUUGAGGAGGUUCAGAAAUACAAGAAUUGAAAUUUGACAGUAAGAACCCUGUUGAUAAGGAAAAUUCAAUUUGAGGAAGAAAAGUCCAAAAUUAGAUGUUUAUGAACUCAAUUAAAUUUUAUCCAAGGUUUAAUUGAAUUUAUAGAGGGUUUGAUUGCAAGAAAAUUGAUUUCUUAAGUCAAUUUCGGCUUUUAUUGGAAGAAAUUAAAAUUCUGGGGUCCAAUUAUAAUUUUAAAGAGUUGAUUUGGUCAAAUCAGAGGCUUAAUUGCAUAAUUAUUCAAGUUUGAUGGUCAAUUAAGGACUUAAUUGAAACAAUCCAAAACCAAGGACUAAAUCGGAAAAAGCGCUAACAUCAAGGGGUCUAAUUAUAAUUUUUCUAGGGGGCUUGAUUACAAAAUUGUUAAAACAUCCAAGGACCAAAUCAGAAAUAUUCUUUUUGAAUUAGAAAACGACGCCGUUUCAUUUGUUCAUCACCUUCUUCAUCUGCAACGGUUUCUACAGUAAAGGCAAUGCAGGCGUUACCAGCUUCAAUCAAGGAGCACGUUUAGCGGCUGACAUCCCUCGCCACCGUGAUGCACGCCGGCCGUUACCACGAAACGCCUGCGUCCUCUGGCUAUAAAAGCCAGAGGAGGAACCGAACCGGGGAGGAGGAGGGUGAAGACGCGACAGGAAAAAAAGAGAGAAAGAAAGACAGAAGAGGCAUAGUGAGCAGUACGUGAGGAGAAACAGAAGCAGGCAAAAGGCAGGAGGAAGAAGAAGAAAAUACAGAAAAAACCAAAACAGCGUCCCCCGCUUACCACCACCCGUCUUCCUCUUCGCCGCAACCAACAGCACCGCUAGCACCAGCAACACCUCCACGGAGCCACUGCAGAGAGGCAAGAACACUGUUGACGGGAGAAACGAAAUACAGAGGAAACAAGCAGUACGGCGAAGCAGAGGUGAGAAGAAAGAGAAGCAACGUCUGCCACCACAGCCGGGUGCCGCGACGUCAGCUUCUCACCAUCGUCCUCCCCCUGCUGCAACACCCGUGAAGAAGAAGAAGAAGCCUGCGCCUCUGCACAGACGGGAAGAAUAGCAGCAAACACUGCCCGCCACCGCAGAGAAGAGCCAUCGUCUGCAGCCACCAGUGCCACCUUAAGCCACCAUCAACAACGACAUCACCACCAUUAGAAGUAGAAGAAGAAAAAGAGAAACAGGAGACAGAAGCGGGGAGAAGAAGGAACACAGAAAAAACAAAGAGAAGGAAUAGAACCACCGCCCAACAGCAUAUAACCGGCAGCUUCAGCUCCCGCAAGAACGGACAACCGCCAGGUAAGCCUCCACUUCUCUUCUUCUUCUUCUUCCUCGCCCGGGCUGCUCCACUGUUCACGUUGCAUGUGAACAGUGGAGAGUUCUCCACUGUUUGUUUUUGUUUACUGGGCUGGGCAGUGCCGGCCCAGCCCAAAAUGAGUGGGCCGGGUCCGGCCCAGCCCAAAAAUAAAAAAACUGUUUUCAGAAAAUUUGUGAUUUCCCCGCGUAUUUUUUAUUGUAUUUUGAUCAAUAUUGGUUUGUAUUUUUAUACUGUAAAGAUAUAAAUCCGGUAUUAAAAUACCUAGUUUUCGUCAAAACAUAAAAAAAAUAUUUUGUCUUCAUGCAUACGGCCAAGUCUCUAAAAAAAAUCAUAUCAUAUUUUCAUACAACAAAAAUUCAAAAAAAAUAGGUAUUAGCAUGCAUUUUGACUUUAAUAACCAGUUUAUUAAAGUCACGAGAACUAAGCCAAUAUUUCAAAAAUUUUUAAAAAAAUUAUUUUGUUUUCUUUUAAUAUCUAGGGUUAUGAUCUUAUAUGUAAGACAUAUUCCGGAUAUUAAAUUCUUUUGUUGAGGUUAGAACGAUUAGGUUUUACCCGAUAAGAUAAGGACCUCUUUACUUUGGAGAACUUUUUUUAAAUCAGAGACGGACCAACAACUAGAAAACACGAUAAGACUUUAGAUUUUAUCAGACAAUAAAACAAUGCAGCUUACCUUAGGUAGGGCGUAUUUAGAGUGCUAAUACAUUCCCUUUACGCAACCAGUCCCCGUACCCAAUCUCUGAGACCAGUUAGGGUUCCUAAUGAUCAAAAUACUAGGUGGCGACUCUCAUUCCAUUUUUCCACUAAUAAAAGACAAGAAUUCCUUGUCUCCCCACAUUUGCCACAUUUUUAGAUAAUACAGAAUUUGAGGGUGGAUGUUUUCGUCGCGACGCAGCACACGUGCGACAUAUUUGAUUCUUAAUUUGUAUGUGCAUGUAUAUUAAUGUCUAUCUAUAUAUAAUCUAGUUGUGGAGAAGUUUUUUUAAUUAAUUAGCGUGUUUGGUAAUGCGGUUUAACCUAUUUUUCAAACUAAUUUUUAUUUUUAAAAAAUAUUAAAUUAAUGUUUUAAGGUGUCUGUCGAUGAUUUUGAUGUAUUGAUGUUAAAAAUAAAAUAAAAUCUAAAAACAAUAUUAUUUUGAUACAUUUUUAAUUGAAAAACACUUUAAAAAACACUGUGCACUUCAUUAACAAACACACACUAAAAAUUUCACAACCCAUUUCUAGGUUAUUCCCUUAAAUUUACCCUUUAUUUCCUUUUUAAAGUAAAAAUAAAUAAUAAUACAAAGGAAAUUGGCGAUGAGGAAAAAACUGGCUAAGGAAGGAUUUCAAAUAUGCAUAAAAUCAAGCUACAAUUUUGGACAAAGUCGAAAGCCUGAUCGUGCCCUGUUGUGCUCAAAACUAAAGAAACAAUGCAGAUCUAAGGUCAAAUUAAAUGAUAUUGGAUGAAUCUGCAUAAUAAUUAAGUUCAAGGACAUAAUUAGAUUUUUAAUAGUCUAAUUUGAUUUAAUCAUGGGUCAAAUUAAAAGUUUAAUUAUGUUCAAGAAUUAAUUUGGGUGCAAUUAAAGGAUUUAAUUAUGUGCAAGGACUUAAUUAUACUUUAAAUGGGUCAAAUUAAUUUUAUUAGGGGCUUAAUUGGAGAAAAAUUAAGUUUGAGAGCCUAAUUUUAGCUUAAUUGAGAAUGUUAAAAUUUUAGAUGAUCAAAUUUAAUUUUUACCAAGUCAAUUGAUUCAAAUCAGGGGUGAAAGUGCGAGAAAAUAAAAAGUUUGGUGUCAAUUAAAGGCUAAAUUGAAGAAAUUCAUAGCCAAUGAGGAUUAUUUUGCAUAAAUCCAAGACCAAGAACCAAAAUGAAAAAGGCGUUGAAAUUUGGGGUUGGCAUUGAAUUUUGGCAAGGGCAAAAUUGCAUAAAAUUAGAAGUUUAAGGUCAAUUAGGUGUCCAAUUAAAAGAAAUUAAAAGUCGGAGGAUCUAAAUGAAUUUUAGCUAAACCGCUAAAUUAAAACCCUAAAAAUUCCAAAACAACACCAUUUUGAACAGUAAAAAAAAGGAUCAUACAACGUGUUGUCUAAUUUUAUUUGUCUUUUUUUUUCUUCAGGUCAAAAUGACUGCCAAGGGGGCUACUUUUAAGGGGCAUUUAAUGUUUCUUCUCUCCUUCAAAUUUGACAAAACAUAUAUGAAAAUGAUGGCCUAACAUUCUACCAUACCCCGAUAUGGUUUUUUCCGGCUAAUUGACACCAUAGCGGCUCCUUAAAAUGGCCAACCGGACUAACAUUUUAGUAGCUAUAUUGACAGUUCAUUAUGACCACUUUGAGUUAACGAUUAAGAUCUUUCUGCGUCAAAUCAAGGGCCAAGAUUUAACAUCAGUAAAGACAAAAUGCUCAUCUUCCACCCCCAAAGUUUGGACCAUACUGAUAUUUCACAAUGGUGGCUUUCUAUCCAUUUACAUUAAUAAACAAAGACAGGAGGUGGAAAUUGCCUCUCCACCUUAUUAUCUUACCAAACCACUUAGAUGUCAUUAGCAUAACCCCAUAAAAGGUUACAGUUCAUGCAGUAAAAAGUAUAAACGAAUACGGGUAAAAGAGUGAUUAGAUUAAAUUCAUUGAAAGUUUUUAGAAAAUAAAAUAGUGAAGGACAAGGAAUGUUUGGACAACAAAAAUAUAGACACUGACAGCGACAGCUGGAAUGCAUGAGCCAUCUAAUGCAUGCAAGUUGGAGACCUAAUUAAGGAAAACAAGUACGAGUACUCCUCAAAUCAUAACAGGGUGGAGAAAGGAAAAACUGGAAACAAACCAGAGUUGUGUUUUCCAUAAGCAAAGUAUAUUACCACAUCCUCUUUUUAAUAAUGAUAAGCAUCCAUCAGUUGAUCCAACCAUGCGAAAAUGUUGGGGAUCUUCUUUUGAUGCACUAAGCAGCACUUUUGGCCGCUUGUGUUUCUGAAGCUUCCUGAGUACUCCAGGCAUCUCAUUGCUUUCUCGUUCACUAUCUGAACACAAGGUACCCGAUUCAUAUUGUAAAGGGCCUCCACCAUUUCCACAGAUCUGUUGCGCACUUCAGCAGCUACCUGAUCAUCAACAACAAUAAAAAAUUAAGAUGAUACUUAAAGUGUACGAUGAACUUAAUUGCACAAAUUAAAGUUCAUGGAAAAUUAUCAUGCUGAAUAGAACCAAGAAAGUAUAAUGAUGGAAUGGAGUCACGAUAACACAUAAGGCAUACUUUCUUCCAGUUCUUUCCAUUUUCCCGAUAUGCUUUGUAAAAUCGUUCAAGUUCUGCCUUCUUCCAUUGAGGUCCUAACGUAUCAAAUUUCAAAUUUUCAGAAUUUUUUUUUUAAAAUGAAUUUCAGAAACAACUAAAAUAAUUCAAAAAUAAACCCCCCAAAAUUGAAAAAAGAAAUUCAAAUUCAAAACAUCACCAAAACCCAAAAUUUCAAUUCGACUAAAAUAUAUAAAUUUCAUAAAUUAUUUAAAAUAAAAUAAAUAACAAUCAAAAGAAUAAGGAUAAAAUUUGAUAGAUAAAAAAUUUUUAAUAAGAAAAAAUAAUAAGAGAAAAACAUAUAACAAUCAAAAGCACGAGAAUCAACAUUGAUAUAACAAUCAAAUUAAAUCAAAUUCUAAGGGAAAAAAUUAAAAAAAAUAAUAAAAAAUUAUUUAAAAAAAUAUAGCAGUCAAAAGAUUAAGGAUCAAAUUUGAUAUAAUCACCAGAUAACAAGAUAUUUUUAAUUUUUCACAACUUCUAGAAAAUAUUUUUUUGUCCAAAAUAACAGAAAAAAGUUUAAAUUGCCAAGUUGUAAUUUUAACUUGCUCGUCAAAUGUGGCCUGUUUGGGAUCGUGGUUGCUGUUACUUUUUAAAGUGUUUUUCAUGCUGAAAUAUAUCAAAAUGAUGUUAUUUUAUUUUUUAAAAAUUAUUUUUGAGAUUAACGCAUCAGAAACAUCCAAAACAUACAAAGAAAUUAAUUUUUAACAAAAAAAAACAAUUUGAAUUUUUUGAAAACCCAUCCCCAUUUAGGUUUUGGAUCAUAAAUUUUUGAAUCGACUUGUCAUGCCGCGCUAAGUUUAACAACCAUGUUAUUAACAUAUCAAUGGCUGUGAAUCAGAGAUGACGAUCAAAUUAUAUUAUGGUCUCCAGUGUUUAAAAAUGUUACUAUCCACUUCAAAUAGAGUUUGAGUCAUGUGAUGCACAAAUUAUAUUAGUACACUUUCAAAUACGCUCUCUAGAAUACUAAUAAAACACGUGACUAAUAUAUUUUAAAUUAAAAAACACAUUUAAAAAAUACUUUACAAUACAUUAUCAAACGCACAAGUCUAGCUCUCGAAAAGAUAUUUAAAUUACUAAUUAAGUUGUCAUUUUAAUUUACGGGUUAAUUAUUUAUAUUUGAAAACUCAACUCCAAUAAAGUUUUGGAUUGUAAAUUUUUUAAUCAACCUGUAGUGUUAAGUCAAGUUUAACAACCAUGUUAUUAACAUAUCAAUGGUUUCAACUUAGCCGACAUGUCAUUUAAAGAUUCAAGAUUGAGUACUUGCGAGGCUAUAUAUAGGCUAUUAACUAAUGUUUCUUGAAUCAAGGUUUCUGUGAAUAAAUGUUCUAGUUUCCCACCAGGUGGAAGUGGUUGCAAUUCCAUGUUCUUGAUUUGUUCCUAUUUCAAAAUCAUUAAACAUAAUAAUAAUAAAAAAUAUACAACCAAUAGUUUUUUUUUCUCUUUUUUUACUCCCUGGAUCUGUUGUCAAGGUACAGGGGCUUCUUUGAAGUGGAAUAACCCGACCACAAAAAUGCAGUGAUACAAAAUGCAUAUGCUCUACCCAGGAUAGAAAAUGCCUAAGUAUUAAAAUUCAAGUUUUAUAAUUACAUUAAUAUUUGGGAGUGCAAUAACUUCUGCUUUUAAAUAUAUUUUACUUGAAAAGAUAUAAAAUUGAUGUUUUUUAUAAUGUUUUAUUUAUAAUUGUAAUGUACCGAUAUCAAACCUCAAAAAAUAUAAAAAAAUAAAUUAUAAAAAACAUCACGCAUUGCAUUACAAAACACACAUUAAUAUCAGCUGAUAUUCUAAAAUUUGAGAUAAUCCUGUAUUUUUGGUGAAUCUAAGAGUUUCAAAAAUGAUUGAUCAUAAUUUAUAAUUUAUGGGUGAUUUUUUUAUUAUUUAUUUUUUUUAUUCUAUUUAAAAAAUAAUACCUAUAAUUAUUAUCUCGUAAAACUUUCAAGAAAAAAGAAAAAAAGUAAGACAAAAUCUGUGAUGGUACCCACAUGAAAUAGCAUUUACUCCGAUAAUCCAAAGCCCUUAAAAAUCAAGAGCCCACGAUCAACUUGAAUGGGUACACUUAUCUCGCUUAGACGACCCCGAUUCUUCUUUAGUUUUAAAUAAUCUUUUCAAUUCAGUUGUUGUAUCUUGCAUUUUUACAUUUUUAUAAGCAAGCCCUAUUUCUCAUAAUUUUUAGACCCGGUCCGAUCCAAGAUCUGGAUUUCGAGUUUUGACCGGGUCACCGGAUCAAUUCUUUUUUUAAAGAAAAAAUCAAAACAACGUCAUUUUAGUAAAAAAAAAAAAAUCAACGGGUUGCAACCUGGUUUUUGACCGAGUCUUGCCGGGUCAACCGGGUUUUUUCUUCCCCUGUUUUUUCUUCAACCCAGCCCGGUUCUAGCCCCGGGUCGACCCACCGCACCGGACCGGGUUUUAAAACUAGGCUACUUCUUGAAUUUUUAAAAAUGUUGUUAUGCAAAUUAAAUAUGAUUUUAGAAUUGAUUUUUUACUUCAAAUCAUAAUUGUUUUUCAUAAGCAAUAAACUGCAUUACAACGUAGAAAUAAUUAAAAUUUAUCUUGAAUCAAGAGAAAGUGUGCAUAACCAGGAUAUCAUACAGUAAUAAUUUCAUGUACAUGCUAUAAAUCUUACUUCAGAUCACAUUUUAUCAUUCAUAUUGAUGUUUAUAAAUUAGAAAUUACAAUCAAGCCCUUGGAGUCAUGGUUAAAAAAUUUGAAUGAUAAGGAUAAUGUUAUACUUUUACUGUUCUAUCAAAUAUGAAAAUACAAAAACCCCUUUAUACAUGUAAUAAUCCAAUUUUGGAUUCUUCAAAUUUUCUUUAAAUGUUAUUUUAUUUUUAUUAUUAUUCAUAAAAAAUCCAAAAAAAAAGAAAAAAAGUUAAAAUUCAAAAAUAUAUUUUUCUCGGGUCAACUGUCAUCUUCCAUAAAAAACGAGCCCAUCGGAUCAAUACGAGUUAAACCAUGUCGACCGAAAUAAAAAUUGAGUUUCAGGCCGUUUUGGGUCAAACCCGUCAUUUCGGUCAAAACUGAGUCCAUCGGGUCAAUACGAGGCAAACCAUGUCGACCGGGGUAAAAAUUGAGUUUUAGGCCUUUUCGGGUCAAAACUGUCAUUUUUUGGUCAAAACCGAGUCUACCAAGUUUAUACGGGUCAAACCUUGUUGACCAUGAUAAAAAUUGAGUUUUAGGCUAUUUUGGAUCAAAACUGUUAUUUUCUAUCAAAACCCGGUUCACCGGGUUGAUAGUGGUCGAAUUUGUUUUUAAUGGUUUUUGAAAUUGACCUGUUUGUUUCUGCGUUUCAAAAGCACUUUUGAAAAAAUUUGAAAUUUUUUUAUUUUUUUAUUAACUUCAAAUUAAUAUAUUUUUAGUGUUUUCAAAUCAUUUUGAAGUGCUUAUGUUAAAAAUAAUUUUUAAAAAAUAAAAAAAAAUCAUUGACAUGUAUUUUAGCACAAAAAAUUAUUUUAUUUUUCGGUAAUCAAAGUUAAUUUUUAGCGGUUGAACGGGCAUUUUUUAAUACUGAUCGGCGUUUUAGUUUUACCCACAUAUAUAUUUAUUAUUAUACAAAUCAAUAAUGCAGAAAUAUUUACUGUAGUAGUUGGUGCAGUUGAGGCAUGUGAAGUUUUUUCUUCGGACAAAGCCGUGUCUCCUGGUUAUAAAUGCCCUGUUCCCCUAGGCCCUAGUCAUUGGCUAUAAAAGCCAGUAAAAGAGAACAGAAAGGAAGAAGUGAAUCCUAAUGCUGAUACUAUUAAUGUUUUUUUAGUUUUUCUUCACGCGAGUAAAGUAUUGAUUUUUUUAAAAAACAAUUUAAAAAAUACUAAAAAAUAUCAUAACCAUUAGAUUAAAUAGUAUUUAGUUCUGGAUCAUUAAUUAGAUCUGAUCAAACAGGGCAAAGUACACUAGAUUAAAACCCAAAUCCAUCUCAGCCCUUUAAACGGUCUGUCCUUUGAUCCUGUCUUGCCACGUCACCUGGUGUACCAAGCCCCAGGUGCAUCCUAUCACACUGAAGCAAAGCAAAGAUCUGACAAUCGGGGCCGUCUAUUAAUUUUUAGUUCAAGCAAACCGUAGCCGUAUGAUCAAUUCAUAACUGAUCCAACGGUCCAUGAGAUCCGAUGCACCAGGUUACCAUGCUAACUUCGCACUAUAGCAGAUCUAAGAGAUUCUCCCUCCUCUCGCCGGCGAUCCUCUCUCCACACGGAUCUCCCAACUCCGGCCACUUAAAGAGUCUGGACCACCACAGAAAGGUUCCUUACCUAAUCGCUAGAAAACCCCAGGCGUUUUUCAUCGCUUUCUCUGCCGUAUCUUUCCGGAAAAAGGCCGCGACAUCUUCGGCCACCCGAAGCUUCAAACCGUCGAUUCUCUCUCAUAAGAUUAAAUGAUAUUAUUGUAAUGAAUAGUAAAUAGUGCUACGAGAAAUUGAACAACCGCGUACAAUCCUUAAAAGACAUUUAUAUUAUUGUAAUCGCCUAAUUUCACGGGCCCUGAAGUUAACGAUUAUGUAAGUCUCUAGUGGCCCUGAGAUUUGUGAGACUGGAACAAGUGACCUCUAGGAUGAAGUGCCCGUUUGGCACUGCGGCUACGGCUAGAAUAAACGCAGGAUUGGUUAAGUUGAAUCGCAUUUUUUAUUUCACGUGAGUCCCACUCAGAAACUGAUGUCGAAUCUCAGUUUUUGAAAAGCAAUUGCUUUUAUGUCCGUGUUCUCCUCUCUCUUAUAUUUUUUACAAUAGCCUUAAUCUUAAUCUUAAUCUUAAUCUUCCAUUUGGAUUAUUUUAUUUCCACUAGACGGCUUGUCUUAAUAAUGCAUGUGAAUGGGGAUUCGGAGGUCAUCGCGAAUCACCCAAAUCCACGGAAGAAUCUUAGAAAUGAAUGACUUGUCAAAUAUUGAAACCAUACUCUUUUUGGUAACGUCUUACUUGUCAACUACAAGGGGGGAAAUAAAAAAAGAGACGAAGCUUAUCAUUUCGGAUUUCAUCAUGCAAAGGAAUAUACCCGAAACAUUGGGAUUGGUUUUUAUUUUAUUUUAUAAUCAUCGUUUGAUUUAUUGAAAAGUAGUUAUUAGCCAUUUAAUUAAUGACUAAACAACCGAAAAUAAGAGUUAAUACGGAAGGAGCAAUAUAUAGAAAAACGAAAUACAAAAAUCUCUAUUAAUUUCCUUAAUUACCUAAAUUAAUUCUGGGAUUUAAUUAGACAAAGGAAUCAAUUUAGCUCCCCGCAAAUUAUGCAUUAAAAGUCAACUUAAUUGGUGUAUUUAGAAUCAAAUUAGAGGAGACUAAGUUAAUCAAUUCAUGCAACAUAAGCUCACCAAUUCACGUAACAUAUUAGAUAAUAUUGAUGGAUUGGGACCGCAAGAGGGAUAGGGGACCAAGCCGAUGUAGAGACGGAAUCAAGGGGAAGUAAGCAGGGGCUAAAUAAUAAAUAAAUAUAAUGAUGGAUUUUGUAGGUUAGUUUUUUAUUGCUUAGUAACUAAGAUGUACUAUUUAAAUAGGUGGGCCCAACUAAUGUAAAUAUAUUUGUUAUCUUUGACUUAAAAACUAUCUACGUGGAAAGAAAAAAUAUGAAGUUAUAUGGAUUUUGCCGUUUACUCUCAGCUGCAGCUCUAAUAUAAAGGGUAAAAUAUAGAAAUAAUUAGAAUAUAAAUUGCAAACAGAAAUAUUGAAGCAGAGCGCCACCGAUUAAUUCCUCUUUCAUCAAACAAAUCAAGGUAAUUGAGCAUUGCUAACCUCAAAUUUAAAAUUUAUUUUUAUUUUGUUUUGAGAUAUUUGUUAAGAAUUUGAUGAGGUUUUUUCAUAAUUCUAUUAUUUUUGCUUCUUUUUGUUUUUUUGCUCAGAUCUGCUAGUUUUACCAAAUUUGUUUUUGAAUUCUUGUUAUAGUGAUUUUUUUUCUAAUUAAUUAGAUAUAUUUUAUUGCUUUGUCUUGAUUAUAAUUGGAUUUUUUUAUGUUUUGCUUUUAGCAGAGCCAUCAAAAUUACCAAUUUUUUUCUCAUGAUAUAUGUUUUGAUUUUAGGUUGAACCAUGAACAAAAUAAGAAGAAUUGAUUCUUUUGUUGAGAAAAAGAGAACAAAUAUUGAUAACUCACAGCCUAGUGAACCAACUCCAAUGUGUAAUGUUGAAGUUAUGGUUGAGCAACCUCAAUGUGCUUCAGUUUACGAAGAACCUACACUGAUUAGUGAGCAGUCUCUUACUAGAAUCGACAUUGCUCAUUUACUUAGAGAUCCAAGCAAUUGUCCUCAAAUUUGGGAAUACUUGGUUAAUCAACAAGAUGAAAUUCCAAGGGCAUACAUUAAUUUGGGACCAUAUCAACCUUUGAUGUCUAAAUACCCACUGACUGGUGAAAAACAUCCUCGUCGAUUUCAAUCUCAUUGGUUCAAAAGUUAUCCAUGGCUUGAAUAUUCAGAGAAAAAUACUGCAUUUUGUUUCCCUUGCUAUUUAUUUCCAAGUAAACCAUUAUUAUCGGGUUGAUAUAUUUACAUCUAUCAUUAAUCAACAAUUGCAAGAGAGCUAAAUAAUAUAUUCGAUGAACAGGCAAUCGAGCUUCUUAAGUUGAGCACAACUUUAGAUCCUAGAAAUAACUAUAAAUUAUUCAAUAUUGAAGAUAUAUGCUUACUUGUUGACAAGUUUUAUCCUGAAGAUUUUUCUGACCAAGAAAAAAUUCAUUUGAGACUUCAGUUGCAGCAUUAUGAGCUUGAUAUCCCCAAUCAUCCAAAAUUAAAGAAUAUGUCAUCGAUUACUGAUUUAUGUCAAGGAUUGGUUGAAACAUAAAAAUCAACAAUUUAUUCACUCAUUGACAGGUUGAUUCGGCUUAUUUUAACUCUUCCUGUUUCGACAGCAACUACUGAAUGAGCUUUUUCAGCAAUGAAGAUUGUUAAAACAAGACUUCGCAAUCGGAUGGAAGAAGAUUUUCUUGCAAAUUAUUUGAUUGUCUAUAUAGAAAAAGAAAUUGCUGAAAGAUUCACAAUUGAUAUGAUAAUCGAUGAUUUCUAUUGUAUGAAAGAACGACGAGCACAAUUAAAAUAAAUAUGUAAGAAUCAUUUUUUAUUAUUUUUUACUUUAUUUUAAAGUUUAUCAAACAUAAAUAAUGUUUCGCUUUAUCUAAUGUUUCUUAUAUACUUUCUAUGUUUAUAUUUGAUAGGUAUAAAGACAAACAAAAUUAAAGUGAUAGAUACAUUAUGAAGAUAAAAUUAACUUCAUCGCUUUGACUCAAUUUGAUAUUGCUUAAAAUCUUUUACCUUGUGCAAAGGUCAUUAUAUGUUUGUAUUUUUUUUUAUAACUCAUGUACAAUAAAGUGAUAGUACGAAUGUGCCUGUAUCCACAAGCAAAGAGAGAUUUCUUAUUAUAAUCAAAACCAAUAAAAGUUUUGAAAAAAAUCUCAAACCCUAAUUCAAAAUAUAUUUAGGCCAAUCCGAUCCUCACAGCACACUAUGAAUUUCUCAUGCUUGCUAUCUUUUUCGCACACAAGAAUGUGCAUGGUUAUGCUUAGAAAAAAAACCUAGGCCUAAAUACGUAAUUGUAGAUAAUAUGUUUUAGUUAUUCUGAUGGCUUGAGGAUUAGUAAAAUACUAGUUUUAUUAAAUUUUUUUUUUCUAGAUUUAUAAAGUUUUCAUUGUUUAAUUUGUGACAUCUUCAUAUAAUAAAAAUAUGAACUCGUACACAUUUCAAUAGAAAUCCAUAAGAAAUUUAAUUAUUAGAAGAAGACAUAAGUACUUAACUAAUUAAAUCCCGACCACCUCAAAUACACACACACACAUUUGUUCCCUUUUAACCACCUUAGGAUUUACGAACUUCUUAAUUACUUUUGUCAUCCUUUAAGAACAUAUUUACAUGUACCUUUUUAACUAGUCUGAUUUUGAUUUGGAGAACAUAUUUACAUGUAACUUUUUAAUUAGUCUGAUUUUGAUUUGGAUGUAUUACAAGGCACGCAAUAUAAUAAGAAAUAUUAUGCUUUUUCAUCCCAAAAAUUUAAAAUUUAAGAUUAAAAUAUCUAUACAACAUAAUAUUAUAAUUUUAAUAAUUAAAUGAUCACGAGUUUAAUUUUUACCGCUCUAUUUUUUUUAAACUUUAAAUCAAAUCAACAUAACUAAUAAUAAAUUUAUGCAAGUUUUAAAUUAAAAUAUUUCACAUAAAAAAUUGCAUUAAAAAAUAAUAUAAAAUCAUCAUCAAAAUAUGAGCUUACUAGCUACCAUGAGACAUGGAGCAUUUAUGAUUUUCCAACUACUUCUAGAAGAGUUGUCCGUUCCCAUUGUACCUCUAAAGUGUGGGAAAAAUGAAAAAGAGACGAAGCUUGUCGUUUCUAACUUGAAAAUUUGGAAUUUAGUCGAAGGAAUCAAAUUAGCGGCGCCCUGCAAAUUAUGCGUUGAGCAUUUAUGGGCUGGAUUCAACCUAACCUAUAAAACAAAUCAAACUAAAUUGAUGUAUUUGGGUUUCAUAAAAAAAAAAAUGAUGCAUGUGGAAUGAAAUUAGUAGUGGGGACUAAGUCAAUCAAUUCGUGCAACAUAAGUUAAUAAAUUCACGUAACAUAUAGAAGACAUGCUUAUGGUUUUGGGACUGCAGGAAGGGCCGACAGGGGACCAAGCCGAUGGAUGUGAAUUAUUAUUAUUUUAUUUUUGAUUAAUGUGGGUGUUCGGAUCAACUUUCAUGCACCUCGACUAAUUCUAUAGGCCCUGAAGUUAAUGACCAUAUAAACUUCCAGUGACCCUGAGGUUUGUGAGACCCGAACUAGUGAUCUCUAGGAAAAAAACUUAGAACCUGACUAGUUGAGUUUCACCUCUCAGAGUUGAUGGAUCUGAAUUAUUAUACACCAAAGCUGAUGCAGUAAGAUUUUGGAAGAUUAAAGUAUCAACCAAAACCAGAUUCACCAUGCGUCUAAUCUGUAAUUGUUAGGUAUCAAAGAUAAUUUUUUUUAUUAUAGUCAAAACUAAUACAAGUUUUGAAUAAUUCUCAACCCCAAUCCUUACCAUAAUAUAAUAUUUUCUUGCUAGGUAUCUUUAUAGCACACAAGAACAUGUAAUAUCAUCUCUAAAUUAAAAAAAAUUAGGUUUAAGUACAGACAUAUUUACAAAUAAAGAACAUGUUUUAAUGGGAAAAUGAUUAGUAUAACACUAAAACCUAUAAGAAUUCUUUUUUCUAGACAAAAACAAUCUUACAUUUAUAAAGCAUAGUUUUGAAACCCGGCCCGGCCCGACGGGUCGACCCGGGGCUGGAACCGGGCCGGAUUGAAGAAAAAAUGGGAGAAGAAAAAACCCGGUGUGACCUGACGACCCGGCUGACCCGACAAGACCUGGUUGCAAACCCGUUGACUUUUGUUUUUUUUUUAAACUAAAAUGAUGUCGUUUUGAUUUUUUUUUUAAAAAAAUGACCCGGCCGACUUGGUGACCUGGUCAAAACCCGGAACCCGGGCCUUGAACCAGGCGGCCACCAGGACCUAUGUUAUAAAGUCUUCAUUAUUUAAUGCGAAAACGAAGGAAAUGCUUUACCUAAUAUUCUUACUCCACCCACCAACUUUCAGAACGAUAUUUUAAAUGGAAGACAAUUCUCUUAAAUAUGAAAAUAGACUCUUGAAUUAUGCCAUUAUCCAUAAAAAACUAACUAUUACGUACAAGAAUACAUAUACGUUGAUGGAUAGAUAAUUAUAUCCCAACCUUGACAUGUCCUCAAUAUUUCAACUUGUUAAUUAGUUUUGACGUCAUCCUAUCAAAUUAUGAACGUAUUGACAUGUCCCUUGUUAAUUAGUCUAUUUGGGUUGUAACAUAGUAAUAUAAAAUAAGAAAUAUUAUUAGAUUAUUGUCCCACAAUAUAGUUCUUGAAUUGAGAUAACUUCUUAGUAUAAUAUAAAUCAUUGAAUAAUUUCAACGGACACCACGAUGGUAGGAAUGUAGUAGGUGAAACACAUAUAAGAAAGAUCAAGAUAAAAAAAAACCAAUUAGGUACUAUUUUGUUAUUAUUUCAAGGUAAAAAGACAGAGAGAUAUUCGAAAUAAAAAUAUGUUUGAUUAAAAUAAUAAUAUAAAAUAAAUAUUUUUUUAUGAUAAUUAAUUUUACAGUAAAUUUUUAUAUUUUAAAAAUAAAAAUUACAAAAAAUAUAUCAUUUUUGUCUCUUUUAUUUCGAUAUAGUAAUCAUGUGUGUGUGUAUAUAUAUAUAUAUUGGUUUAGAUUCCUAUCUAAAGAAGAGGAAUACAAAUUUUACUUCAUCAAUGUCUAAGAACUAUCUCAACCCAAUAACUUAAGCUGUUAAGUGAGGUUUCAAGAUAUGAUUUAUAUUAUUCUCUAACACACCCCUUCAAGUGAAAACUUUUUGGACUUGAAACUUGUACAGACUCAAAUUACCUUGUGCUUGAUUUUUAUCAAAUAAAUAGGGAUGGUGAGAUUCGAAAUCGUGAUCGUUUAGUCAUAAAGACUCUGAUAUCAUGUCAAAUAACCAUCUCAACCCAAUAGAAAGCUUUUAAGUGAGGUCCCAAAUAUAAUUUAUAUUUUUCUCUAACAAUCAAUAUAUAAUUUAACCUGACAUGCAUGGAAUUCUAUAUAAAAUGUAGCCUAUACCUAGAGUACAAGAAACCAUCACUAGUCAUACACACAAAGAAAGAUAUGGACUAUGAAAUUGCAGGUCUGGUUCUAGCAGUCUUGCUAUGGGUUGCAUGGGCAGUGGUGACUGAACGUCGUUACCGUCGUUCAGAAGAGCAAGGGCAGCUACCACCGGGGCCCAGACCACUGCCAGUGGUUGGCAAUAUCUUCCUGCUGGGUUGGGCACCACACGAGUCUUUUGCUAAUUUGGCUCGUGUUCAUGGUCCAAUCAUGACCAUUUGGCUCGGGUCCAUGUGUAACGUGGUCAUUUCCUCGAGCGAAGUGGCUCGUGAGAUGUUCAAGAAUCAUGAUGCGGUGUUAGCUGGGAGAAAAAUCUAUGAGGCUAUAAGAGGUGAUUUUGGAAAUGAAGGGUCUAUAAUCACAGCCCAAUAUGGACCGCAUUGGCGCAUGUUAAGGCGCUUAUGCACCACCGAAUUCUUUGUGACUAGCCGCCUUGAUGCCAUGCAGGGUGCACGAACUAGGUGCAUCGAUGGCAUGCUGCAAUACAUAGAAGAUGAUAGUGCCAAUGGCACUAGCGCUAUUGACCUUGGGAGAUACAUUUUCUUGAUGGCUUUUAAUCUUAUUGGCAACCUCAUGUUUUCUAAAGAUUUAUUGGACCCAAAAUCGGAGAAGGGAGCUAAGUUUUUUCAGCAUGCAGGUAAGGUCGUGGAGUUGGCAGGUAAGCCUAACAUGGCUGAUUGUUUUCCAAUUUUAAGAUGGCUUGAUCCACAAGGUAUAAGGAGGAAGACACAGUUCCAUGUUGCAAGAGCCUUUGAGAUUGCAGGAGGGUUCAUCAAAGAAAGAACAGAGAGUACGCAAAAGGAAAAUAGUAGAGAUGACAAGAGGAAAGAUUAUCUAGAUGUCCUUUUGGAGUUUCGUGGUGAUGGCGUGGAGGAGCCCUCUAGAUUUUCUUCAACAACGAUCAAUGCGAUUGUCUUAGUAAGUAGCAUCUCUUUUCCUAUGGUUCUCUUUUCUGUCCUAUCUUUGCAUACAUUUUUGUGUUUUUGUUCGGAGGCGGCAAAGCCUGUCUUAAUAUAAUUGUCUACCUAGUAAUUAACAUCUCGUUUGACAGCUUUGUUAAGCUCAGACCUCUGUUAGUAAAGUACUCCGCCCCGCUGAUAGGUUUACCUUCAGCUCUAGCUUGUGUUGGCUUUUUUUUUUUUAAAAAAAAUCAAUCCAGAUUGAAUUAGUUGAUUGGACAUAUUAAUCUGUUACUCGGUUAGAAUUUCAUUGAUUUUUUUCAAAAUUAUUGUUUUGAUCUUUAAAUUUUUUUUAUUAGACUUACUUAAAAAUCAAUCUCAUGAUCCGAGACUUACUCUGAAUGCAACUCCGAGUUAGGUCUAAUUAUAACUAUGACUUGGACUAUGGAAACUAUAGUUCUACAUACACGGUGGAACCAAAAAAUUUAUCAAACCCGGCCUGAAUCAGUAAUUAACCUAGAACCCAAUUGAUUUCACCUGUAGUUUAAGUUGGAUUUUAAAAUAAAAUUAACUUUGAGAUGAUACUGUUUGGCUUGAUUGACCCUACUAGUUAAUUUGAUCAAAAUUUUAUUUGAUUUUUUUAAUCUUUUCUUUAAAAUGAUAUUGUUUUGAUUGAUUUCAUUUAAUUCACCCAACUCGUGACUUAAAGUUUAAACUAGGUAUAAUAUCUUUGUUUUUAAGUAAUGUUCAAAAACAUAAAUUAAUUAUCAUAUUUAUCUCGGCCUGGGUUUUUUCCAAACCAUAGUAAAGAAAUUAUUAGGAGAUAGUAUACAAAAUUAAAUCACUAACAAUCUUAAUUAUUGUCAUGAUUUUUUCUUAUAGGAAAUGUUUACGGCAGGGACUGAUACAACAACAAGCACUUUGGAAUGGGCCAUGGCUGAACUUCUACAUAACCCUAAAGUAAUGAAAACAGUCCAAUCCGAGUUGAGAAGCACCAUUGGCCCCAACAAGAAGCUCGAAGAUAAAGACAUUGAGAAUCUCCCAUACCUAAAGGCAGUCAUCAGGGAAACACUGAGACUGCACCCUCCUCUCCCUUUUUUAGUCUCGCACAUGGCCAUGAACCCUUGCAAGAUGCUAGGCUAUUACGUCCCUAAAGAGACAACAAUUCUAGUUAAUGUGUGGGCCAUUGGAAGGGAUUCAAAGACUUGGGAUGACCCUUUGGUUUUCAAGCCAGAAAGGUUCUUGGAACCAAACAUGGUAGAUUACAAAGGUCGUCAUUUUGAGUUCAUACCAUUUGGUUCUGGCCGUAGAAUGUGCCCUGCCAUGCCGCUCGCUUCUCGUGUACUUUAUUUGGCUCUUGGGUCGCUCUUGCUUUCAUUUGAUUGGAUUUUGCCGGAUGGUCUCAAGCCAGAGGAUAUGGACAUGACUGAAAAAAUAGGGAUAACACUUAGAAAAAGUGUUCCCUUAAAGGUCAUACCGACACCUUACAAGGGGUCAUCAAAUCAUGAUGGGUUCUGAGUUGAUAUGGGAUAUUCCAAAAUUUCUACGUACUAGUAUAACAAAACGUAGUUAUAAAAAGGGUAUAACAGAUCAAUCUUGGUAUCCUAUUGAUUUGAAACUUAUUUCAAGUUAUAUUUUAUUUUGAAAUGGAUUAAAAAAGAAAAUAAUUCAACAUUGUUUUGGUAAAAAAAAAUAGACUCGCAGUUGAAUUUUAGGCCGAGCCAGACCCAGGCUCGGACUUAUAUCUAAGUUACAAAAUGUUGUAUUAGUAUUGUAUUCAAUUUAGCUGUUUGAGUCAUAUAUUUGAUUCUUAAUUUGUAUGUGUAUGUAUAUUAAUGUAUAUCUAUAUAUAAUCUAGUUGUGGAGAAUUUUUUUUAAUUAAUUAGCAUGUUUGGUGAUGCAGUUUGUCAUAACCCAAUUCUGGGUUAUUCCCCAAAAAUCAAUAUCUUUUUCAAAAUAAAAAUAAUAAAAUAAUAAUAAAGGUUGACGAUGUGGAGAAAGCAAAUCGAGGAAUCAAGCUACAAUUUUAGAGGAAAUUCAAGACUUAAUGGUACCCCAUUAUGCCCCAAAAUAGAAAGAAAAUGCAAAUUCAAUGUCAAAUCAAAUGAUUAUUGGAUGAAUAUGCUUAAAAAUUAAGUCUAAGACAUAAUUAAAUUUUUAACAGGUCAAUUUGAUUUAAUCAUGGGCCAAAUUGAAUUUUAAUUAUGUUUAAGAAUUAAUUUGGGUCCAAUUGAAGGAUUUAAUUAAGUACAAGGACUAAAUUAUACUUUAAAUGGGUCAAAUUAAUUUUAUUUGGGGCUUAAUUGGUGAAAAAUUAAGUUUGGGAGCCUAAUUUGGGCUUAAUUGAGAAGAUUGGAAUUUUAAGAGAUCAAAUUUAAUUUUUACCAAGUUAAUUGACUGAAACUAGGGGCCAAAUUGUAAGAAAAAUGAAGUUUUGGGGUCAAUUAGGGGCUAAAUUGAAGAAAUUCGCAGCCAAGGACCAAUCUACAAAGGGUGCCAAAAUUAAGGGUCUUAAUUGACAAAAACCGGGAGUGAAAUUGAAGAAAUUGAAAGUUUAAUGGUCAAUUAGGGGUUAAAUUGCAUAAAUCCGAGACCAAGGACUAAAUUGUAAAAGGCGCGUAAAUCUGGGGCUGAAGUUGAAAUUCCGUAGGGGCCUAAUUGCAUUAAAUCAAAAGUUUAUGGUCAAUUAGGGGUUCAUUUGAAAUCAAUUGAAAGCUGGAGGACUAAAUUGAAAAUCAGUUAAAAUCCCUAAUUCAAUUCAAAACGACGUCGUUUUACAUUAAAAAGAAAAAGAAGGACCAGACGACGCGUCGUCUGGUUACUGUUCAUUAUCUUUUCUGUUUUACCCGAAAGAAACAGCGCGGGAGCCUUAUUUGCAGGUGCAUUUAAUGCUUGAUUUCUCCAUCAAAUCGAACAAAACUUGCACGAAACGGAUCCCCUGCAGUUCCUCUACAACCCCAUGUGAACGUUUCAGGAUGAAAGACAGCACAUCGACAUCGGCGACGACGUGAAGAGGUCAACUCAGGGACGCUACUUUGAACCAACGGUUGGGAUCCUUCCCAGCCAAAUCUAGGGCUGAAAUUUUGCCCCGGUGUAGACGAGAUUAUCCUCUUCCACCACCUAUAAAUAGAGGCUCCGUUGAUGACCUGAGAGAGGAGAAAAUUGGGUCCAAAAAUCAGAAAAAACUAGCCUCUCUGCCCCGUUUCUGUAGUAUUUUUCUCUACCUCUCUCUCCCCGCUGUUCCAGCCACCAACCAGAGCCACCACAAGCUUCUCCACCACCAGCUCCACCACAGGAAGCCAACACAACCACCAAGUAGCCACCGCGACUCUCUCUCUCUUCUCCUUCCGGCCUUUCUCUCUCCUCUACAAACUUCUUCUUCCUGCACAGUAGCAACUCCGGAGACCAAGAUCUCCAUCAACGCCGCUACCAGCCUCUUGUCAGCCACCCAGACUAGCAGCGCCUCCCACUUGUGUCAGGUGGUGUCCCCCUACUUCUGCCCCGUUCCUGCCCACGUAUCUUCUGCAUGCAAUGGCAGAAUCAUUAACCUUGAAUAUGGGUCGGACCUUAUUUGGCCCAGCCCAAAUUUAUGGGCCGGAUUCGGCCCACCCCCAAACUUGUUGGGCUGAGAUCGGCCCACCCUUUUGUAGGUCGGGCUCGGCCCAGUUAGCUGGGCCGACCUAGCCCACAUAUUUAAUAUUAUAUAAUAUAUAUUAUAUUAUAAUAUUAUUUAAAAAAAUCCAAAAAAUUUUCAAAAAUCAUUUUAAAAAAUUUUGCGAUUUUGUCAAAUAUUUUUCUAUCCAUUUUGCAUAAUAUCGGGUUGUAUAUUUACACUGUAGUGCGCCGCCGCCUCUUCUUUACUUCCCUAAAACAGAUAGAGCAAGACGCAGAGACAGAGAAGACAAAGAAAGGUAACCGAGAGAGAAGGCAAGAAAGAGAUGGAGAUAGGAAAAGACAUUAUGGUAAGAAAUAUAUUUUUAGUAUUUGUGAUAAUUUUUCAGUAUUAAGUUUGAGUUUUAUUUACUAAUAUGUGUGGAUUUGUUUUUAUAAAGCUUUGUUAAAGGAUGUUAAGAUUUGGGUGAAUAUAUAUGCAUUGAUUUUGAUUUAUAGUUCUUGAGAAAUUAACUAGGACUCGUUAUUCAGUAGAAUUGAUUGCUUAAAGAUGAACUUGAGAAUUGAAAAUUUGUGAACCAUUGAUGAUCUUAAGUUCAAAGGAUAUAUAUAAAUUGAAGAAACUCAAAUCCUGGUUAUGGCCACCGAGUUUAGAGGCUGUGAAUCAGAGAUGACGAUCAAAUUAUAUUAUGGUAUGACGAUCAAAUUAUAUUAUGGUCUCCAGUGUUUAAAAAUGUUACUAUCCACUUCAAAUAGAGUUUGAGUCAUGUGAUGCACAAAUUAUAUUAGUACACUUUCAAAUACGCUCUCUAGAAUACUAAUAAAACACGUGACUAAUAUAUUUUAAAUUAAAAAACACAUUUAAAAAAUACUUUACAAUACAUUAUCAAACGCACAAGUCUAGCUCUCGAAAAGAUAUUUAAAUUACUAAUUAAGUUGUCAUUUUAAUUUACGGGUUAAUUAUUUAUAUUUGAAAACUCAACUCCAAUAAAGUUUUGGAUUGUAAAUUUUUUAAUCAACCUGUAGUGUUAAGUCAAGUUUAACAACCAUGUUAUUAACAUAUCAAUGGUUUCAACUUAGCCGACAUGUCAUUUAAAGAUUCAAGAUUGAGUACUUGCGAGGCUAUAUAUAGGCUAUUAACUAAUGUUUCUUGAAUCAAGGUUUCUGUGAAUAAAUGUUCUAGUUUCCCACCAGGUGGAAGUGGUUGCAAUUCCAUGUUCUUGAUUUGUUCCUAUUUCAAAAUCAUUAAACAUAAUAAUAAUAAAAAAUAUACAACCAAUAGUUUUUUUUUUCUCUUUUUUUACUCCCUGGAUCUGUUGUCAAGGUACAGGGGCUUCUUUGAAGUGGAAUAACCCGACCACAAAAAUGCAGUGAUACAAAAUGCAUAUGCUCUACCCAGGAUAGAAAAUGCCUAAGUAUUAAAAUUCAAGUUUUAUAAUUACAUUAAUAUUUGGGAGUGCACUUCUGCUUUUAAAUAUAUUUCACUUGAAAAGAUAUAAAAUUGAUGUUUUUUAUAAUGUUUUAUUUAUAAUUGUAAUGUACCGAUAUCAAACCUCAAAAAAUAUAUAAAAAAAAAUUAUAAAAAACAUCACGCAUUGCAUUACAAAACACACACUAAUAUCAGCUGAUAUUCUAAAAUUUGAGAUAAUCCUGUAUUUUUGGUGAAUCUAAGAGUUUCAAAAAUGAUUGAUCAUAAUUUAUAAUUUAUGGGUGAUUUUUUUAUUAUUUAUUUUUUUUAUUCUAUUUAAAAAAUAAUACCUAUAAUUAUUAUCUCGUAAAACUUUCAAGAAAAAAGAAAAAAAGUAAGACAAAAUCUGUGAUGGUACCCACAUGAAAUAGCAUUUACUCCGAUAAUCCAAAGCCCUUAAAAAUCAAGAGCCCACGAUCAACUUGAAUGGGUACACUUAUCACGCUUAGACGACCCCGAUUCUUCUUUAGUUUUAAAAUAAUCUUUUCAAUUCAGUUGCUGUAUCUUGCAUUUUUAUAAGCAAGCCCUACUUCUCAUCAAGACCCGGUUCCGGAUUUUGAUCGGGUUAUCAGGUCGUCCGGCUCAAAUUUUUUUUUUUAAAAUCAAAACGACGUCGUUUUAAUAAAAAAAAAAGUCAACGGGUUGCAACCUGAUUUUUGACCGGGUCUUGCCGGGUCAACCGGGUUUUUUCUUCUCUUUUUUUUUCUUCAACCCAGCUCGGUUCUAGCCCCGGGUCGACCCACCACACCGGGUCAGGUUUUAAAACUAUGCUGCUUCUUGAAUUUUUAAAAAUGUUGUUAUGCAAAUUAAAUAUGAUUUUAGAAUUGAUUUUUUACUUCAAAUCAUAAUUUUUUUUCAUAAGCAAUGAACUGCAUUACAACGUAGAAAUAAUUAAAUUUAUCUUGAAUCAAGAGAAAUUGUGCAUAACCAGGAUAUCUUAUAGAAAUAAUUUCAUGUACAUGCUAUAAAUCUUACUUCAGAUCACAUUUUAUCAUUCAUAUUGAUGUUUAUAAAUUAGAAAUCAAAUUAAUACACUUCUUUAUAGUUAUAGAAUUCUUAAGAACUCUUGCGUUCACCUAACUUGCGAAAUAAUGACUAGCAAUAAGAUCAAACUUAACUUUGCACCCAUUCCCAAAAGACGUUUCUUUGACCUAAUUUAUUACAUGGCUAAGAUAUAUCAAGCAUUCCAAUAUUUACUCGCAUAAAUAAUAUCAAAUCUCAAAUAUAUCAUGAUCUACACUAUUAUUUUGUCUUUUUUUUAUGUUAAUUAUUGAGAAAAAUUAUGUUCUUAAACUUUAUAAAGUUUAUGGAUCUAUUCACAGGUUUGACUGGUUGACCUGAUUUGCAAGUUUGAGAAGUUUAACUUUUUUUUUUCAUCCUUAGAUAUUGGAUUAAUUGAACAUUAAGUUUUAUAAUUGGUCUUGUUUCAUCUUUUAAUUGAGGUUAUCACGGUAUUAAAAAAAACAUCUCGGUACUAGGUUGAUAUUUGAUUUCACAAUUGUUUGUUUUUGUUAUUAUAUAGUUAAAUAAAAAAAUAGUUUUGAAAAAAACAAAUUAUAAUCCUAGUGGAGCCCAUAACUCGGUUUACAGGUUUGACAUGCUAACCCGGGUUAUCUGAUUCACAGGUUUAACGAGUUUGCCCAACAAUAGAAUAUGUUUUUUUGGUCUUUUAAUUAUUUUUUUCUUUUCGAUUUAUCCUUCAAUAUUGUGUUGAUUGAGAAAUAGACUGCAUGAAUGAUUUUUGUUUGCUUUCUAUAGGGAUAAUUGUCUCAAAUAAGUGUUUAUUUUUAGGUUAACGUUCAAUUUUGUGAGUAUCUAUUUUUAUCAUAUAAUUAAAUAAAAAUAGUUUAUAAAAAAAGUUAUUAAACCCAAUAGAAUUUACGACUAGGGUCGCGGGGAGACCGAGGUAGAUUUAAUUUGUCAUUGUCUCAAUAUUUUUUAAAAAAAAUUGUCAUCUUGAAGUUUUUUUAAAAGCUAAAUAAUGUUUUCACUGAUUAUCGAUGUUGCAUUUGGACUCAUGAAAUUGAUUGAUUUAAGUCAAGUUAGCUCCCACGCGGUUUAAUUAGAAACUCGAGUUAGGUAAAGAGUCAAGUUAAAAGAUUUCAAAAUUAAUCUACUUGGUUAUGUUUAAUAAUAUUAUAAAAAAAUCUUCAUACUCUUAAUAUUUUUUAUAUUUUAAAAAAAUUAAUCCGACCCAUGGUGAGCCCGAACCAAUAAACUAGUGUAAACUGAAAGGAAGAAAAGAAAAUCACAUGAAUCAUGCAUAUAAUAUUUAAGAACAAUCACAUUAUUCUUGCUGAAUUAGUCACAAAUUUUGUAACAAUUACGUACACAUCAAAUAUAAUUGCACUUGAUCACUUCAAGCCAUACAUUUGAGUAUAUCUAGAGUCAUGCUGAUAAUGUUUAUUGCCCAAAUUUAAGUUCAUUGGGGAUAUCGAUCACAAUUAAGUAGCCUUUCGUUGAAACUUCGAAUAUACUACGUACCUAACAUAAAUCUGCCCAACUCCCUGCUAAUCAUGAACCAAUUAUCAGUAAUUAAAUCCAUCUAGGCCUAGAACUUUAAAAACCAUUUGAUCAAUCAUCAAAGAAUAUAUAAACGAUUGUAGUCAUGUCAAAAGGGAUUCUUCCUCGAAUAAGCACAAUUUUAUAUAGUUAAUUAUAAAUGAGAUUAUUGCUUACAGCAAGAUUGCAUUAUCUAUGUAUAUUAAUUUAAUUAAAGAAAAGAUCAUGUCCCCAUAAAAAAAAAAUUAAAAAUCAGGUUAUAAAGACAAAAAAAUUAAAAAUAAAAUUAGUUUCAUGAACUCGAGUACAAGUAGGCAAUGCAUAUACAUGCAAGGCACGCAUCAACAACUUUUUUGUUUUUUUUUUAUUUGUAAAAAAUUGAAAAAUACUCUUAGAGCUAAACAAUAAUAAUAUACAAACUACGAUGAAAUUACAACCAAGUCCCUGGAGUCAUGGUUAAAAAAUUUAAAUGAUAAGGAUAAUGAAGUAAUUUUAUUGUUCUUUUAAAUAUGAAAAAUAAAAAAAUGCUAUUAUGUUGAGGACAUUAAAUUAUUUUAUUUAAGAGCUACAUUAGUAAUUUUAUUAUGUAUUAAAAAACAUAACCCCUCACAAUCCUCAAAAGAUAUUUAUAUCACGUAAAAAAACUAACAUGCCCCAAAGCCAAGUUAAAAGAUUAAAUGACCAAAGAAAAAUAAAGUAAUUAUAGUAAAUUAUGUAUCGGAACACAAUAAUACAUGCAAUAAUACAUCAUUUGUCUUGGUCAAGUUCUACUUGAGGAUUUGGUCAAGUUUUUUUUAAUCUUAUUCUUCCAUUCUGCUUAUUCCAUUUCCACUAGAGGGCUUGUCUUAAUAAAGAACUCUCUUCCUUAACUAUACGUGGUACUAUUUCAAUGAAAUCUCUUGUCAGUUACAAGGGGGGAAAUAAAAAAGAGUCAUCAUGCAAAUGAAUACCCUAUUGGGAUUAAUUUUUAUUUUAUUUUAUAAUCAUCGUUUGAUUUAUUGAAAAGUAGUUAUUAGCCAUUUAAUUAAUGACUAAACAACAGAAAAUAAGAGUUAAUACGGAAGGAACAAUAUAAAGAAAAACGAAAUACAAAAAUCUCUAUUAAUUUCCUUAAUUACCUAAAUUAAUUCUGGGAUUUAAUUAGACAAAGGAAUCAAUUUAGCUCCCUACAAGUUAUGCAUUAAACAGUAAUUGAUGUAUUUAGAAUCAAAUUAGAGGGGACUAAGUUAACCAAUUCACGUGACAUAUAAGAUAAUGUUGAUGGAUUUGGGACCGCAUGCAUCACCAUGAUCUAUAAUUGCUAUUAUAUACAUAGAAUAUCACAGUAAAUAGAAAAGAAACAAUCAGACAAUACAAUAAUUUUAUAUAGUACGAAUGUGCCUGUAUCCACAAGCAAAGAGAGAUUUCAUAUUAUAAUUCAAAAUAUAUUUAGGCCAAUCCGAUCCUCAGAGCACACUAUGAAUUUCUCAUGCUUGCUAUCUUUUUCGCACACAAGAAUGUGCAUGAUUAUACUUAGAAAAACCUAGGCCUAAAUUACUUUUGUCAUCCUUUAAGAACAUAUUUACAUGUACCUUUUUAAUUAGUCCUAUUUUGAUUUGGAUGUAUUGCAAGGCACGCAAUAUAAUAAGAAAUAUUAUUGCUUUUUCAUCCAAAAAAUUUAAAUUUUUAAAUUAAAACAUCCAUAUGACAUAAUAUUAUAAUUUUAAUAUUAAUUAAAUACUCACGAGUUUUUAUCACUCUAAUUUUUGUUAUACUUAAAAUCAAAUCAACAUAGCUAAUAAUAAAUUUAUACAAGUUUUAAAUUAAAAGAAUUCACAUAAAAAAUUGCAUUAAAAAAUAAUAGAAAAUCAUCAUCAAAUCAAGCUCUUAACUUCACUUGAGAGAUUGUAUUUACGCAUUACUAGUCGCUUUCUUGAGUGUUAAUUGGAGGCUCCUUCUUUUUGCAGCCUCUAGUCUCAUGUAGUCUCUCCUUCUCUUCCUAAUUGUACGUGGUCAUGGCGUUUCAAUGAAAUUAAUCUCUUGUCAGUUAAAGUGUGGGAAAAAUGAAAAAGAGACGAAGCUUGUCGUUUCCAACUUGAAAAUGCAAAGAAUACCUCUAAAUUUUGGAAUUUAGUCAAAGGAAUCAAAUUAGCGCCCUGCAAAUUAUGCGUUGAGCAUUUAUGGGCUGGAUUCAACUCAACCUAUAAAACAAAUCAAACUAAAUUGAUGCAUUUGGAUUUCAUAAAAAAAGAUGAUGCAUUUGGAAUCAAAUUAGUAGUGGGGACUAAGUCAAUCAAUUCAUGCAACAUAAGUUAAUAAAUUCACCUAACAUUUAGAAGAUAUGUUGAUAGAUUUGGGACCGCAGGAUGGGCCGGUAGGGGACCAAGCCGACGGAUCUGAAUUAUUGUACACCAAAGCUGAUGCGCGCAGUAAGACUUUGGAAGAUUUCACUAUCAAUCAAAACCAGAUUCACCAUGCGUCUAAUCUGUAAUUGUUAAGUAUCGAAGAGAACAUUUUUAUUAUAUAUAGUCGAAACUAAUACAAGUUUUGAAUAAUUCUGAUCAAACCCAAUCCUGCAAUUAUUACAUGCAAUUAUUCAAUAAUAUAUAUGGUUUAGAUUCCUAUCAAAAGAAGACGAAUAAAAAUUUUACAUGAUCAAUAUACACUAUUUAACCUGACAUGCAUGAAAUUCUAUAUAAAAUGGAGCCUACCUAGGGUACAAGCGAAACCAGCACUAGUUAUACACACAAAGAAAGAUAUGGACUAUGAAAUUGCAGGUCUGGUUCUAGCAGUCUUGCUAUGGGUUGCAUGGGCAGUGGUGACUGAACGUCGUUACCGUCGUUCAGAGGAGCAAGGGCAGCUACCACCAGGGCCUAGACCACUGCCAGUGGUUGGCAACAUCUUCCAGUUGGGUUGGGCACCACACGAGUCAUUUACUAAUUUGGCUCGUGUUCAUGGUCCAAUCAUGACCAUUUGGCUCGGGUCCAUGUGUAACGUGGUCAUUUCCUCGAGCGAAGUGGCUCGUGAGAUGUUCAAGAAUCAUGAUGCGGUGUUAGCUGGGAGAAAAAUCUACGAGGCUAUGAAAGGUGAUUUUGGCAAUGAAGGGUCUAUAAUCACAGCCCAAUAUGGACCGCAUUGGCGCAUGUUAAGGCGCUUAUGCACCACCGAAUUCUUUGUGAGUAGCCGCCUUGAUGCCAUGCAGGGUGCACGAACUAGGUGCAUCGAUGGCAUGCUGCAAUACAUAGAAGAUGGUAGUGCCAAUGGCACUCGCGCUAUUGACCUAGGGAGAUACAUUUUCUUGAUGGCUUUUAAUCUUAUUGGCAACCUCAUGUUUUCUAAAGAUUUAUUGGACCCAAAAUCGGAGAAGGGAGCUAAGUUUUUUCAGCAUGCAGGUAAGGUCACGGAGUUGGCAGGUAAGCCUAACAUGGCUGAUUUUUUGCCAAUUUUAAGAUGGCUUGAUCCACAAGGUAUAAGGAGGAAGACACAGUUCCAUGUUGCAAGAGCCUUUGAGAUUGCAGGAGGGUUCAUCAAAGAAAGAACAGAGAGUGUGCAAAAGGAAAAUAGUAGAGAUGACAAGAGGAAAGAUUACCUAGAUGUCAUUUUGGAGUUUCGCGGCGAUGGCGUGGAGGAGCCCUCUAGAUUUUCUUCAACAACGAUCAAUGUGAUUGUCUUUGUAAGUAGCAUCUCUUUUCCUUUGGUUCUUCUGAUCUCUUCUGUCCUAUCUCUUACACAUUCCACUAAGUAGACAAGUAUAAGAAUUAUAAUACAAAUAUACAAAAUUAAUAGACCUCAGCCACCAGCAAAAUCUUUGCAUACAAUUUUGUGUUUUUGUUCGGAGGCGGCAAAGCCUGUGUUAAUAUAUAUAAUUGUCUUCCUAGUAAGUAACAUCUCGUUUGCCAGCUUUGUUAUGCUCAGACCUCUGUUAGUAAACUCCGCCCCGCUGAUAGGUUUACCUUCAGCUCUAGCUUGAGCUGUUGGCUUUUUUUUUUUAAUUUUUAAAAUCAAUCCAGAUUGAAUUAGUUGAUUGGACAUAUUAAUCUGUUACUCGGUUAGAAUUUCAUUGAUUUUUUUUCAAGAUUAUUGUUUUGAUCUUUAAAAAGAAUUUUAUUAGAUUUACUUAAAAUCAAUCUCAUGAUCCGAGACUUACUCUGAAUGCAACUCCAAGUUAGGUCUAAUUAUAACUAUGACUUGGACUAUGGAAACUAUAGCUCUACAUAAAAUUGGAUUGGAGGAGGCAGAUAAGAAACUAAGUGAUUAUUGAGAGUGCAAACCACGUAAAAUUAAAGAGUAUAAUUAAAGAUUUUCAAAAUUUAAUGUAGUUCUGCCUGUCUGAAUACAUAUCAACUCGUUCAACUUUUGAUCAUGGUCGUGAAUAUAUUUAUGUUAGCAACAACCGGUGUGAUCAUUCUUAAUUAUUAUAUUUCAUUUAAAAAAUAUAUUUUUUAUUGUUUGGUUAUGUUGAAAAAAAUAAUUGAAUUUUUUUAGUGCUUGCGUGUUUGGUAUGCAUGGAAAAUAUGUAUUAAAAAGAAAACAUGAAUUAAUUAAUAAUAGAGAUCAUAAUUUAAUAUUGAAGCUAAUCUCGUAAAAUGUUUUUUAUCUAUUAUAAACCGUGAGUUGUUAAUUUUCUAUUAUUUUAAGCUUAUCUUUUCUUUAAUUAUAAAGUAUUUUACAUUAAUAAUUUAUUUUAAAAGAAAUCAAACAUAAAAAAUGAAAAGAAAUAUUUUACAGAAACAUAAUUACUUAAGAAAAAUAAUAAUAUAAGAUGAUGUUGAUUGGAUUCACUCAACAAUUGAAAGUGCUUUUAAACAUAUUUAUCGAACCCGACAUUAAUUAGUGGGUCAACUUAGAAUUCAAUUAGCUUGGCUUGUAGUUUAAGCUGCAUUUUAAAAAAGGAUUAACUUUGAGCUGAUCCUAUUUGACUUGGUUGAUCCUACUAAUUAAUUUGGUCAUAAUUUAAUUUGAUUUUUAAAUUUUUUUUUUUAAAAUGAUAUUGUUUUGAUUGAUUCUAUUUAAUUCAUCUAACCCGUGACUCGGAGUUUAAACCAUGUAUAAUAUCUUUGCUUUUAACUAAUGUUCAAAAACAAAAAUUAAUUAUAAUAUUUAUCUUGGGGCUUAGUUUUUUUUUCCAAACCAUAGUAAAGAAAUUAAUAGGAGAUAUUACACAAAAUUAAUCAUCAACAAACUUAAUUAUUGUUAUGAUUUUGUCUUAUAGGAAAUGUUUACGGCAGGGACUGAUACAACAACAAGCACUUUGGAAUGGGCCAUGGCUGAACUUUUACAUAACCCUAAAGUACUGAAGACAGUCCAAUCUGAGUUGAGAAGCACUAUUGGCCCCAACAAGAAGCUCGAAGAUAAAGACGUUGAGAAUCUCCCAUACCUAAAGGCAGUCAUUAGGGAAACACUGAGACUUCACCCUCCUCUACCAUUUUUAGUCCCGCACAUGGCCAUGAACCCUUGCAAGAUGCUAGGCUAUUACGUCCCUAAAGAGACAACAAUUCUAGUUAAUGUGUGGGCCAUUGGAAGGGAUUCAAAGACUUGGGAUGACCCUUUGGUUUUCAAGCCAGAAAGGUUCUUGGAAGCAAACAUGGUGGAUUACAAAGGUCGUCAUUUUGAGUUCAUACCAUUUGGUUCUGGGCGUAGAAUGUGCCCUGCCAUGCCUCUUGCCUCUCGUGUACUUCCUUUGGCUCUUGGAUCACUCUUGCUUUCAUUUGAUUGGAUUUUGCCAGAUGGCCUCAAGCCAGAGAAUAUGGACAUGACUGAAAAAAUAGGGAUAACACUUAGAAAAAGUGUUCCCUUAAAGGUCAUACCGACACCUUACAAGGGGUCAUCAAAUCAUGAUGGGUUCUGAGUGGACAAGGGAUAUUCUAAAAUUUCUACUAGUAUAACAAAAUGUAAUUAUAAAAUGGGUACAACAAAUCAAUCUUAGUAUCCCGUUGAUUUGAAACUUAAUCCAUGUUAUAUUUCAUUUUGAAUUAAAUUUUUUUACCAAAACCAUAUCAUUUUAUUAAAAAAUAAAAUAAAACAUGUUUUGGUAAAAAAAGAAGAAGAAGAUAGACUCGCAACCUAAAUUUUAGGCCGAGGCAGACCUAGGUUGGUCUUAUAUCUAAGUUACAAAAUGAUAUAUUAGAAUUGUAUUCAAUUUAGCUAUUUGAGUCAUAUAUUUGAUUCUUAAUUUGUAUGUGCAUGUAUAUUAAUGUCUAUCUAUAUAUAAUCUAGUUAUGGAGAAUUUUUUUUAAUUAAUUUGUAAUGCGGUUUAAUCUAUUUUUCAAACUAAUUUUCAUUUAAAAAAUAUUAAAUUAAUGUUUUUAGGUGUUUUUAAUGCUUCGUCUCUCCAUCAUAUUUGACAAAACAUAUACAAAAAUGAUGAUCUGACCUUCGACCAUACCCCGAUAUGGUUUUUUCAGGUUGAUUGACAUCAUAACAGCUGCGGCACCACCUCAAAGUGGCCAACCCGACCAGCCUUUUAGCAGUUAUAUUGACUGUUCAUGAUGACCACUUUGAGUCAACGGUUGAGAUCCUUCCGGGUUGAAUCAAGGGCUAAGAUUUGGCACCAGUAAAGAUAAAAUUCCACUCUUCCACCCCCUAUAAAUAGGAGAGGAUUCCAUGCAAUGAGAUCAAGAAAUCUAAGGCCAAAGUUGGAAAAAUAAUCAGUUUUUUUUUUCAAUUUUUUUCUUUGUGAGCCUCUUCCACCUCUUUCUCCAUUGCUUUUUCAGCCACUACUACUUCAGUACCACCGUGACCAAAACCAAAGGUUACCCCGCUUUUUAUACCACGUAACCUUCUGCUCUUCUCCUCCCUCCCUUCUUGUUCUUCUUUUACAUGCAAAUGUGCAGAACAGAACGUGAAUUAUAAUUCACGUUUUGCCAUUUGUAAGCACAACUUAGUCACUGGGCUGAGCCAGUGACUAAGCUGUGUUGGGCUGGACCCAUUCCGGCCCAGCUCAGAUGGUUGGGAUGGGUCCAGCUAUCGUAAUCCAAUUUUAAGUUUCUAAAAAAAGUGAUGAUAAAAAUAUAAUUCGGAUUAAUCAGUCAUGCACAAUUAUUCAGAACGACAGGUGGAUGGACAAGCUAGGGUCUUGUUGAAGAAACUUUGGAAAAUGAUUUGAGAAUGUGAUCAAAACAACACAAAUUGAAGGUUUGAGGACUAACAAGGAUAAAAUUAUAAAAUUUAAAAGUCAAUUUGGCUGAAACUGGAAGAAUUGACAAGUCUAGGGAUUUAAUUGAACUCUGAAUUAGUUUAGUUAAUUGAAGAAAUAUCAAAAUUCAAGAGCAAUUUAUGUCAAAAUUGCAAGAAAUAAAAUUUCAGGGAUCAAAAUGAAUAGGCUCUAAUACUAUAAGGCGGUUAAUUGACUUUAUCAGGGGUAAUUUUGAAAAAAUUAAAAGUUUGAAAAGUCAAUUAAGGAUUGAAUUGAAGAAAUCUGAAACCCAUGACUAUUUUGAAAAUAACGCAGAAAUCCAAGGGUGCAAUUGCAUAGAUCAAGGGGCGAAAUUAAAAAAAAUGAAUUUUAAAAGACAAGGGCUUGAAUGUAAGACUUCAAAACUUCAGGGGGCAAAUUGAAGAAUGACCCUUUUCGGCCUAAAACAGCGUCGUUUCAAAAACUGUUCAUUCUCUUCUUCCUCUCGAGCAGGGGAAAUCGUUAGAAGAAGCCAUCCAAAUGGCCCCUGUUAGACCCAAUCGUCCCACCAAAUCCAAGCCAAAUCUUAGACCCGAUUGUCUACCACAGAUCUCAUAAGUUAGUUCAGUGUUUCUCGCCCUCACAACUCUCCUCUGACGCGAAGAUCACUCAGGUCCAACAGUCCAACAAUGGCAGGACUGUUGGUGUUUUCAUUCCACCAAACAACGAGCGAACCUAAAGCAGUAGUUAUCCACCACUCAUUUAAUAUGCAGGCAGGGCCAUAUGAUUCGAUGAAAGAUAUUUCUUUGAAAAUUUUGCAAAGCAGCGUGUCAACAGUUCCCAUUAUUCAUUCUGCUUCUCAGGAUGGCUCAUUUCCGCAGCUACUAUAUCUUGCUUCCCUGUCUGGAAUACUAAAAUGUAAACCUUCUUGGUUUGAUGCUUGAGGAUGUAUAACUUGUUGCUAACACAUGGACUAAUUGUCAGGUAUAAGCAGGUAUUUCAGACAUUCUGCUGGCUCCUUCCCCAUUCUUCAACAGCCAAUUUGUUCAAUUCCUUAGGGUACAUGGGUUCCAAGACUUGGGGAACCAAACAGACGGCCAUUUGCAAUGUUGAGACCGAAUGCUUCUCUCGGUGCUGCUCUGUCUUUGUUGGCUCAAGGUAAUUCACUCGUCAAAAGAUUACCACAAGCUACAACUUUCCUCUUCUAUCUGUUUCUGAGUGUGCAUAUUGCUGAUUGAUCUUCUUUAACCUCUCCUAACCUUGUGCUAUAAUACCUUCCUGAUACAGCCAAUGUCAGUUCAAUAGCAUUUGUAAACGAUAAGGAUUCACUGCUGGAUGUUUCCUCGACAGUGAUAUCACUGCUUUGGCAAAAGAUAAAGCCUAUGCACAAAUUCAUCUUGAUGAAAUAAGUAUUCAUCAGGUAAUUAGUUUUGAUUACUUUGAGCUCUACUUACAUGCAGUUGUAUGCACAUUCUUGCAAUGGUCUGAACCAAUCCGCAGCUCUGUACAUGAAUCUCCAUUUGUGAAACAAUAAAUACCUUCAACAAAAUCAGGAGAAGAUAAAUGACUGGAAGUGAUUAAGUAAACUGCAUUUUUGAAUAAAACAUGCAUGGCAUGAACUACUGUAUUGAUCUGCUCUUUCAUACCCUUUUAGGCUCUGCAAUUGGGUCAGAAUGCAAAUUCUUCAAAUGCAUUCUACAAUGGACAGAGAUGUCAGAUGUGUUUGCGGACUGAUUCUCUACACAAAGUGAUGGAGCGUUUGGCAAAUCCCGGUACUCUUACAGCAAUAUGAUUUUUUUUUCUACAUCAACUUUUCACCAUAAGUAGUUCUGACCUCGGGGUCUGGACUAGUAACACGUUUUCUAAUUGCUUUGUUGCGUGGUCUUUUCAGGGGUUAGGAGGCUUUUGAUUGUGGAAGCUGGCAGCAAGCGUGUAGAAGGGGUUAUCUCACUGAGUGAUGUCUUCGGGUUCCUGCUGGGGAUAUAGCUUAGAUGUUAAGCAAUUUGCAUGCCGUGGUGACAUUGGAGAGGACCACAGUCUUUACUCAUUGUUCUCUGAGGUUGGAAGGGCCCCAUGAUUCUGACCCCCACACCUUUUCUUUUUUAGGAUAGGAAAUUCAAUGAGCAAAAAAGAAUUUGUAAUUGUGAGUUUUCCAUUUUUAAAAAUUUAAUUUUUUUCUUUUUUUUUCAAUUUUUUUUUAAUAUUUCAAUAUCAAAAAUAAUUUUUUAAAAUUAAAAAAUAUUAUUUUAAUAUAUUUUUAAUAAAAUUGUUUUAAAAAAAAAUCAUUCCACUUGAACAUGUGUAUUACUAUCAGAAAAUGAGGUUCAAGAGCAUUGAGAUACCAAGGGCAACCCAUGGUUUUGUCCGUUUGUUUCCGUGAUUGUGUUUGGUGUCCGUUUGUUUCCGUGAUUGCAUUUUCUAUUGAAGCAAACCACGGAAACUUGAAACGUAUAUUACUGUGCAUGAACCCGACCAUUUAUUGCGUUUAAGACACAGGGUCGUUAAAAGCAGCUCGAAGCUGCUUUUACUCUUCUUCCCGUGGAGUGGAGAAUGACUCCACUGUUCACGUGAACAGUUGAGUCACUUUCCACUAUUCCGGUCGGACUGGGUCGGGUCGGGUCCAGAGCUAAAUGCAUUGAACCGGAUCCGACCCAGUAAAAUAAAAAAAUAUAUUUUUUUAUUUUUAAUUGUAUUUUAUUAAAAAAAACUAGUGUUUAUUGGUCCGGUCGAGAGGUAAAUGCAUUGAAUCGGGUCCGACCUAGAAAAAUAAAAAAAUAAAUUUUAUUUUUAAUUUUUAAUUGUGUUUUAUUCAAAAAACUAGUGUUUAAAAAAAUUAAAUUAAAUUUUUUAUUUUUAAUUGUGUUUUAAUUAUGUUUUAUUUGAAAAACCAGUGUUAAAAAUUAUAACGUAUCACUACAUAAAUUAGACGGAGAUCGCUUGAUGACGUAGUAUUUGCAGAAUUUAAUCGCAAUCUCAAUAUUGUUCCUGAUUAAUAUUUUACCUAAUGUUGUUGCGCGCUUAAGAAACCAAGAAAACUGUAGUCAUUGUCGAAUGUAUUUCAUACAUGAUGAAAUUGUAGAUAGUUUAAUAGAAUAAUAAAAAUUAUUUUAUAUAAAUUAUUAUUUAUUUCAUGAUGUAAUAGCAGUAGUUACAUCUACAAUAUUUAAAUUAAAAAUCAUCAAUAUUAAUAUGUAUUUUUUAAAAAUUAUAAAAUAACCUCAAUUUGAAAAACAUUCUUAUACUAUCACAAUACCAAACAUAUUAAUACUAAACCGACCUCAACCAAAAGUACUUUUUAUAAAAUAAUUUUUUUAAACUAUAACCACAAAAACUACCACAAUACCAAUAUAAAACACACUACCAAUAUGAAACACACUGACAGGCUGCGCAUCAAAGAACAAAGAUAACGAGCAAACUAAUAAUUGUUGAAAUCAACAUAUUUCAACUGAUACAGAUUCACUUGGAUACAGAUUCACUUGUCAUGUUUACAAAGAAGUAUUUUAACUCUAUCAUCAAGUUUUCAUGUAACAGUGAUCUCUCUCAUGAGUUUUUUCAUGUUUUACAACAAAUAGUGGCUUGAAAAACCAAGCAUCUCUGAAUUUUUGAAGUUCUCUAAACAGGAAACGUGUGUUGUAGCAUCACAUUUGUUUUCCCCUCAACUGCUUUAACAAAUAUGCAUAGAGCUUCAUGAACCACUCGAUGCCACCACAACUACCACGCACCAGGUGCAUAAUGCCCGGAUAAUUGCUGGCAGAGAUAGGGAAGUGAUUGAAUACAGCAGCAUAAUUAGCAAACUGAUCCAGUCCAGCAUUAUAUCUAGGUCUCUAGAGUGAGUCCAAUAUCAUCCUCGGAAUUCUCAGGUGGAGUUGUCUCUGGGAAAUUUUCUUCAUUUGGAUACAUCUCCUGAAAGAGCUGUCAAGUAGAAGCACUAGUAUUGAAUUCUCAGUCGGCCAAAAAGAAUGAAAAACUCUUGAGUGUCACAGAACAAUGUCUAAUCACAUAACGGGCUAGAGGAAACAAAAGAGAUCAUGAAACAAUCAACGAGAGACAUCUGUGAGUAUACAAUGUGAUCCAGUAAGCAUGCAUAUUGGCUUGUGGUUGUUGAAUCACUGGCAUUCAUUUUCCUAUUUAACAACUUGUUGGACGGGACAUAAAAGAGAAAACAGGAAUACACUCAAGUGAUGAUAUACAGAAAUUAGGCAUUUAGGAUAAUGGAACCUGAAGCAUCAUAAACGUUAAAUAGAGGAAACAUACCUUCAAAGCUGCAUCUAAUAUAUCGUUGUAAUUCAGAUUUCCAUCGGGCAUGGGAGCAAAGUUGAUAGAAUCAAAUUGACCCUGAAACAAAAGAGAUGGCAUACCACUAUCAACCUAAAUGCAUGCACAUCUAUAUACAUCACUUUCUAAAAAAAUUACAUAUUUACUCAAGCAACAUUUAAUAAAAGAAUGUCAAUCCAACUCGAGGUCAUAGAUUUACAGGAAUUGAAGCAAGCAAGAGUUAAUAACCUAUUGAAACCAUUAAAGCACACCCAUUCAUUCAGCUUAAAAAUGAUCCUAGGAUCUAGUUAGGAAAGUUAAAAUGGAUCGAGGCUGGUCUGUAAUGUGAGUUCGGGAUUGAUUUGACUGAUUACAGUGGCAGAAAAAAGAAAGAUGAAGCAGGAAAUCAUUGAGCAACAGCUCAUAGUUGAACUGAAGGGACUCGUAAGUGACCUGCUUAGACAACUUUGAUGGACUCAACAUACCCAAAACAAGUACAGGAAGAAGAAAAUAGAGGCAGCUGGAACAUGCAAGGAAGAAAUUCAAUAAAAUCUAGAGAAUAAAUUGAAGGAGGGAGGGAGAUUCAAGAGAGGAAGAAGGGAACACGAGGGCAGCAGCAAUCAGGUUCUAAAACUCCAGAUAGGCAGGCACGUGCCAGCUUUUAUGAUGAGGCACCCUAUGUACUAAGCCCCACAUGUGAGCUUAAUGUAAGCUGAACUUGAAACUACCACCACAUAAGAUAAAACUAAACCGCAAGUUCUAAACAAGAAUUCUAAUAACCCCCCACUUGUGUGCAUGAGCACAAAUGUGCGCACGUGUGCACACAUGAGAUGCUAAUAGUAAGAGACAAAAGUUCAAGACGUGAAGCACCGUAGACAUCUCCUGCAUAUACAACCCGCUCCAAAUGACACUGGGUUUCUCUUCAGUAGUCUCACUCUGAACUGUGGAACUGCUUUCAGAAUUUACAGGAUCAGGAAAAGUCAGAAGGGCAUUCAUAGCCGCAUUUAGUAACCUCUUCCCUUGAAUGGCAUCAUCACACAAAGCCGAAAGAUAGAGCACAAACCUGAAACAAAUAAUCAGAGAAAUUGUUAACUCAAGGAUCCCAUAUUCUUUUGAGAGGCAGGGGGUUACUGUACUAUGAGAAGUAGUAGUUCUCAAUGAAUGAAUAAGACGUCCAUUAUUAUCACCGUAAUGAUGCUACGGGUGUGGGAACAUUUUGAAGAACAAAACCAUAAAUAAUUAGAUGUCUAUUAUCUCCUUGUAAUGGUUUUCAUCCCAAGCAGGAUCUACAAGACAUUGGCUUGAUGUAAUCCUAGACCUCAAAAAUCUUUGGAUUGAAGCAGGACUUCAAAGGAUAAAUAGCAAUAGCACUACAAAAGUUUCAAAAGACAACAAAUUGAGAUUCGAAAUUUCUACUAGCUACCUUUCCAACUUGUCACGGUUAAUAUAUGUAUUUCUAAAUGUACUAGUUAUUUGGAACUCUCUCCAAAAGAGUCCACAUAAAUCCAGGAAUGGGGUGAGCAAGGACAAGGUCUCCCUAAUAUUUUUCAUGUUGAUCUUGCAUGAUUACUCAUGUUACAAAUGCAGUCCUAACAGGUAGUCAGCAGUAGAAUCAGAAGUCAUGGAAAGUAAAAACAUAAAUGAAAGUGGCUGGUGGUAACUCACAUGCCCAAAGGACAAACAGCCAAGUUGCCACUUAUUUGGAGCGCUCGAAUUGAUGUAAUCUGCUCAGGGUACAGGGCUAGACAAAAGGGAUAAAAAGUUUGAACCGUAUGAUUCCUAUAAACUCAAUAAGGAACAGAAAUGAAACUAUAUGCUGAUCUUACAUCGAGGGGGGUACACAACCAGAAGAUUUGACAUAUCUGGCUUCAAGGAAUUUCGUGUGAUGCAUAUCCCUCUGGCCACCUUCCCUUUAACAUCUCUGGUGCUCAAAAAGUUAAAACUUUCAUGCAGAAGAUCUGAUGGAGAGGCUGAUGGUGAGGCAAGUGUAAAGGAUGGAUCCAGAACCAGCUUCUGGCUAAAUAUGUCCUGGCCAGAAGCCAAUCGAACACCUUUGUAACUCCCACUAUCCUGGAAAAAAAAGUGAAGGAUAAUUCAUUUGCCCUAACAGGUGACUAUAUCAUUUUAUGCUGUCCAUGUAUUAAACGAAUUAUAGGCAUAUUUUAGCACCUUUUCCAUAAGUAACGCAGUCACUGGCAUUCGUAGAACCUGUAUGACAGAAGUCUCGAAAGGAGGUGAGCAUGUUAGCUUGACAAAGCAACUGUUUCAGUCCACUUUAUAACAAAUUUCUAUAGUAUGAUAGGUAAACAUUAUUUGCAAUUUUUUUAUGUUCCCGCAAAAUAUAAGUAAAAAAUAGCACAAGUACACCUGUGACCAUUGUGAAAAUCAAAUAACACCCAAGUAUCUAAAGCAGCAGAGCAGAUCAAACAGUGUCAAUCACAUUUAGGAACAAGUUAUUUACACAACACAUGCAGAAAAGCAAAUAUAUCACAUUUAACUAUUAACCAAAAAUGAUAGUUCAUAUUUCACCAAGAGAAAGAAGCCACAGUUUCUUUCAGUGAACUUACGUAAAUGCAACCUUUGACAGCAGAGCGGCGGCUAAAGGCUUGUGGCAGUUCCCCUUGACCAUAAAUGGGAUAAAUUAGGGCCCCGGAAGCAUUUGUAAACCUGAAAGGAGUAAGAAUUAUAAACAACAAACUUAAAGCAAAUGGAUGUAAAUUGCUUAACUAAUACAACAUUCCAAGCCAUAAAUCAAGGUUAGAUUUUUAGUUGCCAGUACAGAACUAGAACUCAACAUUUUUUCUCUCUUUAUCUGCUCCUACCCUACACUUUCUGUGGUGUUCAAUAAUGGAAGGAAAAAUAAUAUAAUCUUGUAGUUAACACAAUAUGUGUUUCUGAUCAAGAUAUCAUACAAGUCACAAGUGCAGCUCUAUAGCACCCACCCAAAUUUUAAACCAGAGAAUAACUGCUUAACUAUAAAACAGAAUAAACAAGAAUUAACCUCCCAACUGAUGACUGGUAUAGAGCCAAACGAUCUAUUCCAUCUUUAGUCUUGAGCAAAUUUUGGCAAACCCCCAUGUCAUCUUGAUCAUAAUCUGCCAUAGCAAUAGCAUACAGAAUAAUCCUGCAGACGAGCAGACAUAACCAAAAUCCAGUAAACUUUAGACCAAACAGGGAAACAAAACGCACAAAUAACAAAUAAACUCUUGCUAACUGAUAGAGAAAGGCAACAGCAGUCUUUACGAUCUAAUCUUUGGAGGCAACCGCAUUUUUGACAAGUACUCAACAAAUGGCCUCUGCAAAUCCUCGUCUGAAAUCUUCAUCUUCCCUUCCUCUUCAUCAUUACCAUUCCCAUUCCCAUCAUUACCAGAAGUACCCGCCCCCACUGUGGCAACCAAGUGCCCUUGCACCAGCUUGAAAAACCUCAUCAACUGAUUCUUUUCCAUCAGAGUCAAACUCUUAUCCUUAAAUAUGGCAGCUCUGGAAUCUGGUACAUUCCAUAACUUUCCAUUCCCAUCACCAACAAAACUGGCAUCAAUACUCUUGAACUCCACAUAAUUACUUGCUCCAGAUUUUAACAUAAGAUCAAUUGACUUGUCGGCGCAAAAUAACACCCUUGGUCCGCAUAAGUCCAAAUUGAACUUCCGUAAGUUUUCUUCCAUUAGUUCAGGAUAAAAACAGGAAAUCUCAACAUCUGAAUAUACUGGCUGAGUGAUGAGAUUUACAAUCGAGUAAUCAGGGAUGUCAGUUGUGGUUGAUGUGGAAGAUGGUGGUGAGGAAGCUGUAGAAUUGGAAAUAAGGAAAGAUGUGAGUUCCGGGACCGAGAGAGAGGAGUAAUGGGACCCAUAGAAUGGGUUAGUGUCAAGGUGAAGGACAGUUUUUCCAGAAGCAGAAGCUGCAGCAGCAACAAUGCAUUCUGCUAAACCAGUGCCCACAGCAAUCAGGUCGAAGGUAGUUGGUUCAAUUUGCGGGUAUGGUGGGGGCUCACUCAUGGUAGCACUGGAGAGGAACAGUAGAUUUACUGCUGAGAGUGAGCAAGUGAGUAGCUAAGAAUCACCUGGCACAAGAAGCAAGAGAAAAAAAA
Molecule: long non-coding RNA, 101393 nt
Filed under: Populus trichocarpa (black cottonwood)
Lineage: Eukaryota; Viridiplantae; Streptophyta; Magnoliopsida; Malpighiales; Salicaceae
Description: long non-coding RNA (PTRI_LNC001394)
Rfam family: MIR478 microRNA precursor family (bases 24132-24222)
Source: RNAcentral